UACUUAAACCCAUCUCUUACUAUGGUUUGUAUCACAAGUAGUGGCCGUGUAGUACUUAAACCCAUCAUAUUGUUUCUUCAAACACAAAAUGUAAAACUGAAAAACAGAACCCGGAUGGGCAAAUAAGUACAUCAGAUAUGCAAUCAUAACUCUUUCAGGAUGAAUUGCAUAACUACUUGUGAACUAAGGGCUUAUAUCUGCAAUCUCAUCAUAUGUUCCAUGCCCACGAAUGUGUCACCUGUAUCAGACGGAGUAGGAUUGCUGAAUUGCGUUGAUAUCCAGUCCUUUAAGCCUAAUCAGUGAUUCAACGUGCCCUUUCAGUGUAUGCUGUUCUCUCAAUCUACAAAAAAUCAAAAUAGUGAAUGCAUAAGAGUGUACACUCCAAGCAUUAAAUUUCGGCUUUUAAGAGUAGAAAUUAAGUAAUGCAGUUUGUUGGCGUUAUAUUUAUAUUUUUACCUAGCAAUCUCAGCUCUUCUUCUUGCUUCUUCAGCCAUCCAGCUAAGUUCUCCGUAACUGCUUCGUACACUGAACAUACUGGUGUCAGGUGGUUGCAACCCAUGUAGGGUUCUCUGUGUGUGUGCCCAUAGAAGCUCACGUUUUUCUUUUCGGAGAUCUCUUUUAGUCGUGAAGGCAAUCUGCAAAAUAGCAAUUACACCAUGGAGAGUGAGCAAGAAAUUAAGCUCCAGUACUUGAAUAAAAUUUGUUGAACUCAAGCCAUCAAUACCUUUUGUUCAAUGACAAGAUCCCAAAAUUUCCUGCUAAGCACAUAUUGGAUGAAGAACUUUAUAAAAUCAAGCGGAAUGUAGGAGAUGAUAUUAUAAAGCCAAAUCACACCAGCCCAACCCCAUCCUAUUCCUUCAAUUGUAGCAAAGCUCCAGGUUGCAUAGACGGCAAUCAGUGUAGCAAUCUGCUCACAGAAUUAAAAAGGAUCAACUCAUCCUCUGUAUGUCACAAAGGCCAAAGAAAACAGCAUAUAUCACCCACCAGCUGAGCAACAAAGAAAGCCAGAGCAAGGAACAGGACAGGACACUCGACGUAAGACCAACUCCUUGCACGGGUCACGAAUAGGUGGGCUUGACUAAUGGAACUCACUUGCAGGUACACUGCCGAGACAAGUUUUCUCCAGUCGUCCACAUCCUUUUUGUUAAGACUUGAAACGCCAAAUGUACGCUGAAUGUUGCAUACCAAGUUUCAGUCCAACUUAUUGAAGACAAUGUAAAGGCAUAUAUUAUUCUCUAUAUUAUUAAAUCAAGGAAAACGAGCAUACAUAACACCCGAAUUGGGUGACAUGAUAACACAAAAGAUAAAUCACAUUACUGGAAAGAAGUCUGUCUGGUGUGCUGUCCAAAAGAAAAUCACAGUCAUCAUUGCCAAGUAACCACCAAGAAUGCUUCCAGUUACAAAGAUCUGGAUCAAAUUCCACCUUUCGGGAUGAGGAGAUGGUCUGACUCUAUCUUUUGAUAUUGUCAUAAUAAUAGCACCUGGCAAUCAAUGUACCGGGUAAAUAUCAAUAGACAAGUGUAUUUCUUAUUUGAAAUCGAUACACCUGGAUGAAAAAGAACACAAACAGUUACGAUAUACAUGCUGAGUCAAGGAAAUACACACCAUCAUUAAGAAUAGCAAUUAUCAGCACCAUGAAGGGUGGAAAGUUAAACUGCCAGAUGAGAGCUAGCAGCCUGAAAGCAAACUGUCACCAAGACAAAUAGUUAAGACGUCAAGCUGAGAUAUUCAAGCUACUAUUGUGAAGACUCAUCCAUAUUCAUCAGCAGGGCAAUAAUUACCAUAGAAGAUUAAAGUUGCAAUUACCGAAUAAAUUACACAAUACUCUCCUACAUAGUAUUUGAAACAAGCAGUGAACAACUUACUCCAAUAUGGAUGGUAAUGGAGACUGCAUAUAUCUGCGACAAGAAAGAAAUUAAUUAAGCAGCAAAAAGUGGGGACAGAGCAAGAGGGAAUCAACUAAUUCAAGUAAACAAUGCUCGUGUCUUGUUUCAAUUUUUCAAAAGUCUGAGACACUGUAAAGAAGUUACCAAUGCCCACAAAAAUCAAGUUUUCAUGAACAGCACCACUGCCAACGUCUUGGUUUAUUAUAUUAUUUAUUGUUUUCCACCUCGGGCCCUAAAAGUAAUUUACAGAACAAUGACAUGUUAUUUCAAUCUCAGUGCUUUCUUCACCACCAGGCACUCAAGCAGUGUAAAAUGUAAGCCUUAAAAUUAUUAGUUUGUUUGUCGGUUAAGGAAUGUGGAAUAUAUAGAAUUAGACAGGUUGUGAAUUCCCUCACACAAAUCCCAUCCUUCACUACACUAUCGACUAUAGAACACCUUUUCCUUAGAAUCAAAACCAACCCUCACCGUGUAAUUUCUCAUCCUCUGGAAUAUUGCUCGACUAAUUAGAACAGAAGUAAUGAUAACAUUAAGGCCAGGUUCUGUCAGGACAAUGUCGGCAGCACUACGAGCUGCAUCAGUUGCAUCAGCAACAGCUAUGCCAAUGUCUGCUUUCUUUAGAGCAGGAGCAUCAUUGACACCAUUACCGAUCAUUCCACAGAUAUGGUUCCUAGCUUGCAAAUGCUUCACAAUCUCAUAUUUGUGCUCUAUAAAGAAAAUAAGGACAGCUGUGUAAACAAAGGUAAAAAACAAAGAAAUAUGUAUGAUUAAAAUAUAAUGAAAAUGUUGUAGGAUGUAGUGAUGCAUACAUCAAGUUCAAUAAAAGCUAUACAACACUAACUUCAGUUUGUGGAUGACUACUCAAUGCAAAUUAGGAGAUCAAGCUUCGUACCAGGGAAAACACCAGCAAACCCAUCAGCUUUCUCAAUCAACUCGUCAACCGGUAAAGCAACUAUCGACUCAUGCCUGUCCUGUCCUGAUAAGGCUGAUGAAGGAUACAUGUUGGUUCCCAUUCCAAGACGACGUCCUGUUUCUUUUGCUAUUGCAAGUUGAUCACCUGAGAAAGUGGAAAAGUCAAACAGAUGGAAUAUCUAUCUUAAGGUAAAGAAAAUGCCAAUUAAAACAUUCUCAAAAAGUAAAACCAUAAGAGCAUUUAGAUUCCACCAGCAAUGCAAAAGAAAACUGACAUAUAAGCAUUUUUUCAGAUAGAAGGAUUAAACAAAACCAGAACCAACAAAAUUUCUCUAUAUAUAAAUGGUGCCUAAACAAAGACUAAAUAUUAAGAUUACAAAUUAGGAAGACAUAUAAUACAAUAAAUGGGAGAAGCACCUGUGAUCAUUUUCACGCUCAACCCAAGACUCAGUGCCCUUCUUAUUGUUUCUGCACUAUCAUGUAUCGGAGGAUCAAACAAAGGAAUGAGUCCAAUAAAUUGCCAUGGGCUUCCUGAGCUCUCUUUUGAUCCUUCAGGAACUUCCUGAAACAAAAUUAAUAAAUAUAGACUUUGUUAAUACAAAUUGCAAUUGAAGUAAUACACUGCUAUGGUGAUGCAAAGAUAGGACCUAGAACAAUGACAUAGGUAAUUCAUAUGCCUGAUAUGCCACUGCAAGAGAUCGUAAUCCUCGUUCUGCAAACUUAUUAAUCACGGCAUUGACUCUGUGUCCUAUCUCUGAUUUGUUGUGUAAAAGGUUUAAAAUCUGAAAAUCAAAAUAAAAGCAUAAGUUAAGUAAAAUGGCAUUUCAGAAUCCUAGAACGUACUAUUAGUUGUUGACAAUCAUACCUGCUCUGGAGCACCUUUGGUGACCCUAUGCAUUUUGCCUUCGCUGUCGAUAUACGUCAGAGCUGUUCGCUUACCUGUGGGGUCAAAUGGAAGGAAGUGAACUUCUUGGAUAUCAGCCCUAGCCUUGUUUAUGGUCAAAAGCAAAGAAAUCAAUGUCAACAAAAUGAUAAGACGAAAAUAUAAGAAAAUCUUCUACAAGUUGCCUUUGAGAAAACAAAAUUUCAACAACAGUUAAGCUUAACUAGAAUAAAAUACAUACAUGAAAUUCUAGAAUUCAUAAAUAUACCUUCUUUGGAUUAAAAUAGAUACAUGAAAUUCUAGAAUUCAUAAAUAUACCUCCUUUGGAUCAGCCAACAUUCCUACUAUAGCAGCAUCUAUUACAUCCAGGUUUUCCACUUGGGAGGCUCGAGCUGCCAUCAGAACAACAUCGUCUAUGUCCACUCCUCUAGCAAAGAUCUGAACAAUGAUCCAGGCCAAAUGUUGAAAUACACAUUGCAAUUCUAACAGCGAGCAAAAUUUACACCAACCUCAAUUAGAUUCUUGUCAACUGUUAAUUUGUUCAAAGUUAGAGUUCCAGUUUUGUCACAGCAAAGCACAUCCAUGCCGGCCAUAUCGACUAUUGCACUCAUCCUCUUUGUGAUAACUCCCUGCAGUAAUUAGCCCAUAUAUGCUUGCAAUCAUCAACUAAUGACCAUAUAAAGUAACAUCAUUAUAAAUAACAACAAAGACCAACCUUCAAAGACAAUCGUUGGGAACCAAUCGCCAUUGUCACUGAUAAAACAGUAGGCAUGGCAAUAGGAAUUCCUCCAAUAAGAAGCACAAGUAAAUUUUUAAGUCCUGUGCGGUAUUCCCUGUGUUGAAUCGCGUACAUGACAAUGAUCUCUGCUAUUAACCCCAGUGCAAUUGAACAAAUACAAUAUUCCCCAACUGCAGACAAGAUCUGUAAACAAGCCCGCCCGCCCCAACAAAAAAGCAAAAAGUUUCGGUGAAUGAUAAUGUGAAAUUAAACAUAAAAAAAAGAGUCUUAAGGAAUGUGAAUUCGUGUUUUCUUACCUUUUGAAAGUGACCCACUUGAUUUGUGGUAUCCACAAGAUGUACAGCUUUGCCAAGGAAGGUGCGAACACCAGUGGCUAUGACCACAGCUUGAAUCUCCCCUUGUUUGCACGUAGAGCCAGAAUAUACACAGUCACCAGGACCCUUACUUACGGUAAGAGACUCGCCUGUGAGAGCAGACUGCAACGUACAAAUUGAAAUAAGUUAAAUUAAACAGCUCAACUUUACCAAAUCAAUUCAAACAUACAAAGUUUGCAAAAGCUCACCUGAUCAAUUGUCAAUGGAUCACCUUCGAAGAGACGAGCAUCAGCAGGAAUAAUGUCACCAAGCUUAACACUGAUGACAUCACCAGGGACAAGAAUGGCUGCAUCUUCCUCCUUCCAGUUUCCAUCUCGAAGGACCUAAAAUAAUAUCUCCAAUUACAGGAAUGCUAGAGCCUAGAGCCACAAUCUCUUCUUACAGAGUAUUAUUUUACAAAUUAAUAUGACAUAACAGUUUCUGAUUUCAAUUCUCAUUGAGUUAAGUUGAUAUGAACUUAAUAAUAAAUUUAUUAGAUAUGCAAAUGCACUAACUCACCAAUAAUCUUAUCCUGACAACUAUUCAAGCGUAGUCAGUACCUUAGCUUUAGGAGCCAGACGAGCCAUGAGAGCUGCGCUGGCAGCACCAGCAUUGUUCUCCUGAAUGAAACAAACUGUUGAAUUGAUAAGAAGCAGGGUUGCUAUCCCAGUAAAAUCUUGCCAUUCAGGAGGUUUACCCUGCAAAAAUGAAAUGGCCAACAGUAAGAUGUUGUUUACAAAAUGAGUUAAUAAAGAUAUUUUCAUUUCCAAAAACAUCAAAUAGAAAACACCAUUUUUUUUUAUAAAACAAAUUUUAAAAAUAUAAUUUGAAUAACAGUACUCAAUACUCACUCCUCCAUUUGCAAGUACGAUUGCCAUGAUAGCCGCAGCUUCCAUGACCCAUGAGAGAGGGUUCCACAUAAAUCCCAAAAACUUCAAAAUUUUACUUUCCUGCCAAAAAUAAAUAAAUAAGUAAAAUAAAAUGCAAAUAAUAAUUAAAAAAAUACAAUCAACAAAAGCAAAAUGUCUUACAAUCAUUAAAAGGGAUCUUUUUUUAAUUAAUAUAACUUUCCAAUAAAAUAGCUAGCAAGGAAAAAAAAAAAGACAAAAAGUAAAAUUACCCUUUUCUCCUCAAGCUUGUUGUAGCCAAAUAUGGAAAGUCUCUGCUCAGCAGCCUCCGUUGAAAGGCCCUCUUGACCGCACUUCAAAGUCUCAAAAACCUCUUCCGUCGGCACGUUUUCCUGCAGACCAAAAACCUGAACUUCCUAACAAAACAAAAUUACCUAGAAGGCAAAAACACUUAAUAACACUGAAGAAAACGUGGCAAAAUAGUCAUAAACAUUCUCAUAUUUUUGGAAAUUAUCACGUAGAUAACUUUUUAGCCAACUUUUUUCCGAUAAAAUUUAUUACAAUCAAAAAACAUAAUUGUCAUAAAAGAGAUCUAUCAGUCUUUGUGACGAUUUGUCCAAAAAUAAAAAGAUCACCGUGACUAUAUCUUGCCAAGCCAUAGGGGCGUCGGUGUCUUUUUCUUAAUGGUAAACUAUAAACAAAAACGCAAAAAACAGUACUAAAACAAUCAAGAACCGAGAUGACAAACUCUGUUUCAAUACCAAAUCCACAGCUUCAUUCAUUAUGCCCUCCAUUUCUUCUCAAUAAACUCACUUUCUUCACUUUCGUUGCCUUCCUUCAAACCCCUUAAAAGCCAAGUAAUUAAACAAAUCAUGUUAAAACAAAAUCACAGGAAAAAAAAAACGAUGGAAAGACAGAGAGAGAGAGAGAGAGAGAGAGACUCAAAAACAGAGUAAUGUGUUUUGCUUUUCACCUUUUAAUUUGAGAAAAUUCUCUGCUUGUAGAGAUAGAAGGAGAGAAUAGUUUUAAUCUCUUUCUCUCUCUCUCUAGAAGCUAUAAGCGGAAGCUUUCUUUCAGUGCAAGAUUUCUUUUUUUGUGUCUGUAUGUUCUGUCUUGCCUUCAUUUUUUUUUUAAUUUUUAAUUUUUAUUUGUGCUGUUCUGUUCUCAUGUUCUGACUUUUCCUCUUAUUUUCUUCCUUCUAGAUUAAUUUAUAAUAUCAGUGAAAACAACCCUUCUGUAAAUGAUUGUAUCCACACUACUGUAUCAAGUAAAGUGUCUCUGCAUGGCCAGGGCGUUUGUUUAGGGCUCCACAUUAUAAAAAGAAGAUGACUUGUCUUACCAAAACACUCAGGACAAGUGUAAGGAAAACAUAAACCCCAACAUUCUAAGUCAAUUUAUGCAGCGGGCGCACUGUGGAUUCAUUUGUGAAGAUAACGACAUUAAAAUAACGUGUAAAUUAAUGUUAACGGUACAUAAAACGCAAGCGGAUUGGUAUAAACUUGGAUCGAAAUUGCUAAUAAGCUUAACCGGUCUAAUCUUUUGGGAUGACAUAAAAAGCUUAAAGUUCAAACUAUAUUCACGUAAGUGAGGAAGAAACUAAAUUAUUGUCAAACGAAUUAAAUAUAAAAUCUACUACAAAAUAUGUACUUGAACUCACUACCCACUCGAAGAGUUAAAAAGCUUUAAGUGAGACUGUAGUUAGGAAUUCAGCAAUUCAUAAGGUUAUUAGAGGUUCCAUAAAGUUAUGUGGAGAUGCCAAUUUUGUUAGGUGUGGAGGGCGAAUAAACGAAUCGAAUUUAAAUCGAAUCGUAAAUGAAUUGGGUUAACACUUUACUGAUUCAGAUUUGAUUUGUUUAUUAAACGAAUUGAACUUUGGGGAUUAGAAUAAUAAAUUCAAAUUUGAAAAAAAAAAGCUUAAAUUCCUAAUUUAUUAUCAAUAAUAAAUUUAAAAAAAACUUAAAAUUAUAAUAUUAAACUCUCUUUUAAGUGUUAAUUAAUUAAGAGAGUGCUUGAAUUAGAGAAUUCAAUAUUAAAAAAUUAAAUUUCUAAACUUUUAUUUACUUCAUUUUCUUUAUUUAUUAUUUUAUUUUGAAAUAUUUAUUUUUUUAAUUUAUUGUUGAUUAUAACAACUGAAUUAGUAUUAAUUUAUUUCAAGUUUACAACAAUUUUUUUUAAAAUUGAACAAAAAAAUAAAAAUUCAAGCUCGGCCUAAGCCCGACCCAGGCCCGUAGUGGGCUCGGCCUAGGUCCAGCCCUUUCACUCUUAUCUAAUGGGAAUGGGCUUGGGCUUGAGCUUGAAAAAGCCCGACCCAAGCCCUUAAUUAACUAACCCCAAUUAAAAUUCAAAUUAUAAACCAAGAUGAUUUCUUUAAUUCUCUUCAUUUUGUUUUUGUUACAUUGAAAACAAUAGUCCUACAAGAAAAAAGUAAAUAAAAUAAUAUUAACAUGUUGCAACACUGAUAAGAGUCAUUGUAAUAUUUCAAAAUAUCAAUUAUUUACCAAAUUUUGUAGUAUUGAUAAAAAAAAUAAUAAUUAAGUCUACAAAGGCAAGAAAAGUCAGCAAGAUAAAACUUUGCCUAUCACACUCCCACAUUGUCACUAGCAUCAUUGGCACUCUCUUCAUCUCUUGAGAUCGAGCACUAUUACUGCUCAUGUUCAUAAUGUUUUCAAUAAGUUGGGCCAUAAUGACAUCAAAAAUUUCUACAAUAAUGGUGCAUUUGGCGUACUGUAUUGUAUUUUAUUAUAUUGUAUUAUUUUAAUACAUAUUUAUUUAUUAUACUGUAUUAUAUUAGAACUGUAUUAUAAUAAUAUCGUACAACAUUUAGUACUACAGUGUACUAUAUUAAUUUUUAAUUAUAUUAUGUUUGGUGCUGCAUUGUAUUGUAUUAAUAUUUUUUGGUGAUUGUUUUAAAUUAUAUAUUGAGAAACUAAUAUUUAUUAGUACAAUACUUAAGGAAAUACUAAUUAUAGAAAAUUUGAACUUUAGAACUUUUGCAUUAAUUUUUUCAGUAAAAAUGUAAAAAAAAAAUUAUAAUUCUCCAUAUAACAUAUGUAAAACUAAUAAAUUUUAAAAUUUCAGCUGCAUAACAUUUAUUUAUUUUUUUAUUUUUUCUAAAUAUAUAACUUGUGAAAUACAGAUAAAAGCCACUAGCUCAUUCAAAUAACGAUGGGGAGAUUUUUUUAAAAAAAGCAAUAAAUAGAAAAGCUUUAUUAUUCAAGAACAUGGACGAUGAUGGUAUAAAGACUGCAUUUUAGAGUCUAAAAUGGUAACGUAUUCAUCAAGCGUUGAAAUCACUGCUUCAAUUUUUAUUUUUUUUUACUAAAAUGUCGAUUGGUUAUCAAUCACAAGUUCCAUUUUAUUUGCACAUUCCAAUUUACUUAAGUUGCUGAGUGGCGGUUGAAGCUUCUCUACUUCUGUUUUAUGAACGUGCGUAAAUUUGAUGAUACCCUAGGCCCCAAUUACUGAAUUCCAAGCAAUUUCAUUGACCAAUCCAUCCCAGAUCGAAAUGAUGUGGCAAAAGUGUAAGUUUCUGUUGUACUCUCACUUUAACAUGUCGCCUUGUAGCCUACGGUGGCUCAUCUUCAUGACAAUCCCAAAGGGCUUGAACGAUAAUUUCGCCACAACUUUCCCUUCAAACAGAAUGAGGGUGACAAUGGUGUCGGAUUUGAACUUGAACAAGGACAAAUCGUGGCUAGAUUCUUUGAGGUUGAUCUUGACGCGGUCUAUUGUUUUGGUCUCGGACUUUUUGGUGGAGAUUUUAGCUAGGUUUUCAAUUUUUAUGGUCUUCAGUUUCUUGGAGGAUUUGAGGAAUUUGUAAGAAUUAGUUUGGUAAAUGAGUGGCUCAGCAAGUAUAUUGAGUGCUUUUAUCUUAGCUUCUUCCUCUUUCCCUACCAUGCCUUUGCAAUAGCGAUUGUUUCAUCUGAGACGCAAACGAUAGGGAGAACCUUGUCUCAAAAUAAUUGCAAUUUACAAGCCCGCAUAAACCCGAUUCCCCCAUAGAUUUAGUAUGUGUGGGUUUGACAGCAUAAAUUAGAUAUUUGACUACAUUACAAUACUAUACAUUAAAAUUACAAAACAUGGUAUUAUAAUCCUUUAAUACUUUGAGGGGUUUUAAUACCAUAUAAUGAGAAGUACCAAACAUGCACUAAUUUUAUAAAAAUAAAUCUUAAUUAGUAACAAUUGAAUAUAAUAUUAUAAAAGAAAAAUAAAUUAGUUUCAUGUGAAAGUCUUACAAUCUCUCCAAAUAUCCAAUCUCUUAUAGUAACAAUUGCUUGGGCAAACUUUGAUUUCAAUACACUUUAAAGCUGAUCAAGAACUUGAUUGCCAACACUAAAAGUCGAUUUAGAUGCAGCAUGGGAUAUAAGAAUGCUUAAGAUAUCACGAGCCAUGGAAGAAAGAUUAGGAUAACGAAAUAUGUUUCCUUUCAAAAAACUUAGAAUAUUUAAAUCAACCGUUCUAUCCAUUUUUGGUUAAUCUAAAUAAGACGGGAAAUUUACAGUAAUAACCAAAAAAAUUUCCCUUUUUUUCAUCUUAACCCCCCAAAAAUAUUUCUAUCAAUAUUAGCCAUUAAACAACAUUUGAGACCAAAAUACCCCUCCCUCAUCUCUCCCCCAACACUCCCUUUCACUCAUCUCUCCCAAACCGAUCCAACUCCCACCAUCGGCGGCGACAUCAACCCUCCUCGGCGGCGGCUCCAUCUCUCACCGGCAUCCGAUCUACGAUCUACAACCUUCAACAAAAUCUAGGUUAGUCAUUUUUCUUAUUUUCAUUAAUUUAAAAUGAGAUUUUAGAAUAAUAAUAGUUAUAGCUUGAGAUUAAUAGUGGUGGUGAUGAUGUUUGUGGUGGUUGGUGGUGUUUGGGAGUAUUGUUUUCGAUUUUGGAGUGAUUGUGCUUAAUUUUGCGGGUGGGGAGGGAGGGGAGCAGGGCGCGCGCGCGCGCCCAUCGCUGGGCAGCAGCGCGCGGCCAUGCGCGGCACGCUGUUGCACCAAAUCUGGUGCGACAGGCGCGCGCCCGUCGCACAAGCUCGGGUGCGACUGGCCCUGUCGCACCAAUUUUUGGUGCGACAGGCUUGCCCGUCGCACCAGUUUUGGUGCGACAAGCGCGCGCCCGUCGCACCAACAAUUAAAUUUUUUUUUUGUAAGGAGUUAAUUUUUUUUCUGUAAAUGUAAUGUAAUAAUUUUAUAAAUAUUACAGAUACAUGGCGAAAUCAGAAUCACCGGAUAUUGAAGUAAGGCAAGAUGUAUUUUCAUUAUGCUGAUCAUUUUCCUGGUCGAAUUUCGAGCAUGUGUAUGUUAUCUUCGGUCGUUAAAGCCAUCGAGGAAAAAUUAACAAACCGGCAGUUGCGUAUGUUCAAAAAGGAUAUAUUUGGGCAUUUCUUGGAGUGUCGAAGUUUUCCAUUUAGUGGGGUAAUUUUGCACAAUCUUCUACUGCGGCAAGUGGCCCAUGAAGAAGAUAGCCGUGAGGAUCAGUUAUGGUUUCAAAUUGGUAAGCAUGUGAUUCGCUUGUCAAUUGUCGAAUGGUGCUUGGUUACUGGACUUUCAUUUGGUGUGGAUACCAAUCAAAAAAAUGAUGAAAUGGAGCAGAGGCUACGGAAUACGUAUUUUGGUGGUGUGCAUCGUAAGAUUAAUGUGAAGCAAUUCGAUGCAGUAUUUAAGGAGUUGAAAUUCGAGGAAAUGAACGAUAUGGACGCAUUAAAGAUUGCGCUGUUUUAUUUUGCGGACAGAGUACUAAAUGCAAGAAAAAAUCACUGUCAAAUUAAUUUCGAUUGGCUUGACCAAGUUGAUGAUAUACAGUACUUCCGAAAGCGUCCAUGGGGUCUAUUGUCGUGGGAAAUUAUUUACGAGAGUCUUGACAAUGCACUGUUCGAGAAAGACGAGAAAUUUAAGAAGACUCGGUUGAAAAAUUCAGAUCAUAAUAUUGAAAAAUACAAUCUUUACGGCUUUACGUCUGGGGUUCAGGUGCUAUUUUUUUUUGUUUAUUAAUAAGUUUUAUAGUAUUAAAUAUUUGAUAGUUGUUUUAUUUGAUUUUUCACUUUGGUUGUUGUAGGCUUGGAUUUACGAAGCAAUCAGAGGGUUGCCAUCAACAUGGGUCGUCAAAACGAAGAAUAAGAUUCCCCGCAUUCUGCAAUGGAAGCCCAUGGCGUCGUCGAGAAUCAACUUUGCGGAGGUUUAUUCGUUCUUCAACGACGAAUCUCGUCUUGUAAGUAAUAUGUAUCACUUAUUUUUUAAACUUUACUAAAUUUAAGUUAUGUAUACUUACUUAAAAUUUUAAAUUGAAUUUAUGGAAGGGGGACGUUUUACAAACCCUUGAGCCAAAUUCAAAGGAGAGUAGCAAAAAUUAUUGGCUCUCUGUGAAGGAUUACUUGCCAAGCAUUCCAGACUGGGUUCAUAAGGUCGGUAUACUCUAAGCACUAAAAAUUUGUUAAUCGAAAUUUUUGACUUUUCAUUUACUAAUUUUAAAUGAUACUUUAUACAGCACCAACCCUCAAUCAACGCGAUGUCGUCGGUUACAAGGCAAUCAGACGAGCAUGACGAUCAUGACGACAACCCAAUACCAGAGCAGCGUCAUGACACUUUUGCGGAUGAGGUGGGGCAUGACACUUUUGAGGAUGAGGUGGCUGUUGAUGACCACCAGCAGCAAACAGACAACUCUGAUGACGCACGGGAUUCUGAGGUUAGAAAUAAUAUUCGAUAUUUUUUUAAUAAAUUAUUAAUUUUUUAUUGUUAUUCUAAAGUUUUAUUUUUUUCUUUUGUAAUAGUCGAGGACAAAGCAGUUUAAUGAUUAUGUACGACGACGGCUGGAUAAGAUUGAUCGUAACGUGUAUGAAAUAAAGUCAGAAUUAAAAGAUUUUAAAGAAACCGUUGUUAGCUUCAUCGACACAUUUUCUAAACGUCCAAAUAAGGAUUCUCCCACUGCACGCUCGUAUGCGGUAAGCUAAUUUAAAUUUAAUAAUAAUAUUCGUUUAACUUUUAAUUUGAUAGUUAUUUAAUAUGUUCUUUUUGGCGAAUGUACAGGCCCCGGAUGACGUUGGAGUGUAUACUGACGUGGGCAAUGAAAAUUUGUCUACGCCCACGUCAUUGUAUAGUUUCUACGGGGAUGUAAGUGGGGAGAGCGUGCAGGUGUUCACAGAGGUGCCUCCGGGCGUUAGUAAGUUCGGCCGCGCGUACAUACCGUCGUAUGUUUAUAACAGUCCUUACAUGAUUCCUCCGGUCAGGCGAGGACAGAACGUCCGGCCUUUACCUCGACCCCAAAUCAUGGAGCAUGCGAUUGACAUGAGUACGAGUGUGGAUGUAAAUCCACUGAGAGGAUUGGAGGACUCUAGUCUGUUUGCUGAGUUUGAUCGAUGGUUUACUGGUGAUAGCAGAGUCCGUCAAAGAGUCCAGCACCCGCGGUCAUUCUUUCAAAUAAUUUUGGGGACAGCUUCGAUGGGAUGGUUAGGCGAUGAGGUAUUUAUAAUUUCCUCGUGGUGUAUACUGUUGUGGAUUUGUGUAUAAAUUUAUUUUUAAAAACUCGUAAUAUUUCUGUUUCUCUACAGCAUAUUCACGAGUAUCUCCGCUUGAUUAGCGAGAAGCAACGGCAGUAUCCAAAUGCCUUACUCCAAUGUGUCACACAUACUGACACAUUUUUUUGGGUAACGUGCCGACAAAACUUAUAAAUUUAUGUGGAUGUAAAAAUUUAAGUUUUAUUAAUUUAUGCAUUUCUUGGUUAUCUAUGUAUUAGGUGUUCUUGAAUCAGUUAUGGAAUAACGGGAAUUGUGCAGUCGAUUCAAUGGUAUUCGACGACCGCGUGAAUAGUUAUCUUUGUGGCCGACAGCACACAAUGUCUAAAUCAAUGACGGAUGUCGAUAUGGUAUGUAUUUUAUUACAUUUCACAUGCUAUAUAAUGAAAAUAUUCAAGUUGUUGCUUUUUCUUUGUUGUAUUUUAAUUUCAUACAUAACGAACAUGUUUUUCAAUUGUUAUAUGCAGUUACUCAUCCCUGUUAACUUCAACGGCGCGCAUUGGGUACUAGCACGAGUUGACUUUCGGAAAAACAAAGUCUGGAUUUAUGACUCAUUACUCACAAAUCGCGACGACAAAAGGUACAAGUUGAAAUUCAAGCCACUUGAAGUUAUAUUCCCUCGAUGGUUGGAAUAUGUUGGCUUCUACAAUAUCCGACCGGAGUUGCAGAGUGAAGACCCGUGGAAAGUUAUCGCAGUUAAGAGCGCGCCACAACAAGAGCCCGGCACUGGCGAUUGCGGUGUUUUUGUAUUGAUGGUUACGAUGUAUUUAAUGUUCGGGCUUAGAUUGGAGUUUAACGCUAGUCAUGUCGAGUACUUUAGAAAGAAGAUUGCGGUUGAUAUAUUUAAUGACGAUAUUCAAUUGUAAACCUAUGUAGUAAUUUAAAUGUUGAAAUUUGAAUUUUUUUUACUUCGCACACUUAAGUUUAUAUAAUUUUAAUGCCUCACAUUUGAAACUUUAAAUAAAGUUUUAUGAAAUAUAAGUGUACAAUACAAAAAAAACAGUAACAGUUUUAACCAACGAACACAAAAAUAAUAAUAGUUUUAACAAACUCAUAACACACAAAAUACAACUAACUUCGAGUCGACGCAAUGAGAUUCUUACAUCUCUUACGAUUAUGGCCUAGUUCAUGACACCGACCGCAUCUUACAGUCCGCCGGUCAACGUCCUCGCCAGCCGAGGGUAUUCUGAGCUCUUUACGACGGCCAGGUGGUGGUGCCUCAACUGGUGGGUAUACAUGCAUCUCCUGAAUUUCAUCUGGAAUUUCCCAAUCAGCCACAUCACCAACUGGCUCUACUGGUUGUGCAUAAGCCAUCGCCAACGAUUCUGUAGUGUAAAAGUCCGAGCAAAGGUUAAUAAAAUCCACCCGGUGUGUUAGACACGCCGCAAUUGCAUGAGCACACACAAGCUGAUCAAGCUGGAACACUCUACAGGAGCAAGUUCUCUUUUGCAAGUCAACCAACCCUUCCUUAAGCCCACCGCCUAUAACUUGAAAGCGAUGCGGAGACACCGGCCGAACUAUCAUUCUUUCAGCUAUAGUUCUCCUCUCAGUGACUAUUUCAUCCGCCCAUGUUGUUAGCCGAGUAGUCAUUGAUUCAGCCACAAUUUUCCUAUCAUAAAACCAUUGCUGCAAUGUUUUCCUAAAGUGAUCAACAAGAUGAGUCACAGGAAAUUUUCGAGGUUCCCUCAUGAACGCAUUAACACUCUCCGCGAUGUUCGUGGUAAGAAUGUUGUACCUCCUACCUUCAAACUGCGACCUUGCCCAAUUACACGUACCGACAUUAUUUUCUAGGUAAUCAGCUGCACCCGAGUGGAUCAUCCACAACCCUUCAAGUUGUCUCUUAAAUUCCUCGUGGCCAUAUGCUUUUGCUGCAUUAAUAAAGGCAGGCUCAAAUUGAUCCCAAAGAGCUUUGGACAUUCUAAACUGAGACUUAAUGUUACCUUUGACGUGGUAAAAACAAACGCCAUGAGUUGCAUUGUGAAAAACUUUAAGAACGGCUCUCCGUAUGGCAGUGCAUCGAUCAGAGAUAAUUACCAACUCAGGUCUAUCGCCAAUCACUCAGUGUAACUUCAUCAUAAACCAUUCCCAAGCAUCGUUGUUUUCUGAAUCCAUGAUCCCAAUGGCUAACGGAUACAAUUGAUUGUUACCAUCAAGACAUGUUGCCACGAAGAUGCUUCCACGAUAUAAUCCCUUCAGAUGAGUACCAUCUACAACAAUGACAGGCCGAAUGUACUGCAUAAAACCCUUGAUGGAAGAUCCGAGUGCUACAAAAUAGUACAAGAAAUUACCAUCUCCAUCCUGCUCGAGAUGAGUGACUGUACCCUCAUUCGUUGUAGUUAGUACGUGAGAGUAUUUAGGGAGCAAGUUGUAUGACUCUGCAGGGUUGCCUCGAACUAUUUCAAGACCAACUUCUCUCGCCCGAUAUGCCUGCUGGUAUGUUAACUGAACACCGUAUUCCUGUUGCAUAUCUGCUCUUAUGUCAUUCGGAGUAUAAAUCCUCUUGUCUUGAAUAUAUUUUUCUGCGAUAAUAUGACCGACAACCUGGCUCCUGACUUGAUGACGUCCAUCAACCAAUACCUCAUUAUGACAAGUGUGUACAUUGUCAAUUCUCUUCACCACCCACGGAAUAUUUUGCUCGUUCGAACAUCUAGUUGCUCGAAUACGCCAUUUACAUGAUUCUGAACAACAGUGAGCCUCGAAACGUGUCGUAGUAGACCGUGCAAUCUUGAAAUCAAACUUAUCUCUAAAGGCAACCUUGCGUAGUUGUAAUAUAAACUCAUUUUUCUCAGCAAAUAGCUUACCCACACUGAUAUCAUCUGAAUCACAACUGCUAACAAAGCUUGGAGCAACCAUAUUCGAAGGCAAAGUUGGAGCAACACUUGUAAGGGGGUCAAUUCGCCUUCUCGAUCGAACCAUAGAAGGAAUAGGUCUAUUGCCUCUGUUAUUCACAUGAGUAUUGUCUUCACACUCAUCCUCAUGCUGAAACGACGGAACAUUUGAAGGACCGGCUCCUCCAUCAUCACCAUCAUUAUUGAAACGAGUGCCCCCCUCGUAGUAUUAGAAGGUUCUGCACAAACAUUAUCCCCCUCUGUCUCAUUAUGAAAAUCAUCAUUGUCCCGAAAAAUAUUGUUGUGAUACGGAGAAUAUCGUUGCUCCAACGACGUUGUUAUUGGAAAUACCGUUGCUCCAACAUCCUGUAACAUAACGCCAUUAUCAUCAAUGUUGUCAUAAUUGUCGUGGAUUGGAGAGUAAUAUUGCUGCAACGAUAUUGUCCUUGGCAACACCUCUUCAUCAUUAUCGGGGCCAGACAUAUUUGCUCUAAACGAAGUUUCUGUAUCGACAUGUGGCUCAAUACCUUCGCUCGGAACUCGAGGUGAUGUGGUCACGAAUAUAGGAAUGCAUCCAAAAUUAGCUACGUCCGAUGCCAUAUGCAACACAACCCUCACCAUUUCAUCAUCGCAUAUAUCCAUGGGCAUUGCACAUAUACGAUAUAAUGUGUUACUAGACCUCAAAGUUGUCUUCAUGGUGAUACUAUAGUCAUUAGGGUUUAUUUGUAACACCUCGUAUACUCUUGCCAAUAACUUAUCAAACAGAUAAUUUUUUCCAACUAAAAAUGCUCGAUUUUUACCAUUCACGUACUCCAUACGGCUAUUCUCUAAUGUCUCCCACCAACCAUCGUAACACAAUUCAAGUACAACUGAAUCAAUUAAGCCUGAAAUUAUUAAAAAAAAAUUAUUUCCGCCAUAUUAAAAUAAUUUAGUUUUAAUAAUGUAUUUCAUGGUGGGUGCGACAGGCAACCUGUCGCCAAAAUCUUGGUGCGACAGGCACCCUGUCGCACCAGGGUUUGGUGCGACAGGUGCCUGUCGCACCAGGCUUGGUGCGACAGGUUGCUUGUCGCACCAGGUUUUGGUGCGACAGGUGCCUGUCGCACCAAGUUUUGUUGCGACAGGCAACCUGUCGCCAGAUCCAGAUUUAGCCCAGUUGUUCAGAAAAUAAUUCAUACCAGUAAGUGAUGUCGAUUUGUGUUGGAUUCGGAUGUCGAUUUGUGUUGGAUCCGGAUAAAUUAUGAUCGGAUAUCACUUUUAUCGUUGUCUUUUACGGUCGCCGUUGACUGAUGAAUCAAGAGCUAAAAGCUGCUUUUGGUUUGGCGAUAUGGGAGAAACGAUGUUGGUUUUGUUACGCAAAGAAGGGUAAUUUGGGAAGAAAGGCUUGUGUUUGGCUAAUGUUGAUAGAAAAAAGUUGAGAGGGUUAAUUGCAAAAAUAAUAAAAUAAUAAUGGUUAUUUUCGUAAAUUUCCCAAAUAAGACUCUAAUUCAAAUUUUCUAACAUAGGCAUGGCAAUCCAUGCUAUCAAGAUCAUCAAACUCCUGCAAAAUAAUUAAGAAAUAAGAAUAGUCAAAAUCCAAAACAAGUAUAAAUAAGGAAAUAAUAAUUUUUAUAAUAACCAGAAAAGAAAAUUGUAAAUGUACCUUAAAUAGUUCCAUGGUCCAUUGGUUAAGUGUAUUUAGACUAUUGUCAUUAUUUCCCACACUUGAACGAACAUCACUCAUUUGAGUGAGUGUGGAUGUGGUGAAGAAAGAUAGUGUGAUAAAAUUGUACUCACUAAAAGCUGAAAAAACUUAUCCCGAACAAGUUCUAACUUCUCUAAAUUUUGAUCAUAAGUAAUGUCUUAGGAAAAUUUAAUGAAUGCCAUCUUGUAUUGAGAAUGCAAGAUGACCACUAUCGACCAAAUGGUACAAAAAUCAAACCAAUAUUUCUCAAACUUUUCGAUCAUUUUUUAUGCCAUAGUUUUCAUAAAUACAUCUUCACUAUGCAAUGAUGGAUGCAAAACAACAUUAGACGCAAACACCUUUGAAAAUAUAAACUUGAGCUAGGGUAUUUUGAUCUGGAAAGAAUGCGUAUGAUCUCAUAAAAUAUAGACAAGAAUUUGUCAAUUUUCUCUAUUUUCCUCUACUCUUCUUCAAAAAACAACUCUUGUAAUUAGAAUCACAUAAUUGUAAAUGAUAGCAAGCAUUUUUGUAAUACAUAACAUUAUCAAGCAUAAGAAAAGUUGAAUUUCAUCUUAUAGGAACAUCUUGUCUUAAUCUUUUCUUGUCAUCUAGAGAUACUUACUUAACGUGCUCCAAGAAUUUUCUUUUUCUAAUUUGUGACCCUUUGACAUAUUUUAUACUCUCAUGGGAUUUUUCUAUUUCUUCCUCAAUUUCUUUCAAUCCUUUUUGAACAAUCAAUAUAAUAAUAUGAGAAUAACAUCGAAUAUAAAAGAAAUUCCCAUCACAUAUCAAAGUAUUCUUUAAUCUCAGUUGACUUUUUAACGGUGCAACACAAACAUCAUUACUUGAAGCAUCGUUUAGAGUUAAUGAAACAAAAUACACAAUAAUGAUAAUAUUGCUCACAACAACGUACUUAAUGCCACAUUUUUUAUAAAAUGCUCCUGGUUUAUUGUCUGGAUAUUUAUCUCAUGAAACCUUACAGAAUAAUGUCCAAACUUCUGAAGUUAGUUUUCUUUGUUGUGGUCCAUUUUGUUCUGCUAAUUUGAAACUUUUUUCAAUCUUAUCUUCCAUUUUGAUUAUGUCAUUUACAUCUAAUGAUGGCCAAUGGGCCGUUCCAACCCACCAAACAUCAGCCCACAUAGGUCGGCAUAAAAACCCAACAAUCUUUUUCUUUUUCUUUUAAGCACACAUGUCCAACGUGUCUAAAAAAGUCCACUAGCCUAAUAAUAAUAAUAAUAAUGUUAAUAAUUUCAUAGAUUAUAGUAAUGAUUAAUAAAAGAUAAAAUUAUAAUCCUAAAAUAAUAAUUACACCUAAUUUUAUUUGAACUACUAAAAUUAUAGUUGCACUUGAACUCCAUUGAAUGAAAAUGUAAUUUUUAAUUUAUCAUAAUUUUAUUUUGUUCAUAAUUUUUUUUUUGUGCAUAAAUAUGAAAAAUAUUUCAUUCACAAAUGAAACAUAUCUCCAUUAACUAUUAACUAAGUUAUGAUUUCAUAAAUGAAAUAUUAAUGUUGUAAAAUUUUUUAUUUAUCAUUUAUAAAAUAAUGAUAUUUAUUUAUCCAUUUAAUAAAUUAUAAACAUAAAAAAUUAGAAAAUUUAUUUAAACUAGGACUUAAAUUAAUUUUUAAAAGCCUAUGCUAAAAAAAUAUAUUAAAAAAUUUAAUUGCAAGAUAUUUACAAAUUCAUGAUAUUUUAUAUUUAUUUUUCAUUAAAAAAUUUUACUUUGAUAUACUAUGGCACAUGUGCUAUUGAUGGCCCACGAGCCGCAUACUUAGCCCACCAAUAAAGCGUGCUUAUUACGUGCCUUUUUGCAUGCUGUGCUUUUAAGGUUUGCGUGCCUAAAAUUCUAGGCCCAACAUUGCACGAGCGCGUGUCCUACUGAAACGUGCUCGUGUCGUGCCGUGCUGUACAGACACGUGCAGUGCCCGUGCAGUGCCUCAUGCCGCCUGACCCAUUGGCCAUCUCUAUUUACAUAAUCAUCUCCAACACUGGAAUCAUUAAUCGUGUAGACUGAAUUACUAUAGCUUAUGUCCAUUCUCCUAUGAAAAAAAAAACAAUUCAAAAUUAGUUAGCAAGAUGAAUUAACAAUUUAACUUAAAUAAUUAAAACAAAAAUCAAAAUUAGAGGGAACACAUUUAAGAGUAGAUGCAAGUUCGGAUAAUAGAAGCUAGGGGGUGGUUAUUGUAAUGCCAUUUUUCAAAGACUAAGAUUUGCUAGUUUCUUAACGAGUUAUUGAAUUAAAGUGCUAGAUUGAUCAGGCUUAUUUAAUUAUUAAAUAUAAUCCUGUUUCAAGUGAAUCAUCCAAAUUGCUUAUUUAAUUACUAAAUAGAAUCAUGUUUCGCGUGGCAUUUUAACCCCUACUAUUUCUAAUUUAUUAACUCUAACUAUCAUUUACUCUGGUUGUCUUUUAUGGAAUAUAAUGGAUAUUUAAUCUUACCUACUAAACCUACAACCACAAAUCCUACCUAUCACCCAAGCUCACAUAACUUAGAAAGUUCUAUGAGAUAAGCUAGACUAUGUCUUUUGGACUUGGAUAAAAAACAAGUUUAUGAUCCAACACCCCCUUAAACUUAUUUUAUAACACCCAAUAAAGUUCUCGAUCUGAAGAAAUCUUCUUGCUAGUACAAGAUGAAGCUCAAGUAUAAAGUAUUUGUUCAUUUCUCAAGGGCAAGGAUCUAGGGUAAAUACCAAUCAAAAAGUAGGAAAAAGACAUAAAAAUUGAAAGGAUUCGAUUCGAGCAAUUUUGAAAUCCAAAAGCAAGGGGAAAAUUUGUUGGAAUUGGGAAAACUUUUUCUACCAAAAGUGUAUCUUGUAGGAAUUAAUUGUUCAUAUGAUUCUUUUAUAGAAAAAAAAAAUCAAAAGGGGAGUGUGUUGCUGCCAUUUUUAAAAAUAAAAAAUGUUAAAAAUCACUGAAGUAAUGUUUAAACCUAAUGAUUCAAAGCAGAUAUAAAAGGAUCCUGGAAUAAAGAAAUACCAUUUCAGCAAUUUGAUCAUGUGAUUUGACAUACUUUGCUUAUAUUUCCUUCUUUUAAUGUACUCCCAUAUGAAAUGGUUGCGAGAGUCAAUAUGCUUACGUGGAUAAUAGAAGAGAGGAUUCUUAGUUAAGGCAACUGUUGAUUGUUAUCAAUGAAAAUCUCUGUAAGCUCUUCUUGUACAAACCCAAAUCCUUCAAUGAGCUCUUUAGCUAGAUUGUAUGACAAAUACUUGAUGUUGUAGUUACAUACUCAACUUCGUAGGUAGAAAGUGUAACAAUAAGUUGCUUCCCUAACAUUCAUGUGAAAGCAAAAUCUCUCAUAAAAAACACAAAUCUUGUGGUGCUCUUUCAAUCAUUUUUAUCUCCACUCCAAUUGUUGUAUCUCAGUGCCAGUCUUAUUGUUUUUGCACUAUCAUGUAUAGGAGGAUCAAACAAAGGAAUGAGUCCAUUAAAUUGCUAUGGGCUUCUUGAGCUCUCUUUUAAUCCUUCAGGAACUUCCUGAAACCAAAUUAAUAAAUAUAGACUUUGUUAAUGCAAAUUCCAAUUGAAGUAAUGCACCGCUACAGUGAUGUGAAGAUAGGACUUAGAACAAUGGCAUAGGUAAUUCAUAUACCUGAUAUGCCACUGCAAGAGAUCGUAAUCCUCGUUCUGCAAACUUAUUAAUCACUGCAUUGACUCUGCGUUCCAUCUCUGAUUUGUUGUACACAAGGUUUAAAAUCUGAAAGUCAAAAUAAAAGCAUAAAUUACAUCAAAGGGCAUUUCAGGAUCCUAGAACAUACCAUUAGUUGUUGACAAUCAUACUAUUAGUUGGUGACUCUAUGCAUUUUACCUUCACUGUCGAUAUAUGUCAGAGCUGUUCGCUUACCUGUGGGGUCAAAAUGGAAGGAAGAGAACUUCUUGGAUAUCAAUCCUUGCCUUGUUUAUGGUCAAAAGCAAAGGAAUCAACGUCAACGAAAUGAUAAGACGAACAAAAUAAGAAAAUGUUCACCAAGUUGCCUUCGAGAAUACAAAAAUUCAUCACACAUAAUGCGGCUCAUUUAUUAAUAUGACAUGUUUGUUCAACGUGUGUAAUUUUGUUGACCUGCUUAACACAUUUAAUUAAAAAGAAAAAUUAAAAAUUAAUUUAAAAUAUGACUGACAGACAGACUAUGUUAAUUUAUUCUCAAAUGAGUCACAUAUAUUGGUUGACCUAUUAUGAUUAUGUUUACGACAACUCCCAAGAAUAAUUGUCAUAAGUAGAUUAUAAUUACAUUUUAUCUUGUAUAUAAUCUACUUAUUUAAGGUAAUACGUGUGAUGAAAAUAUAAUUAUUAUAUUUUACCUAAAGCUCAUCAUGGGUGCGAAUCAAAAGCUUUAUUUAGGGAGCAAAUAAAAAAUUUGCUUGAAAUUCAAAAUUAAUAUUCUAAAAAAAUAAGAUUUAUUAGGACAGCUGCCGCCCUUGCUGGUCUCUAUCUUUGUGUUAAAUUUUUCAAUGCGCGAGUAAAAAACACUGGAAAGUAAUUGAAGGCACACGUUAUAUAUAUAUAUAUUAAUCUCAAGAAAAUGAGUAAUUAAUAUAGGAAACUGACUCUAUGUGGACAGAUGUUUAAUGAUAACCACUUAAGGAUAUGUAUUUGACUUAUUUUGGUUCUUAUUUAUUUAUUAAUUAAUAUAGGAUGCUUUUUUAAGUUUCUAUUUCUAAAUCAAAAUAAAUCGUGAUUAUUCGUGUAUCAUGAAAUUUUUAUAAUUCACUCUGUGUAAGCUAAAAAUGAGUGUGUUGGGUGGUAAUUCAUAUUCAAGACCUAGCAUGGUUUAGCUUUUCCAUAAGCCACAGCUCUGAAAACACUUGUAAUUGUAAUUUUGAAGUUGAGUGGAUUUUACUCUAUGGGUGUUUUUAUACAAAAUUCAUAUUAUUUUUUUAUUAAAAUUGUUACUUAAAAAUUAUAUUUAUCAACUAUUUGAGAAAUAGUUAGUAGACAGCUAAAUUGUUACUUAGCUGGUAUGUUUAAAACUAAUCUAAAAAUAUUUAGAUUAAUUAAAGAAUAACUUUUUAGCCCAAAUUUUUUUUUUUUUUAAGCUCUAAUAAAAGUAAUGAUAAAGAUUUUUCGAAUCAUAAAUACUGAUCUAAGAAUUAAUGCCUAACUCCAUAGACUAAAGGGAAAUUUACCCAAACAAUAAAGACUGACAUUAUAUUAAUGAUCUUCCGUUGCAAAUCAAAUGCUUCUCAACUUCACCUGCAUUUCUUUUCUUUUGGAGAUUAGAAUUUUGUAACUCUCACCAGUUUUUGAGAAAUGGGCCACCACGGGGAUAAAAAAUAUUUAUUUGAUGUGGAACUGCGGAUGAUGGUUAAUUAAUCGGUAAAACUUACUGUGAGUCGCACAAAAGUAUGAAAUUUAAACUUAAUUUUCAAGAAACCAGACAAACGCAAGCAAAUUCUAUUAUAGCUUUUUGAUUACUUCCAAAAAUAGCAGGUUGCAUUUUUCAAAUUGUCAAAAAGAAAUGAAACAAAGAAGUUAAAAAGCUUUCGCUAGUAGUUUUCAAGUAACUUUCUUUAAAGGUCAUCCAAAUUCCAAUUCUGAGAAGACGUGAGACUAAAAAUUCAAUCUGAAUUUUAUCCACCACCUCCCCAGUUUUUCGAAGGUAUAUACAUUGAAAAAAAGGUUAAAAAUUUUAAUAAACAGGUAGAGAAAUAUAUUACUCUUAUAAUGGUUUGUAUCACAAGUAUUGGCCGUAUAGUACUUAAACCCAUCAUACUGUUUCUUCAAACACAGAAUGUAAAACUGAAAAAACACAACCCAGAUUGGCAAAUAUAUACAUCAGAAAUGCAACUAUAACUCUUAUAGGAUGAAUUGCAAAAUUCCUUGUGGACUAAGGUACUUAUAUCUGCAAUCUCAGCAUAUGUUCCAUGUCCACGAAUGUGUCACGUGUGAUCUGUAUCAGACGGAGUAGGAUUGAGGAAUUGGGUUGAUAUCCAGUCCUUUAAGCCUAAUAAGUGAUUCAACAUGCCCUUUCAGUGUAUGCAGUUCUCUCAAUCUGCAAAAAAUCAAAAUAGUGAAUGCAUAAGAGUGUAUGCUUCAAGCAAUAAAUUUCGGCUUUUAAGAGUAGAAAUUAAGUAAGUAAUGUAGUUUGUUGGCGUUAUAUUUAUAUGUUUACCUAGCAAUCUCAGCUCUUCUUUUUGCUUCUUCAGCUAUCCGGCUAAGUUCUCCGUAACUGCUUUGUGCACUGAACAUACUGGUGUCACACUGUGGCAACCCAUCGAGGGCUCUCUGCGCCUGUGCCCAUCGGCGCUCACGUUCUUCCCUUCUGAAAUCUCUUUUAGUUAUGAAGGCAAUCUGCAAAAUAGCAAUUACAGUAUCGAGAGUGAGCAAGAAAUUAAGCUCCAGUACUUGAAUAAAAUGUGUUGAACUCAAGCCAUCAAUACCCUUUGUUCAGUGACAAGAUCCCAAAAUUUCCUGCUAAGCACAUAUCGGAUGAAGAACUUUAUAAAAUCAAGCGGAAUGUAGAAGAUGAUAUUAUAUAGCCAAAUCACACCAGCCCAACCCCAUCCUAUUCCUUCAAUUGUAGCAAAGCUCCAGGUUGCAUAGACGGCAAUCAGUGUAGCAAUCUGCUCACAGAAUUAAAAAGGAUCAACUCAUCCCCUAUAUGUCGAAAAGGCCAAAAGGAAACAGCAUAUAUCACUCACCAGCUGAGCAACAAAGAAAGCCAGAGCAAGAAACGGGACAGGACACUCGACGUAAGACCAACUCCUUGCACGUGUCACGAAUACGUUGGCCUGACUAAUGGAACUCACUUGCAGGUAUACUGCCGAGGCAAGUUUUCUCCAGUCGUCCACAUCCUUUUCGUUAAGACUUGAAACGCCAAAUGUACGCUGAAUGUUGCAUACUGAGUUUCAGUCCAACUUAUUGAAGACAAUGUAAAGGCAUAUUUUAUUCUCUAUAUUAUUAAAUCAAGGAAAACGGGCAUACAUAACACCCAAAUUGGGUGACAUGAUAACACAAAAGAUAAAUCACAUUACUGGAAAGAAGUCUGUCUUGUAUGCUGUCCAAAAGAAAAUCACAGUCAUCAUUGCCAAGUAGCCACCAAGAAUGCUUCCAGUUACAAAGAUCUCGGUCAAAUUCCACUUUUCUGGAUGAGGAGAUGGUCUGACUCUAUCUUUUGAUAUUGUAGUAAUAAUAGCACCUGGCAAUCAAUGUACCGGGUAAAUAUCAAUAGACAAGUAUAUUUCUUAUUUGAAAUCAAUACACCUGGAUGAAAAGGAAUACAAACAGUUACGGUAUACAUGCUGAGUCAAGGAAAUACAAACCAUCAUUAAGAAUAGCAAUUAUCAGGACCAUGAAGGAUGGAAAGUUAAACUGCCAGAUGAGAGCUAACAGCCUGAAAGCAAACUGUCACCAAGAGAAACAGCUAGGACGUCAAGCUGAGAUAUUCAAGCUACUUUUGUGGAGACUCUUUCAUAUUCAUCAGCAGGGCAAUAAUUACUAUAGAAGAUUAAAGUUGCAAUUACCAAAUAAAUUACACAAUACUCUCCUACAUGGUAUUUGAAACAAGCAGCAAACAACUUACUCCAAUAUGGAUGGUACCGGAGACUGCAUAUAUCUGCGACAAGAAAGAAAUUAAUUAAGCAUCAAAAAGUGGGGAUAGAGCAAGAAGGAAUCCAGUAAUUCAAGUAAACAAUGCUCAUGUUCUUGUUUCAAUUUUGCAAAAGUCAGAAACACUGUGAAGAAGUUACCAAUGCCCACAAAAAUCAAGUUUUCAUGAACGGCGCCACCGCCAACAUCCUGGUUUAUUAUAUUAUUUAUUACUAUUUUACCUCAGGCUCUAAAAGUAAUUAACUGAGCAAUGACAUGUUAUUUCAAUCUCAGUGCUUUCUUCACCACCAGGCUCUAAAGUAGUGUAAAAUGUAAGCUUUAAAAUUAUUAGUUUGUUUGUAGGUUAAGGAAUGUGGAAUAGAUAGAAUUAGAUAGGCUCAGGAAUUCAGUUGCCUCACACAAAGCCCAUCCUUCAGUACACUAUCAACUAUAGAACACCUUUUCCUUAGAAUCAGAACCAACCCUCACCGUGUAGUUUUUCAUCCUCUGGAAUAUUGCUCGACUAUUUAGAACAGCAGUAAUGAUAACAUUAAGGCCAGGUUCUGUCAGGACAAUGUCGGCAGCACUACGAGCUGCAUCAAUUGCAUCAGCAACAGCUAUGCCAAUGUCUGCUUUCUUUAGAGCGGGAGCAUCAUUGAUACCGUUACCAAUCAUUCCACAUAUAUGUUUCCUAGCUUGCAAACGCUUCACAAUCUCAUAUUUGUGCUCUAUAAAAGAAAUAAGGACAGCCGUGUAAGCAAGGGUUAAAAAAAGAAAUAUGCUACGAUUAAAAUAUAACGAAAAGGUUGUAGGAUGUGGUUAUGCAUACAUCAAGUACAGUUCAAGCUAUACAACGCUGACUUCAGUAUGUGGACGACUACUUAAUGCAAAUUAGGAGAUCAAGCUUUUUACCAGGGAAAACACCAGCAAACCCAUCAGCUUUCUCAAUCAACUCGUCAACUGGUAAAGCAACUAUCGACUCAUCCCUGUCCUGCCCUAAUAAGGCUGAUGAAGGAUACAUGUUGGUUCCCAUUCCAAGACGGCGUCCUGUUUCUUUUGCUAUUGCAAGUUGAUCACCUGACAAAGAGGAAAAGUCAAACAGAUUUAAUAUCCAUCUUAAUGUGAUGAAAACGCCAAUUAAAACAUUCUAAAAAGGUAAAACCAUAAGAGUAUUUAAAUUCCACCAGCAAUGCAAAAGAAAACUGACAUAUAAGCAUUUUUUGAGAUAGAAGGAUUAAACAAAAGCAGAAACAACAAAAUUUCUCUAGAUAUAAAUGGUGCCUAAACAAAGACUAAAUAUUAAGAUUACAAAUUAGGAAGACAUACUACAGUAAAUGGGAGAAGCACCUGUAGUCAUUUUCACGCUCAACUAGGAACACAUAAUACAAUAAAUGGGAGAAGCACCUGUGAUCAUUUUCACGCUCAAUCCAAGAUUCAGUGCCCUUCUUAUUGUUUCUGCACUAUCAUGCCUAGGAGGAUCAAACAAAGGAAUGAGUCCAAUAAAUUGCCAUGGGCUUCCUGAGCUCUCUUUUGAUCCAUCAGGAACUUCCUGAAACCAAAUUAAUAAAUAUAGACUUUGUUAAUACAAAUUGCAAUUGAAGUAAUGCACUGCUAUAGUGGUGUGAAGAUACGACCUAGAACAAUGACAUAGGUAACUCAUAUACCUGAUAUGCCACUGCAAGAGACCGUAAUCCUCGUUCUGCAAACUUAUCAAUCACAGCAUUGAUUCUGCGUCCUAUCUCUGAUUUGUUGUGUACAAGAUUUAAAAUCUGAAAGUCAAAAUAAAAGCAUAAAUUAUAUCAAAUGGCCUUUCAGAAUCCUAGAACAUACUAUUAGUUGUUGACAAUCAUACCUGCUCUGGAGCACCUUUGGUGACCCUAUGCAUUUUACCUUCAGUGUCGAUAUAUGUCAGAGCUGUUCGCUUACCUGUGGGGUCAAAUGGAAGGAAGUGAACUUCUUGGAUAUCAGCCCUUGCCUUGUUUAAGGUCAAAAGCAAAGAAAUCAGUGUCAACAAAAUGAUAAGACGAAAAAUUAAGAAAAUCUUCUACAAGUUGCCUUUGAGAAUACAAAAUUUCAACAACAGUUAAGCUUAGCUAGAGUAAAAUACAUACAUGAAAUUCUAGAAUUCAUAAAUAUACCUUCUUUGGAUCAGCCAACAUUCCUACUAUAGCAGCAUCUAUUACAUCUAGGUUUUCCACUUGGGAGGCUCGAGCUGCCAUCAGAACAACAGUGUCUGCAUCCACUCCUUUAGCAAAGAUCUGAACAAUGAUCCAGGCCAAUUGUUGAAAUACAAAUUGCAAUUCUAAAAGUGAGCAAAAUUUACACCAACCUCAAUUAGAUUCUUGUCAACUGUUAAUUUGUUCAAAGUUAGAGUUCCGGUUUUGUCACAGCAAAGCACAUCCAUGCCUGCCAUUUCGACUAUUGCACUGAUUCUCUUUGUGAUGACACCCUGCAGUAAUAAGCCCAUAUAUGCUUGCAACCAUCAACUAAUGACCACUAAAAGUAACAUCAUUAUAAAUAACAACUAAGACCAACCUGCCGAGACAAUCGUUUGGAACCAAUCGCCAUUGUCACUGAUAAAACAGUAGGCAUGGCGAUAGGAAUUCCUCCAAUAAGAAGCACAAGUAAAUUAUCAAGUCCUGUGCGGUAUUCCCUGUGUUGAACCGCGUACAUGACAAUGAUCUCUAAUAUUAACCCCAGUGCAAUUGAACAUAUGCAGUAUUUUCCAACUGCAGUCAAGAUCUGUAAACAAGCCCGAGAGCAAGAGUUUCGGUGAAUGAUAAUGUGAGAUUGAACAUAAAAACAAGUCUUAAGGAAUGUGAAUUCGCAUUUUCUUGCCUUUUGAAAGUGACCCACUUGAUUUUUGGUAUCCACAAGGUGUACAGCCCUGCCAAGGAAGGUAUGAAUACCAGUGGCAAUGACCACAGCUUGAAUCUCCCCUUGUUUGCACGUAGAGCCUGAAUGUACACAGUCACCAGGGCCCUUACUUACGGGAAUAGACUCGCCUGUGAGAGCAGACUGCAAUGUACAAAUUGAAAGAACUUAAAUUAAAUAGACCAACUUUACCAAAUCAAUGCAAACAUACAAAGAUUGCAAAAGCUCACCUGAUCAAUUUCCAAUGGAUCACCUUCGAGGAGACGAGCAUCAGCAGGAAUAAUGUCACCAAGCUUAACACUAAUGACAUCACCAGGAACAAGAAUGGCUGCAUCUUCCUCCUUCCACCUUCCAUCUCGAAGGACCUGAAAUAAUUUCUCCAAUUACAGGAAUGCCAGAGCCUAGAGCCACAAACUCUUCUUAAAAAGUAUUAUUUUACAAAUUAAUAUGACAUAACAGUUUUUGAUUUCAAUUCUCAUUGAAUUAAGUUGAUAUGAACUUAAUAAUAAACUUGUUAGAUAUGCAUAUGCACUAACUCACCAAUAAUCUUAAUCUGACAACUAUUCGAGUGUAGUCAGUACCUUUGAUUUAGGAGCAAGACGAGCCAUGAGAGCUGCGCUGGCAGCACCUGCAUUGUUCUCCUGAAUGAAACAAACUGUUGAGUUGAUAAGAAGCAGGGUUGUUAUCCCAAUAAAAUCUUGCCAUUCAGGAGGUUUACCCUGCAGCAAUGAAAUUCCCAACAGUAAGAUAUUGCUUACAAAAUGAGCUAAUGAACAUAUUUUCAUUUCCAAAAACAUCAAAUGGAAAACACCAUUUUUUUUUUUUCGAAAACAAAAUUUAAAAAUAUAAUUUGAAAAACAGUAAUCAAUACUCACUCCUCCAUUUGCAAGUACAAUUGCCAUGAUAGCCGCAGCUUCCAUGACCCAUGAGAGAGGGUUCCACAUAAAUCCCAAAAACUUCAAAAUUUUACUUUCCUGCCAAAAAAUGAAUAAAUAAAAAAGUAAAAUAAAAAAAAAAUACAAUAAACAAAAGCAAAAUGUCUUACAAUCAUUAAAAAGGUAUCUUUUUUGAUUAAUAGAACUUUCCCAUAAGAAGCUAACAAGGAUGAAAAAAAAAUGCUAAAUGUAAAACUACCCUUUUCUCCUCAAGCUUGUUGGAGCCAAAUAUGGAAAGUCUCUGCUCAGCAGCCUCCGUCGAAAGGCCCUCUUGAUUGCACUUCAAAGUCUCAAAAACCUCCUGCAUCGCUACGUUUUCCUGCAGACCAAAACCUGAACUUCCUCACAAAACAAAUUACCUAGAAAGCACAAACACUUAAUAACACUGAAGAAAAUGACGAACUCUGUUUCAAUACCAAAUCCACAUCUUCAUUCGUUAUGCUCUCCAUUUCUUCUCAAUAAACUCACUUUCUUCACUUUCGUUAUCUUCCUUCAAACCCCAUAAAAACCAAGUAAUUAAACAAAUCAUGUUAAAACAAAAUCACAGGAAAAAUAAACGAUUGAGAGAGAGAGAGAGUAAAAAACAGAGUAAUAUGUUUUGCUUUCCACCUUUUAAUUUGAGAAAUCUCUUUCUGUAGAGAGAGAAGGAGGGAAUAGUUUUAGUCUCUCGAGAAUCUAUGAGUGGUAGCUUCUAUAAGUGCAAGGUUUCUCUUUAUAUGUCAGUGUGUUCUCUCUCCUCCAUUUUUUUUUUAAUUCUUUAUUUUUACUUGUCCAGUUCAGUUCUCGCGUUCUGUCUUUUCCUUUAAUUUUCUUGCUGGUAACUUAAUCGAGAAGGUGUGUCGAAACAACCCCAUUUUACUUUCCACACUACUGCAUGGCUUUUGCUCUGAAGUCAAUGCAACGAGGAAUUUGUUCAAAAGUCAAGCAUGCAGUUGUUGAGUGAGCCAUCCUACCAUGCAGAUACAGCCCAUGCAUGCAACCGGUACAACCGGUUUUUAACCGGUUAAUAUAAUAAAAAUUACAUUUUUUUUGUUUUGAAUGUGAAAAAAUAGGGAAAAAAGGAUAAAAUUGUAAUUAAAUGAGGAAAAAUAUUGCAAUAAUUUUAAAUUUACAAAAAAUUUAAAAAAACUAGAAAUAUGUCAUAAAAUUGUCAUAUUCCUACUUAUUUUGUCAUAUUUCAAUACAUUAUAUAAUGUAUGUUUCAAGUUUACUUUUCAAAUCUCUAUUUUUUGUAACGAUUUAUCUAAAUUUUGGUAAGUUGUUUCGACUCAUUUUCCCACUAGUUUUUAGUUCUAUAUUUUUACUCUUUUCAUUAAUUUUUAGAUUUUUUAAGUGGAUAUUUCAAGUUUAAUUUCAUAUCUCUACAAUAUGUUAAAUUUUUAUCUAAUUUUUGGUAAAUUAUUCCGAUUUAUUUUUCUACCACUUUUUGGUUCUAUAUUCCUAUUCUUUUUAUUGAAAUUCAACAUUUUAAAUAAAUAUAUCAAGUUUAUCUUUUAGAUCCCUAUAAAUUAUUUCAAUUUUUAAGUUAACUUCUUCGACUCUUGUAAAAACCGUGGCGCGGAACAAUGGUAAGGCUGCUGUUACCGUAGAAGUCCACGCAAAUGGUACGUUGUUCAAACACACACAUGCAGAUGGUGAUAAGAAAACAGCUAAAAACGUUGCAUGCAAAGAAUUGUUGAAUGAGUGAGUAUUCUAGCUUUCCUGGGACUAAGCUUAUGAAUUUUCAGUAGUUGUCAUAUUCUACACUUCUUCUAACAAAAUAGAUUUUUAAACACUAACAAAAGUAACGACAGAGAUAUUUCGAAUUAUAUUUAAAAAUGCAACUACUGAUGGAAGAAUUAAUGCCCGACCCCAAAGACUAAAGAGUAAUUUACCUAAACAGUAAAGAUUUAUAUUACGUUAAUGAUGUUUCCUUGCUAUUCAGAUGCUUCUCAACUUUACCGUCAUUUCUUUUCUUUUGGAUGGUUAUCAUUAGAAUUUUGUAACUCUCACCAUCAAGAGGAUAAAAAAUUUAUAAAGUUGACGUUUGGAACUGUGGAUGGUAGUUGAGUCUUUUAAUUGGUACAUUUUUUAAGGUAUGAAGUUUGAACUUUAUCUUUUAAGGAAUCAGAUAAACGCAAGCAAAUUCUAUUAUAGCUUUUUGAUUACAUCCAAAAAUUGCAGGUUACAUUUUUUUAAUUAUCAAAAAAAUAAUGAAACCCAAAAGUUAAAAAGUCUUCACUAGUAGUUUUCAAGCAACUUUAUCUAAAGGUCAUUCAAAUCUCAAUUCUCAGAUGGUAUGAGGCUAAAAAUUUAAUCUGAAUUUUACCCACCACCUCCCCACUUUUUAGAGGAUACAUACAUACAUACAUAUAUAUAUAUAUAUAUAUAUAUAUAUAUAUAUAUAUAUAUAUAUAUAUAUUUCAAAAUUAUGGUUUGUAUCACAAGUAGUGAGCAUAUAGUGCUUAAACCCAUCAUACUAUUUCUUCAAACACAAAAUGUAGAACUGAAAAACACAACCCAGAUUGGCAAAUAUAUACAUCAGAAAUGCAACUAUAACUCUUUCAGGAUGAAUUGCAUAAUUACUUGUGGGCUAAGGCACUUAUAUCUGCGAUCUCAGCAUAUGUUCCUUGUCCACGAAUGUGUCACGUGCGAUCUGUAUCAGACGGAGUAGGAUUGCAGAAUUGGGUCGAUAUCCAGUCCUUUAAGCCUAAUCAGUGAUUCAACUUGCCCUUUCAGUGUAUGCACUAUGCAGUUCUCUCAAUCUGCAAAAAAUCAAAAUAGUGAAUGCAUAAGAGUGUACAUUCCAAGCAAUAAAUUUCAGCUCUUAAAGAGUAGAAAUAAAGUAAUGUAAUUUCCUGGCAUUAUAUUUAUAUGUUUACCUAGCAAUCUCAGCUCUUCUUAUUGCUUCUUCAGCCAUCCGGCUGAGUUCUCCGUAACUGCUUUCUACACUGAACAUGCUGGUGUCACGCGGGUGCAACCCAUGGAGGGUUCUCUGCUCCUGUGCCCAUCGACGCUCAUGUUCUUCUUUUCCGAAAUCUCUUUUAGUUGUGAAGGCAGUCUGCAAAAUAGGAAUUACACUAUGGAGAGUGAGCAAGAAAUUAAGGUCCAGCACUUGAAUAAAAUUUGUUGAACUCGAGCCAUCAAUACCCUUUGUUCAAUGACAAGAUCCCAAAAAUUCCUGCUGAGCACAUAUCGGAUGAAGAACUUUAUAAAAUCAAGCAGAAUGUAGAAGAUAAUAUUAUAAAGCCAAAUCACACCAGCCCAACCCCAUCCUAUUCCUUCAAUUGUAGCAAAGCUCCAGGUUGCAUAGACGGCAAUCAGUGUAGCAGUCUGCUCACAGAAUCAAAAAGGAUCAACUCAUCCUCUAUAUGUCAGAAAGGCCAAAAGGAAACAGCAUUUAUCACUCACCAGCUGAGCAACACAGAAAGCCAGAGCAAGAAACAGGACAGGACACUUGACGUAAGACCAACUCCUUGCAUGUGUCACGAAUAGGUGGGCCUGACUGAUGGAACUCACUUGCAGGUAUACUGCCGAGGCAAGUUUUCUCCAGUCGUCCACAUUCUUUUUGUUAAGACUUGAAACGCCAAAUGUACGCUGAAUGUUGAAGACAAUGUAAAGGCAUACAUUAUUCUCUAUAUUAUUAAAUCAAGGAAAACGAGCUUACAUAACACCCGAAUUGGGUGGCAUGAUAAAACAAAAGAUAAAUCACAUUACUGGAAAGAAGUCUGUCUUGUAUGCUGUCCAAAAGAAAAUCACAGUCAUCAUUGCCAAGUAACCACCAAGAAUGCUUCCAGUUACAAAGAUCUAGGUCAAAUUCCACUUUUCUGGAUGAGGAGAUGGUCUGACUCUAUCUUUUGAUAUUGUCAUAAUAAUAGCACCUGGCAAUCAAUGUACCGGGUAAAUAUCAAUAGACAAGUAUAUUUCUUAUUUGAAAUCAAUACACCUGGAUGAAAAGGAAUACAAACAGUUACGAUAUACAUGAUGAGUCAAGGAAAUACAAACCAUCAUUAAGAAUAGCAAUUAUCAGGACCAUGAAGGAUGGAAAGUUAAACUGCAAGAUGAGCGCUAGCAGCCUGAAACCAACUGUCACCAAGAGAAACAGUUAAGAUGUCAAGCUGAGAUAUUCAAGCUACUUUUGUGAAGACUCUUUCAUAUUCAUCAGCAGGGCAAUAAUUACUAUAGAAGAUUAAAGUUGCAAUUACCAAAUAAAUUACACAAUACUCUCCUACAUGGUAUUUGAAACAAGCAGCAAACAACUUACUCCAAAAUGGAUGGUAAUGGAGACUGCAUAUCUCUGCGACAAGAAAGAAAUUAGUUAAGCAUCAAAAAGAGGGGAGAUAGCAAGAAGGAAUCGACUAAUUCAAGUUAAAAAUGCUCGUGUUCUUGUUUCAAUUUUGCAAAACUCUGAGACACUGUAAAGAAGUUACCAAUGCCCACAAAAAUCAAGUUUUCAUGAACAGCACCACCACCAAUGUCUUGGUUUAUUAUCUUAUUUAUUAUUAUUUUACCUCAGGCUCUAAAAGUAGUUUACAGAAAAAUGACAUGUUAUGUCAAUCUGAGUGCUUUCUUCACCACCAGGCACUCAAGCAGUGUAAAAUGGAAGCUUUAAAAUUAUUAGUUUGUUUGUAGGUUAAGGAAUGUGGAAUAGAUAGAAUUACAUGGGUUGUGUAUUCCCUCACACAAAUCCCAUCCUUCACUACACUAUUGACUACAAAACACCUUUUCCUUAGAAUCAAAACCAACCAUCACCGUGUAACUUCUCAUCCUCUGGAGUAUUGCUCGACUAUUUAGAACGGCAGUAAUGAUAACAUUAAGGCCAGGUUCUGUCAGGACAAUGUCGGCAGCACUACGAGCUGCAUCAGUUGCAUCAGCAACAGCUAUGCCAAUGUCUGCUUUCUUUAGAGCGGGAGCAUCAUUGACACCGUUACCGAUCAUUGGACAUAUAUGGUUCCUAGCUUGCAAAUGCUUCACAAUCUCAUAUUUGUGCUCUAUAAACAAAAUAAGGACAGCCGUGUAAACAAGGGAAAAAAAAAAAAGGAAAUAUGCUAUGAUCAAAAUAUAGUGAAAAGAUUGUAGGAUGCAGUCAUGCAUACAUCAAGUUCAAUAAAAGCUAUACAACACUGACUUCAGUAUGUGGACGACUACUUAAUGCAAAUUAGGAGAUCGAGCUUCAUACCAGGGAAAACACCAGCAAACCCAUCAGCUUUCUCAAUCAACUUGUCAACUGGUAACGCAACUAUCGACUCAUCUCUGUCCUGCCUGAAUAAGGCUGAUGAAGGAUACAUGUUGGUUCCCAUCCUGUUUCUUUUCCUAUUGCAAGUUGAUCACCUGAGAAAGCGGGAAAGUCAAACAGAUGGAAUAUCUAUCUUCAUGUAAAGAAAACGCCAAUUAAAACAUUCUUAAAAAGGUAAAACCAUAAUAGUAUUUAAAUUCCACCCGCAAUGCAAAAGAAAACUGACAUAUAAGCAUUUUUUCAGAUAGAAGGAUUAGACAAAACCAGAAGCAACAAAAUUUCUCUAGAUAUAAAUAGUGCCUAAACAAAGACUAAAUAUUAAGAUCACAAAUUAGGAAGACUUAGUACAAUAAAUGGGAGAAGCACCUGUGAUUGUUUUCACGCUCAACUAGGAAGACAUAAUACAAUAAAUGGGAGAAGCACCUGUGAUCAUUUUCAUGCUCAACCCAAGACUCAGUGCUCUUCUUAUUGUUUCUGCACUAUCAUGUAUAGGAGGAUCAAACAAAGGAAUGAGUCCAAUAUAAUGCCAUGGGCUUCCUGAGCUCUCUUUUGAUCGUUCAGGAACUCCCUGAAACCAAAUUAAUAAAUAUAGACUUUGUUAAUACAAAUUACUAUUGAUGCAAUGCACCACUAUAGUGAUGUAAAGAUAGGACCUAGAACAAUGACAUAGGUAAUUCAUAUACCUGAUAUGCCACUGCAAGAGAUCGUAAUCCUCUUUCUGCAAAUUUAUUAAUCACGGCAUUGACUCUGCGUCGUAUCUCUGAUGUGUACAAGGUUUAAAAUCUGAAAGUCAAAAUAAAAGAAAGCAUAACUUACAUCAAAUGGCAUUUCAGAAUCCUGGAAGGUACUAUUAGUUGUUGACAAUCACACCUGCUCUGGAGCACCUUUGGUAACCCUAUGCAUUUUACCUUCACUGUCGAUAUAUGUCAGAGCUGUUCGCUUACCUGUGGGGUCAAAUGGAAGGAAGUGAACUUCUUGGAUAUCAGCCCUUGCCUUGUUUAUGGUCAAAAUAAAAGAAAUCAAUGUCAACAAACUGAUAAGAUGAAAAACUAAGAAAAUCUUCUUCAAGUUGCCUUUGAGAAUACAGAAAUUUCAACAGCAGUUGAGCUUAACUAGAUUAAAAUACAUACAUGAAAUUCUAGAAUUCAUAAAUAUACCUUCUUUGGAUCAACCAACAUUCCUGCUACAGCAGCAUCUAUUACAUCUAGGUUUUCCACUUGGGAGGCUCGAGCUGCCAUCAGAACAACAGUGUCUACAUCCACUCCUCUAGCAAAGAUCUGAACAAUGAUCCAGGCCAAAUGUUGAAGUACACAUGGCAAUUCUGAAAGUGAGAAAAAUUUAUACCAACCUCAAUUAGAUUCUUGUCAAUUGUUGAUUUGUUCAAAGUUAGAGUUCCGGUUUUGUCACAGCAGAGCACAUCCAUGCCUGCCAUAUCAACUAUUGCACUUAUUCUCUUUGUGAUAACUCCCUGCAGUAAUUAGCCCAUUUAUGCUUGCAAUCAUCAACUAAUGACCACUAAAAGUAACAUCAUUAUAAAUAACAACUAAGACCAACCUGCCGAGACAAUCGUUUGGAACCAAUCGCCAUUGUCACUGAUAAAACAGUAGGCAUGGCGAUAGGAAUUCCUCCAAUAAGAAGCACAAGUAAAUUAUCAAGUCCUGUGCGGUAUUCCCUGUGUUGAACCGCGUACAUGACAAUGAUCUCUAAUAUUAACCCCAGUGCAAUUGAACAUAUGCAGUAUUUUCCAACUGCAGUCAAGAUCUGUAAACAAGCCCGAGAGCAAGAGUUUCGGUGAAUGAUAAUGUGAGAUUGAACAUAAAAACAAGUCUUAAGGAAUGUGAAUUCGCAUUUUCUUACCUUUUGAAAGUGACCCACUUGAUUUGUGGUAUCCACAAGAUGUACAGCUCUGCCAAGGAAGGUGUGAACACUAGUGGCAAUGACCACAGCUUGAAUCUCCCUUGUUUGCACGUAGAGCCUGAAUGUACACAGUCACCAGGACCCUUACUUACGGGAAUAGACUCGCCUGUGAGAGCAGACUGCAACGUACAAAUUGAAAGAACUUAAAUUAAAUAGACCAACUUUACCAAAUCAAUGCAAACAUACAAAGAUUGCAAAAGCUCACCUGAUCAAUUUCCAAUGGAUCACCUUCGAGGAGACGAGCAUCAGCAGGAAUAAUGUCACCAAGCUUAACACUAAUGACAUCACCAGGAACAAGAAUGGCUGCAUCUUCCUCCUUCCACCUUCCAUCUCGAAGGACCUGAAAUAAUUUCUCCAAUUACAAAGUAUUAUUUUUCAAAUAAUUUCCACAAACUCUUCUUACAAAGUAUUAUUUUACAAAUUAAUAUGACAUGACAGUUUUUGAUUCCAAUUCUCAUUGAGUUAAGUUGAUAUGAAGUUCAUAAUAAACUUAUUAGAUAUGCACAUGCACUAACUUACCAAUAAUCUUAACCUGACAACUAUUCAAGUGUAGUCAGUACCUUAGCUUUAGGAGCAAGAUGAGCCAUGAGAGCUGCGCUGGCAGCACCUGCAUUGUUCUCCUGAAUGAAACAAACCGUUGAAUUGAUAAGAAGCAGGGUUGUUUACCCUGCAACAAUGAAGUUCCCAACAGUAAGGAUUAAAUUUAAUGAAGCCUAAAUUCCUUUGUUGAAAUAUAUUUCCAUUUUGCUAUUUAUACUUCUUCAAAUUCCUUUCUCGGAAUAUAGGUAAAUAAGCUAUUCCCAUCUAAUCUAAAUUUUAUGUAAUUGCCUCGAUUAUUCAUUUGUUAAAUUUUUUAAAAAUAAAAUUAUUAAGUUGUAAGGUUUGUUUGGUAACUAACUGAGAAUAAGACAAAAAGAAAGGUAUGAGAUUGAAUCAAAUGAAAUUUUUGAUAAUCUAUUUUGCUUAAUUUUUUGUUUACUAAUUUUUGUUUGAGGAUUAAUUGUAGGUAAAUGAAUUUAAACGAAUUCAACUUGGCUGCAAAUUAUGUUAAAUCAAUAUCUACUUAUUAAACGAAUCUAACUCCAAAUCUAUCUAAUAAAUGGUCUAAUUUAAAUCCAUCGAAUUUUGAUGAAAUUCGUUUUGACACCCCAAAAUGAAUAUGCUUUGAAAAUUGAUAGUGGCCGCAAGCAAGGAGAUCCUAUAUCCUGAAAGAAGGUGGAUUUGACAUGAGGUAAUUUCAAAAGAUAAAAAGAUAUUCUGCGAAGCAUUUUCGAAAAUUCUUAAGACCACGAGGCUGUUUCAAUAAUUUAUAUUGAAAAAUUUCGUCAAAACUCAAUUGAGCCUCGUGACCCACUUCGCCCCAGUGUUAUCUGGUCAAAAUUUCUUCAGAAUUUCAGAGGUCUUUUAUCUAUCUGGUCUAUUCAAGUUUGUACUUUCUUUUUCUCUGAUCCUGUUGAACCAAAAUGUUAAGGAUUUGUAUACGUGAACAGCUUUAAAAUACAGUAUUCUUUCGUAACUAUACGAUUAGAGUUAUAAUAAAUUUUUUAUUACUUAUCACUUUACGUGUAUAUUUAUAAUUUGUGUUCUACCUUAGAGUAGCUCCAAGGUAGUCAUAGUCAAAUGUUAAUUCUGGAAUUGAUUCUUGUAUCACUAAGUAAUCUUGUACAAUAAAACUUAAAUUCUUAGCCUGCGUACAUAAUGAAUAAUGAGAAAUUUGUGUGUUCAUGCUACAAUGGCUACUUGAUUAUUACAAAUGACCUAAUUAUCUUCUUCUUCUUCUCUUUCUUCUAAAAAUAAUAAUUAUAAAAUUUAAAAAAAAUGACAAUUCACUUGUCACCCAGCUACCACUGGUUUACAAUAAUAAAAAAAAUUACAAGCUUUAGAAUGAAUAAUAUCUCUAAAUUUAAUUAUUGCAUGUAAUUAUUUUGGGCAAUAGCGCAUUAAUAUGUUAUAGGAACAAAUUAUGAAAUUAGUAAAUACGCAACCCAAAAAAAAAAAAAUCAACAAAAUUGAUGCCAAAUUUAUAUUUGUACGAUGCUAUUAUUGAAAAACAACUUUAUCCCUAACACUUUUUCAAAGCUUUUCAUAUCCUUGCAUAAAUUAUCAAAUGCGUUUUUAGCUAAAGUUCAUUUUUAGAUAUUGUUUACAAAAUGAGCUAUUAAAUAUAUUUUCAUUUCCGAAAACAUCAAAUAGAAAACACCAUUUUUUUUUCUAAAACAAAUUUUAAAAAUAUAAUUUGAAAACCAGUACUUAAUACUCACUCCUCCAUUUGCAAGUACGAUUGCCAUGAUAGCUGCAGCUUCCAUGACCCAUGAGAGAGGGUUCCACAUAAAUCCCAAAAACUUCAAAAUUUUACUUUCCUGCCAAAUAAUAAUAAUAAUAAAAAAAGUAAAAAAAAAAACAAUCAACAAAAGCAAAAUGUCUUAAAAUCAUUAAAAAUGUAUCUUUUUUUUUUUUUAAUUAAUAGAACUUUCCAAUAAGAAAGCUAACAAGGAAAAAAAAAAUGACAAAAGUAAAAAUAUGGAAAGUCUCUGCUCGGCUACCUCCGAUGAAAGGCCCUCUUGAUUGCACUUCAAAGUCUCAAAAACCUCUUGCAUCGCUGCGUUUUCCUGCAGACCAAAACUUGAACUUCCUUACAAAACAAAAUACCUAGAAAGCAAAAACACUUAACAACACAGAAGAAAAUGACAACGCUCUCAUGAUUUGACGAAAUAGUCAUAGACAUGCCCUUAUGUUUAGAAACUGUCACAUAAGAUAAUUUUUUAGAUAAUUUUUUUCGGAUAAAAUUUAGUCCGGUUAUUAUAAUCAAAUAACAUAAUUGUCGUAAAAGAGAUCUAUGAGUCUAUGUGAUGAUUUUUCAAAAUAAAAAGAUCACCGUGACUGUAUCUUGUCAAGCCAUAGGGGUGUUGGUGUCUUUUUUUUUUUCUUAAUUGUAAACUCAACAUGAAAAUGCAAAAAAUAGUAACAAAAACAAUCAAGAACAGAGAGGACAAUCUCUGUUUCAAUACCAAAUCCAUAACUUCAUGCAUGCUAUCAUUUCUUCUCAAAAAAAUCACUUGCUUCCUUCAAACUCUUAAAAACCAAGUAAUUAAACAAAUCAUGUUAAAACAAAAUCACAGAAAAAAAAUGAUGAAAAGAGAGAGAGAGAGACUCAAAAACAGAGUAAUGUGUUUUGCUUUUCACCUUUUAAUUUGAGAAAUUCUUUGUUUGUAGAGAGAGAAGGAGAGAAUAGUUUUAAUCUCUCUCUCUCUAGAAUCUAUAAGCGGCAGCUUCUUUAAGUGCAAGGUUUCUUCUUGUGUCUGUAUGUUCUCUCUUUCCUUCAUUUUUAUAAUUUUUUUAUUUUUAUUUGUCUAGUUCAGUACGUAAGUAGUUUGAUGUUGAUAAAUUGUUAGCAUGUUCUGUCUUUUCCUUUUAUUUUGUUUAAGUAAAGUAUCUCUGCAUGGCAAGGCCGGCUUUUUUGCCCUGAAGCCAAUGCAAUAAGGAAUUAUUUAGGGCUCCAUUUUGUAAUAAGAAGAUAAUUUUUCUUACGUGUGAAACAAAAUAUUCAGGACAAGUGUGAGGAAAACAUAAAUCACAACAUUCUAAUUCAAUUUAUGCAGCGGGUGCACUGUGGAUUCAGUUAUGAUAUUUGUGAUGGCUUUUUAUAUAUAUCUUAUUGUGAUAAGUAGUUAUUAGAUAAAAAAAAAAAACAUGUAAGUUAAUGUUAACUCUACAUAAAACGCAUGCGAAAUGGUAUAAACUUGGAUCCGAUUUAGUAAUAAGCUUAACUGGUAUAAUCUUUUGGGAUGACAUAAAAAGCCUAAAGUUCAAACUCUAUUGGGUGAGGAAGAAACUAAACUAUCGUUAAACCUAUAAAAUAGACAAUCUACUAGAAAAUAUGCACUCGAAGUCACUACCCAUUCUAAAGAGUUAAAAAGCUUUACGUGAGAUUGUAGUUAGAAGUUCAGCAAUUCAUGAGGUUGUUAGAGGCUAUAUAAAGUUAUGUGAAGAUGCUAAUUUGAUUAGGUGUGCGGGGGUAGCAAAACUAAUAAAAAAAUCAAAUUCAAAUAGAAUUAUAAAUGAAUUGAGUCAACAUUCUACUGAUUUAAAUUCGAUUUGUUUAUUAAACAAAUUGAAAUCACUAUUAGAAAAAUGACAUUCACUGAUACUAGAUUCCUGAUAUUAAAUAAAAAAAAGUAUCAAUAUUUGAUGACCUAAGCAACUUUUAAUGUGUUUUACAUAUUAGUGCCAGUGGUUAUUGAUAGGCAAAGCUUACGUUACAUAUAAUGUAACAAACAACCAAUGAAUAUAGACCAUUGAUUUUGAUAUUCCUUAAAUCUAAUGGAUAAAAAUAAUUUUAACAUAAAACAAAGUACAGGUGAAAUAAAUAUUUACAGAAAAUUUUAUUUCUAAUCAUAUGUUUACUUAUUUUUUCAAAUAAGUCCUCAUUGAUUUUUUAUACUUAAAUGAUUUUUUCAUCCAUCUUUUCUACAUUUAUUUUUAAAACUUUAUAAAGUUUUUACAACAUUUUUAUAAAGAUUUAAAUGAUUAUUAUAUUCAUAAAGAUCCACAAAUUUUGAAUAUAUUUUUGCACUUACAUUUAUAAUUUCUUGUCUCUCUUGAGACAUAAACUAAUUUUUUCUUCUAACACACACACACAUUCAAUCUAUUUUCCUUCUUAAAUACAUAUUAUCAAUGCCAUCACACAGAUUUUGUAAUCUAAAUUUAGUAUCAUGAAUUAUAAGAGAUAUUAUAUGUAAUAAAUAUCUUAUAAAUCUAAUGAAUUAUUAAAAAGAUGGUACAAUGAAUAAAUUACCAAAGCCUCUAAUAAAAAGAUUCCAAUUCUUUGAUCUUAUCAAUGAUUCAAACAUAUGGAGAAAUAAUCAAUUAAAUUGAAUGUCACUAUAUUUAUUAAAUAAAUUAGAAAAUCUAAAUUUAUCUAUAAAUGAUAUAGAAAUGGUAAACAAAAUAUUAGAAAUUAAUAAUUUCAAUGAAGGAAUAUAAAAUAAAUUAAAAAGUUAAGAGAUCAAGUGAUCAACUAAGUAAAGAAUUUAAUAAAGUUAAACAAUUCAUAAAAGACUUCAACAUUAAAAAUCAUGAUAUAUUAAACCAAGAGAUUAUUAAUAUAAUGAAUAAAAACUCAAUAGAUAUAAAAUUAAACAAGUUAAAGAUUUAAUUAAAUAAAUCGAAAAAAUUAUUGAGCAGUUUGAUACUAACUUUGCAAUAAAUAUAAAUGAAGAACUUCAAAAAAAUUGAAAUAUUGCAACUUGGGUGUAAACAACCUGGAGUAUAAAUAACCUGGGAUAUAAUGUAAAACAUUAAAACUUAUUGACCUUUUUAAUAAUAAUUAUUUUUUCUAAGGGUUUAAAAAUUUAUAACUGUAACAUACAGCUAAUGUAACACAAGCUUUGCCUUAUUGAUAAUAUAGUAUCAUAAACUUUUACUGAUACUAGAUAUAUAUUUUUAAUUUUAAUUUUAAUUUUUUUUAUUCUAAACGACGUAGUUUUACUUUUAAAAUUAGGUAAUCUUAAAUUCAACACUUGUGAAAAUAUUUGGCCCUUAACGAAAGUACUAUUCCCUCUUCAUCUUCCCUCUCUCCUAAAUCCUUCCCACUCAUUUCAAGAAACCCUAAAUUGAAACAAAACAAAUUACCCAGCCUUUUCAGUCUUAACAAAACAAUUACUCUCAGUCUCCCAACAAAAUAAAAUCAUCCUCCUCCUCACCAACAUUUCCAUUUCCUGCUUUUCUCUAGUUUUACUUUAUGAAGCGUAUGGGUCUUCAUUCUUCGGUCACCACCGAAGAAAACCAAAGGAUGAAAAAAGUCAAACAAGAUGAGGAGGAAUAAGAAAGAGCAAGAGCAAGUCAAAGAAACUGGCUUCACAAAUCUAGAUGAGAACUCCCUGUUCGAGGUGUUGAAACACGUAGACACCAGGACUUUGUUGCGGGCGGCUUGCGUAAACAAGCUAUGGCACAAGACACUCAAAAUGAGCACCUUUGGGAGUUAAUUUGCACCCACCACUUCGCUAAUGUUGGGUGCACUACCCAAUGUUGUGAAAAUUUUAAUAUACUCGCAAGCGCACGAAUCUAGAAAUAAAAUAGUAGUAACGAGAUCGAUCCCACAUGGAUUGUUAUAAAUUGAAAAGUCUAAUUUAAAUCUAAAAUUAAUAUUAAUCCUAACCUAGUUAAAUAAAUUGAGUUUUAAGAGAAAUUAAACUAAUUAAACUAAGGAAGCAAUUAAAAUAAAGGAGAAUUCAAUAAGAUAAGAAUUACUAAGGUUUCAGAAUCCACCACUAUUCAACUAGUAAUUAUCUAAAUAUUCAUUAAUCCCCAAUUUUAGAGUGACAACUCGAAAUCAAUCUAUGUCAUCUCAUGGAUAUAACAAUUAAGUCCAAGUAAUUAAAUCUAAUGUAGGCUCUUUUUCUGCUUAAUAAUAUGACAUCUAAGCAUCCCAUGUAAACAUAUUGAAUAACAAAGAGUCAAAGUUUUCCUAAGCACUCUAUGCAAAAAAUUUAAUGAAAGACAUAAAAUUAAAGAUAAUCAUGUAUAAACUUUAUAGAUCCAAACAUAGAAUUAAUUGAAUAUUAAUCCUAACAAUCAAUACUGCAUGACAGAAUUGAUGAAAAGAUUUUAAUAACAUCCAAUUAAUCAUGUGAAAUAAAAACCAUAAACAUUAAAAUACAUAUAUAGAGAAUUAAAUAAAUAAAAAGAUAAUUAUUUCAUUGAAUAAGGUUUCAUCUUUAACCUCAGUAUAAGAAAAUUAGCUAGACAUACUUAAAUUAAGAGAAACAAAAGAAAUAAAUCCAGCCAUAGAAGUCGAACUACUGCAGAUUUUCUUCUCUGUCUCGCGUUUUUCCUCCUCUGGCCGCCCUUCUCUCCAAAAGCCAAAACUCCCUUUUAUAAUCUUUAAAAUGGGCCCCACCUCUUAAAUCCUAAAGCCAAAAGACUUGGCAUUUUACUUGAUUUGCUCUCACACGUGCUCACUCUUAAAAUUGCUUUAGGAUUCCUUUUGUAAUUAUGAAAGCCAAGUGUGGGUCCCUUUAAAUUGCUUCCAAAUAUUAGAAUGCCAUGCAUUUGCUUCUCACGUGCUGGCCACUUUAGCUUUAAAUUUCUUCUUUGUUUGCACUAGCAUGGAGAAUUCACUUGAUUGGCUUCGGCUUCUUCGGAUUGAAUUUCAUACACAUCUAUUUAAUUGCUCCCACAAAUUGACUUGAUCUUUAAUGCUGUCCAUUUUCUUCUCUGUCUCGGCUAAUGCUACAAUGCCGGGCAUUAAAGCCCCAGCACCAUGCCGGAAUUGGAAAAAAACCGUUGGAUUCAAUCUAAUUGAAUCCAACGGUUGAGAUUAAAUUUAUAUUAAAAAUAGAAAUAAAUGGGUUACCUGGUAAACCGGUUCCCUCAAAAGAAAAUUCCACAAUUUUCUCUCACCUCAAUCUAAUUUCUUUGCUCUCUCAGAAAAGAAAUCCCUAAAAUCUCAUCUCUCUUUCAAAUUCAUAGUUUCUCUCAUCCUGAUUUUUUCACUCAUCAUCUAAGAUCAAAUCCACCGUCUCUCUCACACUAAUCAACCAAUCGGAUCCAUCUACCUAGGUAUUUGGUUUGUACAUGAGAGCUAGAGAGAGGCAGAGCCAGUAUCGUGUCCGCUGCUUCUUUUCUAACCAUCCACCGUUACCUUCGUUGCACUGUUGUCUACACCAUUAGUUCUUUAGCCUUUACUGUCGUCGUCCUGGCGUUCGCCGGAAUCAUUGCCCCGUGAGCUGCCCCAAGUUGCCAUCGAAAACACUCAAAACAAGUUAAUUUUUUGAGGUUUGGUUUUUAAGUGUUAUUUUUCUAUGGGUACCCUAAUUUUUUCUUGUUUGGUUUUAGGUGUUGUUUGCUUGUUUUGAGCUCUACACUCUUUGCUAGGAAUACUAAAGAUGGGCGCUCAAUAAUUUGGUAAGAACUUACCCAUUGUUCUGGGUCCAGCUUUUGUUUUUUUGUUGUUGUUGUGAAUUUUGAGUUAAUUAUUUUGGGGUUGCAGAGCAAUCUUUAAAAAUCUAUGCAGUGGCGUAUCCUGGAAUGAAACCAAAAAAAGAGUUGAGGUUUAUGUUUGGAGUCAUUCUAGGACAGGAAGAGCAGCACGGAUGAGUUGCAGGAAGAGAAGUGUGGCUCGAGAUAACUCCUAUGUUCUCAUCAUGUAAAGGACCUAGUGUUUUUAUGCUAACUAGUAAGUCCUCGUUUUUUCUAUUAUCUUUGAUCAUUUUGCAUUUCUUCACUUGCGUUCUCAAGAUUUUUGUUUGUUUAUGAGUGAUGCUUAUUUGAGUCCCAACGGCAUCCAUCAGUUUUUAAUAUUUAUCAUCAAGGAGAGGUGAAAUUAUUAUUUAAUGACUGGUAUUUUGUAUAUCACUAGCAUUAUUCUUUAUUUUUUGUGAUUUUACUUUUUAAUUUGUUUAAUUGGGUGUAGUUAUUAUAUUGUGCCUGAAUUGGGACUGGAUGUGAACUAAUCUUAUGCAUCUUGCAAGGCUAUUCAAGAGUAUAUGGAGGCCAAAUCUCUAAGUUCUUUUCAAAAUAUUGGAUUUACUGAUUCUCUAAUGUUCUUUUUCUUUUUCUUUUAUGCAAUGCAGCUUGGUGUGGAAAAAGAACAUGUUCUGCUUAUUCAAUCAACCAAAACAAAAAUUUGUAAAUUUUUUUCUGUCACUAUUAUUUAACAGAAAUUCUUGUUUCUAGUUUUAUGUUGUGCUAACGCUAUUGAAGUUGAUUUAGUGUAUACAUUUGAUGCAAUGUACUUUUUUCUAGUAUCUUGCUAACAGUUUAAUUUUUUCUUACUGCUCUUCAAUUAGGGUAUGAAAUAUAAACUAGCAGCCAGUGCUAAUAAGGAUGAGGAAGAUUUAGAAGGAAGGACAACGUUGCAUUUUGCCUGCGGAUAUGGUGAGGUAAAACAAUAUGAGCUUUACCCAUUCUUACUUAUUUUUCUUGUUCCUUUUUGUUUGAGUUUUAAAGGUAGGGCAUAUGAUUUAGAUAGAAUUAAAUAUUACUUAAUGUUUUGUGUUUUUGGUUACUUAGUUGAGGAAGUGCUAAUAAAGCCAAUGGAAAACUAGUAUUUGUGCUAACCGGGGCUUUCUAGUGACAGUUUGAGCUAACUUAUAUGGUUUAUGGCAUCAAUUGUUCAUCUCCUGGGGAUACUUAGGACACUUUCUAGUUAGUUUUUUAAUGAAAACUUCCUUGGCAAAUUGGCCAAGUUUAUGACAUGGAGUUAAUCAAAUGCACUUGAAUGCUUUAGGUGGAGUGUGCUCAACUCCUACUUGAGGCUGGAGCAAAUGUGGAUGCUGUGGAUAAGAACAAGUACUACCAUACAUUAUGCAGCUAAUUAUGACUAGAAGGAAUGUGUAGCCCUCUGUUGAAGAACGGUGCUGCUGUGUAAGCCAACACCCAAUAUUGUUUUAACUCCCGUCUCUAUUUUAUAAAAUGCUAUAUGAUUAAUUCUUUCUAUUAUAUUAUCUUUUGUUACCACAGAACUCUGUAGAACAUGGAUUGCAAAACUCCCAUUGAUGUUGCCAAGCUCAAUAGCCAACAUGACAAGCUAAAGCUUCCUGUAACUCCGCAUGUGAAUGAUGGAUUUCGACAAUUUUAUAGGCAUUUUAGUGUGUUAGAUGAAUCUACUCCAGUUAGGCAUUAGGUUUUUAUCGUAACUUGAUGCUUUUGUCAAUGCUCAUGCUUAUUAAUCUGAUUGCUACCACUAAAAUUUUAUAUCAUAAACAAUCUCUUCCCUAGAUGAGUUAUCUGCGAGUAUAUUCUUGUUAUGGCUUCUUUAAUUUCAGCUAUGAUAUAUUUGUACGUUUUUACAAUUUAUUGCCUGAUUAUGUCAAAAUAAGCACUUAUUUUAGGGUAUCCAUUUUAUAGUUUGGAAAAAGCUAUUCUUACCCCCCCACCCUUCAUGAUAUUCUACAAAUUUUUUGCAAUACUAGAAGAGUAGCCGAAGAAAAUGUGAUCUUAUUUUGGGUAUUUUCUAUCAAUUUAGAUAUUAAUAAUGCUAAACUAAUGCACAUGCCAUAUAGUUUUGAUUGCUUCCUUGAUACUAUUAAACUUACUUGUCUUGCCCAAUUAAACUUUUGCAAUUUAGUUAUAUAAUCUAUAGUUUUUAUCAAUAUGCAUUCCUUUUAUGAGCUUAAUUCAAUUAUAAGAGACUCUUUCCUUAGAAAAUUGCAACAAUGAAUUUUACCCUUUAUGCAGAAUAAAAAAUUUAAAAAUUACCAAUGGAACUAAACAUUUUUGUUGUUUGGUAAUAUAAAAUUGUCAUCGUAGUUAGUUUUCGCUUGAAAAAUUAAACAAAUUACAAAAUAAAUGGUUCAAAUAAGUUAGAUUGAUAAAUUAUUACUUGGAGUAUCAAACAAUAAUCACUUGAAUUACCAAAUAAUUUUAACGCUAAGGCAACAAUUCCAUAUUUGUUUCUUAAUAGAUUGGCUUAAUUAAACUUAGUUAAUAAAAAAAAUUAAAACUUAAUAGAUUGGCUUAAUUAAACUUAAGUUUACUUAUAAAUUAUCAUUUGAAUUGUCAAGGAAUUUUGAAAUGCGCUAUUAUUUUGUAUUUAGUUAUGAAUAGAAGUGUUUGAUAUUUUUUUAUAUUAAUCAGCUUGAUAGAAAAUUAAAUAUUUGUCAAAUGCUUGAUAGAAAAUGUAACUUGCUAUUAUUCUAUGGAAUACUCAUAUUUAGCCUUUGGGUUAAUAUAAUUCCCAUCCAUAUUACAAUUAAUAAAUUAAUAACAUCAAAUAUGAGAUAAAAUAUUUCAUAUCCAUAUUAGCAAUAAAUUGAUCACAUAAUAUAUGGAUUAUCAAAUAUUCACAUUUAUAUCAACCGUCCAAGACCAAAGCAUGGGUGAACAUAAUUCACAUCCAUAUCCCUCUGGAAUGAUUCUGGAAGAUAACGGUUAGCCGUUAUUUGAUGAUGGUUCACCAUUAUCUUCUAGAAAUAAGUGUAACUGCUAAUUUGAUUCUGGAAGAUAACGGUGAACCGUUAUCUGAUAGCGGCUAAUCGUUAUUUCUAGAAUUACUCUAAAAAAUAUUCGAAAAUAUUCUUUAUUUUGGCUUUAUUCAGGACAUGCAACAACUGACGUUAAACAUGAAACUUGCAACACUUCACGUGAAAUAUGCAACUUAUCACGUAAAACGUUUGCAACUUCGACAUCAAACAUGAAACAAGCGAGAAUAUUUGGGAAUAUUUUUUAUUUUGGCAUUAUUCAAUAUAUGCAACAUCUAACGUCAAACAUGCAACCGUGACGUCCGACAUGCAACAACUAACGUUAAACAUGAAACUAGCAACACUUCACGUGAAAUAUGCAACUUAUCACGUAAAGUUUGCAACUUUGACGUCAAACAUGAAACGGACGAGAAUAUUCAGGAAUAUUCUUUAUUUUGGCUUUAUUCAAGACAUGCAACAUUUAACGUCAAACAUGCAACCAUGACGUCCAACAUGCAACAACUGACGUUAAACAUGAAACUUGCAACACUUCACGCGAAAUAUGCAACUUAUCACUUAAAGUUUGCAACUUCGACGACAAACAUGAAACAUGUGAGAAUAUUCGGGAAUAUUCUUUAUUUUGGCUUUAUUCAAGACAUGCAACAUCUAACGUCAAACAUGCAACCGUUACGUCCGACAUGCAACAACUGACGUUAAACAUGAAACUUGCAACACUUCACGCGAAAUAUGCAACUUAUCACGUAAAGUUCGCAACUUCGACGUCAAACAUGAAACGAACGAGAAUAUUCCGGAAUAUUCUUUAUUUUGGCUUUAUUCAACACAUGCAACAGCUUACGUCAAACAUGCAACCGUGACGUCCGACAUGCAACAACGGACGUUAAACAUGAAACUUGCAACACUUCACGUGAAAUAUGCAACUUAUCACGUAAAGUUUGCAACUUCGACGUCAAACAUGAAACGGAUGAGAAUAUUCGGGAAUAUUCUUUAUUUUGGCUUUAUUCAAAACAUGCAACACCUUACGUCAAAUAUGAACUCCAUCCGUCGAACAUGCAACAACUGACGUUAAACAUGAAACUUGUAACACUUGACGCAAAAUAUGCAACUUAUCACGUAAAGUUCGCAACUUCGACGUCAAACAUGAAACGGACGAGAAUAUUCGGGAAUAUUCUUUAUUUUGGCUUUAUUCAACACAUGCAACAGCUUACGUCAAACAUGCAACCGUGACGUCCGACAUGCAACAACGGACGUUAAACAUGAAACUUGCAACACUUUACGUGAAAUAUGCAACUUAUCACGUAAAGUUCGCAACUUCGACGUCAAACAUGAAACGAACGAGAAUAUUCUGGAAUAUUCUUUAUUUUGGCUUUAUUCAACACAUGCAACAACUUACGUCAAACAUGCAACCGUGACGUCCGACAUGCAACAACUGACGUUAAACAUGAAACUUGCAACACCUCACGCAGAAUAUGCAACUUAUCACGUAAAGUUUGCAACUUCGACGUCAAACAUGAAACGGAUGAGAAUAUUUGGGAAUAUUCUUUAUUUUGGCUUUAUUCAAAACAUGCAAUACCUUACGUCAAAUAUGAACUCCAUCCGUCGAACAUGCAACAACUGACGUUAAACAUGAAACUUGCAAUACUUGACGAGAAAUAUGUAACUUAUCACGUAAAUUUCGCAACUUCGACGUCAAACAUGAAACGGACGAGAAUAUUCGGGAAUAUUCUUUAUUUUGGCUUUAUUCAACACAUGCAACAACUUACGUCAAACAUGAAACCGUGACGUCCGACAUGCAACAACUGACGUUAAACAUGAAACUUGCAACACCUCACGCAGAAUAUGCAACUUAUCACGUAAAGUUUGCAACUUCGACGUCAAACAUGAAACAGAUGAGAAUAUUCGGGAAUAUUCUUUAUUUUGGCUUUAUUCAAAACAUGCAACACCUUACGUCAAAUAUGAACUCCAUCCGUCGAACAUGCAACAACUGACGUUAAACGUGAAACUUGUAACACUUGACGCAAAAUAUGCAACUUAUCACGUAAAGUUCGCAAUUUCGACGUCAAACAUGAAACGGACGAGAAUAUUCGGGAAUAUUCUUUAUUUUGGCUUUAUUUAACACAUGCAACAGCUUACGUCAAACAUGCAACCGUGACGUCCGACAUGCAACAACGGACUUUAAAUAUAAAACUUGCAACACUUUAUGUGAAAUAUGCAACUUAUCACGUAAAGUUCGCAACUUCGACGUCAAACAUGAAACGAACGAGAAUAUUCCGGAAUAUUCUUUAUUUUGGCUUUAUUCAACACAUGCAACAACUUACGUCAAACAUGCAACCGUGACGUCAGACAUGCAACAACUGACGUUAAACCUGAAGUACUAUUUUUUUCAUUUUCAAUUUCUUUAUUUUUUGCCAUUUUAUUUCAUUAUAUUAUAUUGUAUUAUAGGGUUUGUAUUAUAUUAUUUAAUUUAUUUAUCUUUUGCUAUUAAUUAUAUUAUAAAAAAUUAUUUUGACUUUUUUUUUUAAUUUUUAUGUUAUAUUUUUAUAUAUUUUUUUAAAAAAAUAUGGUGCAACCGGUUUGUUAACCGGCUGCACCAAGUCUUUGGCUGCCAAAUGGCAGCCAAAGACAGCCGGGCUCUCUUUUUGAGAGCCCGGCAUGGUGCCGGCUACAAUGCCCCCAGCAUUGUAGCCAAACCCCUCUGUCUCGCGUUUUUCCUCCUCUGGCCGCCCUUCUCUCCAAAAGCCAAAAAUCCGUUUUAUAAUCUUUAAAAUGGGCCCCACCUCUUAAAUCCUAAAGCCAAAAGACUUGGCAUUUUACUUGAUUUGCUCUCACACGUGAUCACUCUGAGAAUUGCUUUAGAAUUCCUUUUGUAAUUAUGAAAGCCAAGUGUGGGUCCCUUUAAAUUGCAUCCAAAUAUUAGAAUGCCAUGCAUUUGCUUCUCACGUGCUGGCCACUUUAGCUUUAAAUUUCUUCUUUGUUUGCACUAGCAUGGAGAAUUCACUUUAUUGGCUUCAGCUUCUUCGGAUUGAAUUUCAUACACAUCUAUUUAAUUGCUCCCACAAAUUGACUUGAUCUUUAAUGCUGUCCAUUUAUUAUUCUUUAUGUAUUUUUCAUCCAUUAUCUCCAAUUAAUUCCCUAUUCAAUAAAAUAAUUCAAUUAAUUAAAAAUAAUAAAUAAAAUUAACUAACAAUUAUAUAAUAAAGGGUAAAAUAUGUAAAUAAAUUAUGCUCAUCACCCAACAGCUCAGAUCUGUUGUCCUGGCUCUCGGUUGCUUCCGUCACCUUCACUCCCUCUAUCUCGGCAGCUCCCAUCGCUUUCCCUCUCUGCCGUUCUUUCUCUCACAGUCGAAACCAAAACUCAAAUCCCUAACUCCCCAGCGAACAAAACCUCUCAUUUGCCUCAAAACAAAACAAAAUCCAUCCGUACUCCUUCUCUCUGAUUAUUCGAAAGUUAGAAGCACCCUAAAUAGUUCUCUCUGAAAAGCCAUUCACCCAAACCCUAACCUCACUAAUAAAAUUUUUAUUGAUAGUGAUUUUUUCAAUUAAUUCAGAUAUGGCUUCAUUGGCAGAGAAACAAAGGUUAGUGUUUGCUCUAUUUCUUUCAUCGAUUUUCUUUCUCAUUUUGAAAAUUUUCUAAUUUUCUCUUAAUUUGUGAUUUUAUUGUUUCUAUAGCUGUUGUUUGAUUAAUUUUGAUAAAUUUUGCUUAAUUUGAUGGAAAGCAUGAUUUAUUACAUGUCUGCUUGUUAUUGGCAGUUUAUAUGGUGAGUAGGGCAGUAUUUUAAUUGAAACAAUUAAAGAUAUGAGGAAUUAUUAGGUAGAAAGUGGCUGCUGGAGGAGGUUCUCCUAUUGCAGUAUGCCUAAAUAGUAUUCAUUUUGCCCUUUUUUUUUUUACCGUUGACUGUUGUUUCUUGUGAAUGCGUUUCUAAUCCAGAGACUUCACCCUGUGGUAUCCACUUUAAGAAACUACUCAUCUGCAACUAAAUAAGUAAUUGUGCCUUUUAUAACCUAUUACUUGCAAUGCACUGAUUUUAGCUGUAUGGUGCUUGUAUUUUACUUUUUCUAAGUUCAUAAUAGUUUUUUCUUUUGAGAGAGUUAAUGAUAUGAGAAAUUACAAAUUUAAUAUUUAUUCAAGGUUGCAAUUUCAUGUUUAGGGCAUAUGUAUUACUUUCGUCUUAUAUGGUGUGUGAUUAUUGUCUUAAAAGUAAAUUCUGGUGCUUGAUUUUGAUAUAGUCCUAAAAUAAUUUAUGAGGUUUUUUGUGAACAUUGACCUUGUGAAACCUCAAAACAGAAAAUUCAGUAGAAUGUUCAUGUGUGCUCUGUUAAACAUGAGAUUUGACUAACUGAGAUUGUAAUACAGUUAGUCAUAUGAUCUUGUGCUGAUGAGUUUAGCCCAUAAGUCUCAUAACCAUACAAGUAAUGUCAAUUAUAAUAGAAGGACCUCUCUGUAAUCAACUUCAGUCAUUGGCUAAUUGUGGAAUUCAUUGUGCUAGUGUUCAAUUUCACCAUUUGUUUCUGAUUGUUAACAAAUUUUCUUCACCCGCUUUUUCUUGCUUACAAUAAACAAAAGGAUGAAAUGACUUUUAUCUUGUUAUAAUUUUUGCAGCUCAAGUUUUGAACUUUUAUUUAUUUUGGCUGGUAGUUAGUAGUUGAUUUGUGUUUGUGAUUGCUUUCUUUGUAAGGAAAGUUGGCAUCUGUUGAGGAGUUGGAACCAUUUGUCAAUCAUGCAUCUCAAAUGGCCGCACUUGACUACAUUGUAUCUAUUGAAAGUGAUGUGUUUAUUCCAUCAUACUCAGGAAACAUGGCAACGGCAGUUGAAGUUCAUCUGAUGUUGAGGUAACUAACAUAACUGCUUAAAUCAGGAAACAUAUUUGUUUGUGGAUGAGUUUCAAUUUCUAAAGCAUAAAUCAGGAUAUAAUAUAAGCAACAGGAAACAUAUUUGUUUUUCUUAUCCUAUAUUUAGAGUUGAGGGGUGUAGCUACCUAUCAGCUGGUGUUACAUUUUGGUGUGAAUGUUUAGGCAUGAAUUGGCAGAAGAAUGUUAUAAUGAUGAUUAUGCAAUGUUAUCUAUCUUUCAGUUAUGGAAGGGUGUAAUGGAGGAGUUAAAAAUUCAUUAUUUAUUUGCAAAGUAUAGUUUUGAUUCUUGUCCAGUUAGGCCUUUUUGUUGAAAGUAUGAAACUUGUCGAAUGUGUAUGGCACCGUAUUAUCUAUUUGUAAUGCAUUUACUUGAGUUUCUAGUAACUUAAUUGUCAUUUUUUUAAUGCAGGUAGUAGCAACAACCACAAUCUUGACUUAAGCCUUGGAAUUUCUCAGUGUUCCAGUGCUAAUGGUCUUAUUCAUCACAUUCAUUGUGAUGAUUCUAAACUGCCCAACAAAGAAAGACCAGCGGCUAAAUUACCUAUACUUUUCUCAAUGAGAGUAACCACCCUUUUUGCUUAUUCUUAAUACACUUUCGAUUUAACAAAUUGAUAGCUCUAAGUUUAAUUAAUUUUUAUUUUUUUCUUCAGUUAAUAAUUAUGCACAAACAAUAUGUUAAUUUAGUUUCAUAUCAUUUAGAUUCAGUAGUUGUGUGUGUACAAACUACAAUUUUGAAGAAAUUAGGAAACUAUGUAGAUUGCAGCAUGUAAAUUUUAUCAGUUUUUUUUAUUGUUCAUGUCUUGAAUGGUGCAAGAUGACUUACAAUAAACCAAAGCAUGUAUAUGGGUCAAAACUAAAUAAUCAGAGAAAAUGUCAAAUUGGAACAUGGAAACAAUAAUAGAAGACUUCAUUUCGAUUACCGAAAGAAAGAAUCAGCAGAAGCAAUAAACCUGUGUUGGAAGAUUGUGCUGUUACCAUAUAUCAUUUUAUAAAUUAUUUGUAGUUGGUAAACAAUGUAAUAAGUUUCAAACAAUGUAAUAAUUUUUAAAUUAUUCAUUGCAAUGUAAUAGUUUUCAUAUUGUUGAAUGUAAAUUUCAAUUCAAAUGCCAAUUGCAAAUUUUCAAUUUCUGUUAUAUCGAUUUUUUUUUAAUUUUUCUCAAAUAAACAUUGAUACCAAAGUAUCGUUAUAUUUAUUAUGCCUUCGUAUCAUUAUUUGUUUGAUACCUUAGUCUCGUUAUACAUGUGAUGUUCAAGCAUCAACAUUUUUUUGAUACUAUGGUGACAUAGUUUCACUGAUGCAAAAAACUUGUGUCAGUAAAUUUCUUGUACCGUAUUCAAUGACACUAAAUUUGGUGUCAGUAAAACAAGUUCCUGAUACCAAAAUAGUAUCAGAGAAAGCCAUUUUUUUACUAGUGAAUUAUAGGAUUUAGAUUCGAUUUGUUUAUUAAACAAAUAUUUGGUUUGAUUCGUUUAACUUAUUUAGUAAAAUUAAUAAAUGAAUCAAAUUAAGUCUGAAUCCAUUUACUAUUGUUUACAAAAAUAUAAUUAAUAAACAAAAAUUAGGCAAAAUAAAAUAAAAAAGACCACAAAUUUAACAUUCUACAAAAUAUAAAUAAUCCAAACUAUAUUCUUAGAUUAAAUAUUUAGUCAUCCAAACAUCAAAUUAUAAAUUUUUAAUAAUCCAAAUAAUAUCAAUUAAAAUUCAAAUUAUAAACUAAGGUGAUUUCUUUAAUUCUCUUUAUUUUGUCAUGGUCACACUGAAAACAAGAGUCCUACAAGAAAAAAGUAAAUAGAAUAGUAUUGUAAUAUUUCAAAAUAUCAAAAAUAUUUCAAAAUAUUAUAAACAUUCUACACGUUGCAACACUGAUAAGAGUCAUUAUAAUAUUUCAAAAUAUCAAUUAUAUACCAAAUUUUGUAGUAUUGAUAAGGAAAUAAUAAUUAAAUCUACAAAGGCAAGAAAAAUCAGCAAGAUAAAACUUUGCCUAUCACACUCCCACAUUGUCUCUAGCAUCAUUGGCACUCUCUUGAGAUCGAGCACUAUUAGUGCUCAUGUUCAUAAUGUUUUCAGUAAGUUGGGCCAAAAUGACAUCAAAAUUUUCUACAAUAAGGGUGCAUUUGAUGUACUGUAUUGUAUUAUAUUCUAUUAUAUUGCAUUAUUUUAAUACAAAAUUAUUUAUUAUAUUGUAUUACAUUAGAACUGUAUUAUAAUAAUAUCAUACAACAUUUGAUACUACAUUGUAAUAUAUUAAUUUUUAAUUAUAUUAUGUUUAGUGUUGCAAUGUAUUGUAUUAAUCUUUUUUUGUGAUUAUUCUAAAUUAUAUAUUUAGAAUAUAAUAUUUAUUAGUACAAUACUUAGGAAAUACUAAAUACAAAAAAUUUAGAUUUUAGAACUUUUACAUUAUUUUUUAUCAUAGAUGUAAAAAGAAUUAUAAUUCUCCAUAAAACAUAUCUAAAACUAACAAAUUUUAAAAUUUUAGCUGCACAACAUUUAUUUUUUUUGCUUUUCCUAAAUAUAUAACUUGUGAAAUAAAGAUGAAAGCCACUAAUUCAUUCAAAUAACAGCAAGGAGAUUAUUUUUUAAGUAAUAAAUAGAAAAGCUUUAUUUAUUCAAGAAUGUGGAUGAUGAUGGUACAAAGACUGCAUUUUAGAGUAUGAAAUGGCAACGUAUUUAUCAAGCAUUGAAAUCACUGCUUCAAUUUUUUUUUCACUAAAAUAUUGAUUGAUUAUCGAUCACAAGUUCCAUUUUGUUUGCACAUUCCAAUUUACUUGAGUCGCUAAGUGACGAUUGAAGCUUCUCUACAUCUGUUUUUUUUACGUGCAUAAAUUUGAUGCUACCUCAGGCCCCAACUACUAAAUUCCAAACAAUUUCAUUAAGCAAUCCAUCCCAGAUCAAAAUGAUGCAGCACAAGUGUAAGUUUCUGUUGUACUCUCACUUUAACAUGUGGCCUCGCAGCCUACGAUGACUCAUCUUCAUGACAAUCCCAAAGGGCUCGAAUAAUAAUUUCACAACAACUUUCCCUUCGAACAGAACAAGGGUGACAAUGGUGUUGGAGUUGAACUUGAACGAGGACAAAUCGUGGCUAGAUUCUUUGAGACUGGUCUUGACGCGGUCUAUCGUUUUGGUCUUGGACUUUUCGGUGGAGAUUUUAGCUAGGUUUUCAAUUUUUGUGGUCGUGAGUUUCUUGGAGGCUUUGUCGAUGGAGGAUUUGAGGAAUUUGUAAGAGUUGGUUUGGUAAAUGAGUGGCUCAGCAAGUUCAUAAAGUGCCUCUAUCUUACCUUCUUCCUCUUUCCCUCCCAUGCCUCUGCAAUAGCGAUUGUUUCAUCUGAGACACAAACGAUAGGGAGAACUUUGUCUCAAAAGAAUUACAAUUUACAAAUCCGGAUAAACCCGAUUUCCUCGUGAGUUUAGUCCGUGUGGGUUUGAUAGCAUAAAUUAGAUAUUUGACUACAUUACAAUACUAUGCAUUAAAAUUACAAAACAUGGGAUUAUAAUCCUUUAAUACUAUGAGGGUUUUAGUACUAUAUAAUGAGGAGUACCAAAAUGUCCUAAUUUUAUAAAAAUAAAUCUUAAUUAGAAACAAUUGAAUAUAAUAUUAUAAAAGUAAAAUAAAUUAAUUUCAUGAGAAAGUCUUACAAUCUCUCCGAACAUCCAAUCUCUUAUAGUAAUAGUUGCUUGGACAAUCUUUGAUGUCAAUACACUUUAAAAUUGAUCAAGAACUUGACUGCCAACAUUAAAAGUUGAUUCAGACGCAAUAGGGAAUAUAAGAAUGCUUAAGAUAUCACGAGCCAUGGAAGAAAGGUUAAGAUAACGAAAUCUGUUUCCUUUCAAAAACUUAGAAUGUUUAAAUUAAUCUUUCUAUCUAUUCUUGGUUCAUCCAAAUAAAACUUUAAUUCAGAUUUUCUAACAUAGGCAUGACAAUCCAUGCUAUUAAGAUCAUCAAACUCCUACAAAAUAAUUAAAAAAUAAGAAUAGUCAAAAUCCAAAACAAGUACAAAUAAGACAAUAAUAUAAUUUUUACAAUGAGCAGAAAAGAAAAUUGUAAAUGUACCUUAAAUAGUUCCAUGGUCCAUUUGUUAAGUGUAUUCUAACUAUUGUCAUUAUGUCCUAAUCUUGAACCAACAUCAUUCAUUUGAGUGAGUGUGGAUGUGGUGGAGAAAGAUAGUUUAAUAAAAUUGUACUCACUAAAAACUGAAAACAACUUAUCCUAAACAUGUUCUAAUUGCUUUGAAUUUUGAUUAGAAGCAUUGUCGUAGGCAAACUUAAUGAAUGCCAUCUUGUAUCGAGGAUACAAGAUGGCCACUAUUGCCAAAAUGGUACAAAAAUCAAACCAAAACUCAUUUGAGUGAUCCAAAAUGCCAUAUUCUCAAACGUUUCGAUCAUUUUCUAUGCCAUAAUUUUCAUAUAUACAUCCUCACUAUGCAAUAAUUGAUCCAAAACAACAUUGUCACUAGCAUUAUUGUAACAUUUCAAAAUAUCAACCAUUUACCAAAUUUUGUAGUAUUGAUAAGGAAAUAAUAAUUAAAUCUACAAAGGCAAGAAAAAUCAGCAAGUUAAAACUUUCCCUAUCACACUCCCACAUUGUCACUAGCAUCAUUGGCACUCUCUUGAGAUCGAGCACUAUUAGUUCUUAUGUUCAUAAUGUUUUCAGGAAGUUGGGCCAAAAUGACAUCAAAAUUUUCUACAGUAAGGGUGCGUUUGGCGUACUGUAUAGUAUUAUAUUAUAUUAUAUUACAUUCUUUUAAUGCAAAAUUAUUUAUUAUACUGUAUUACAUUAGAACCGUAUUAUAAUAAUAUUGUACAGUGUUUGAUACUCCAUUAUACUGUAUUAAUUUUUAAUUAUAUUAUGUUUCGUGCGGCACUGUAAUGUAUUAAUCGUUUUUGGUGAUUAUUCUAAAUUAUAUAUUUAGAAAAUAAUAUUUAUUAGUACGAUACUUAGGAAAAUACUAACUAUAGAAAAUUUAGAUUUUAGAACUUUUACAUUAUUUUUUUAGUAUACAUGUGAAAAAAAUUAUAAUUCUCCCUAAAACAUAUGUAAAACUAACAAAAUUUAAAAUUUCAGUUGCAUAACAUUUAUCUUUUUUUGGCUUUUCCUAAAUAUAUAACUUGUGAAAUGAAGGUAAAAGCCGUUAGUUCAUUCAAAUAAUGAUAGGGAGUUUUUUUUAAAGUAUUAAAUAAAAAAGAUUUAUUUAUUCAAGAACAUGGAUGAUAAUGGUACAAAGACUGCAUUUUAGAGUCUGAAAUGGUAACGUAUUUAUCAAGCAUUGAAAUCUUUGCUUCAAUUUUUUUUUUCACUAAAAUAUUGAUUGAUUAUCAAUCACAAGUUCCAUUUUGUUUGUGCAUUCGAAUUUACUUGAGUUGCUGAGUGCCAGUCGAACCUUCUUUGCUUCUGUUUUUUUUUUUUUUUACGUGUGUAAAUUUGAUGAUACCCCAAGCCCCAACUACUAAAUUCCAAGCAAUUUCAUCGCCUAAUCCAUCCCAAAUCUAAAUGAUGCGGCACAAGUGUAAGUUUAUGUUGUACUCUCACUUUAACGUGUCACCUUGCAGCCUACGAUGGCACAUCUUCAUAACAAUCCCAAAGGGCUUGAACAGUAAUUUUGCUAUAACUUUCCCUUUGAGCAGAACGAGGACGAUAAUGUCGUCGAAUUUGAACUUGAACAAGAACAAAUUGUGGCUAGAUUCUUUGAGGUUGGUCUCGACGCGGUCUAUCAUUUUGGUGGAGAUUUUAGCUGGAUUUUUCGAUUUUUAUGGUCUUGAGUUUCUUGGAGGCUUUGUUUGCAGAGGAUUUGAGGAAUUUUAAAGAGUUGGUUUGGUAAAUGAGUGGCUCAACAAGUUCAUAGAGUGCCUCCGUCUUAGCUUCUUUCUUUUUCCUUGCCAUCCCUCUACAAUAGUGAUUGUUUCAUCUGAGACAGAAACGAUAAGGAGAACUUUGCCUCAAAAUAAUUACAAUUUACAAAUCUGCAUAAACCCGAAACAUUACAAUACUAUGCAUUAAGGGUGUGUUUGGUAGCCUACAUUAUAUGGGAUAAAAACACUAUUUUGUAUUCAAUUUAUACAAGCUCAUGAUUGGCGCUAAAAGCUGCUACAACUACACUGCGUUAAUGGGAUAUGCUAAUGCGGCAGUUGCAACAUUAGUUUGCCUCUUAUUAAGUUUUUUCAAUUUUCUUAAUAAUAAUAAAAAUAAAAAUGAAUAAAUAUAACUUUUGAAUUUGAAUAUUAUAUUAUAUAAUAUUAAUUUUUAUUUUUAUAAUUAUUGAUAUAAAUUAAUAAUUUAUUAGUCAAUAAUAUUUUUUUAUAUUUUUGUUUUUACAUUAUAAUUUAUUAUUAAAUUUAUAAUUUAAUAUAAUUAAUAAUAAUAUUAAUUUAAAUAAUAAUAUAAAAUAUUAUUGCAUAUACUACAGAACUUUUACUUGGAUUAUUUAGCACAAUUCAUUUGUUAGUGAAUAUGUUAUAGCAAUUAUAUCACUUUAUUAAUUUGUUAUCAUCUUGUGGUGUGUAAAAAUUUUUAUUUCAUUAUCCUAAGAUGACUUUUGAACUAAUCUUCUAGGUUUUAAUUAUUUAUUUAUGUUGUUAUAUUAUUAGAGAUUAUUUAAUUAAAUUAUUUGUUUUGAUCUUUAUCUCACAGGUCAUAUAUUUAGAAAAUAGUGAAAAAUAAAUGUAAUGCUUCUGAAAAUUUAAGGUUAUAAGCUUCGAUAGUUAUGAAGAAUUAUGAUAUUUUUUAACAUUUACACUAAAAAAAUUGUUAAAUUUUUAAAAUUUAAAACUUCUAUGUUUAGUAUUUUUCUAAAUAUUAAUAAAUAAUAUUUUCUAAAUAUAUAAUAUAAAUUACUCAAAAAAUUAUUACAUUAUUUUCUAAAUAUAUAAGAUAAAUUACUAAAAAAAAUUAUUACAUUAUUUUCUAAAUAUAUAAUAUAAAUUACUCAAAAAAAUUAUUACAGUACAAUAUAACACAAAAUAAAGUCUAAUUGAAAAUUAAUACAGUACAAUGUAGCACCAAACAUUGUACAACAUUAUGAUAAUACAAUGCUAAUACAAUACAAAAAAAAUAUAAUAUACCAACAUUAAAAUACAACAUAAUACAAUACGGUGUGCCAAACGCACCCUAAAAUUACAAAACAUGGCGUUAUAAUCCUUUAAUACUUUGAGUGGUUUUAAUACCAUAUAAUGAGGAGUACCAAACAUGCCCUAAUUGUAUAAAAAUAAAUCUUAAUUAGAAAAAAAUGAUAUAAUAUUAUAAAAAAAUAAUUAAUUAAUUUCAUUAGCAAGUCUUACCAAUCUCUCAUAACAUCCCAGUCUCUUAUAGUAAUAAUUGCUUGGAAAAUCUUUGAUUUCAAUAAACUUUAAAAUUGAUCAAGAACUUGACUGCCAAUACUAAAAACCGAUUCAAAUGCAACAGAGAUAUAGGAAUGCUUAAGAUAUCACGAGCCAUGGAAGAAAGAUUAGGAUAACAAAAUCUGUUUCCUUUCAAAAAACUUAGAAUGUUUAAAUCAAUCUAUCUAUUCUUGGUUCAUCCAAAUAAAGCUCUAAUUCAGAUUUUCUAACAUAGGCAUAACAAUCCAUGUUAAUAAGAUCAUCAAACUCCUACAAAAUAAUUAAGAAAUAAGAAUUGUCAAAAUCCAAAACAAGUACAAAUAAGGCAAUAAUAAUUGUUACAAUAACAGAGAAGAAAAUUGUAAAUGUACCAUGAUUAGUUCCAUGGUCCAUUGGUUAAGUGUAUUCUGACUAUUGUCAUUAUGUCCCACACUUGAAUCAAUAUCACUCAUUUAAGUAAGUGUGGAUGUGGUGGAGAAAGAUAGUGUGAUAAAAUUUUACUCACUAAAAACUGAAAACAACUUAUCAUGAACAUGUUCUAACUACUUUGAAUUUUGAUAAUAAGCGUUGUCGUAGGCAAACUUAAUGAAUGCCAACUUGUAUCGAGGAUGCAAGAUGACCACAAUCCCCAAAAUGGUACAAAAAUCAAACCAAUACUUUUCAAACUUUUUGAUCAUUUUCUAUGCCAUAAUUUUCAUAUAUACAUCCUCACUAUGCAAUAAUUGAUCCAAAACAAUAUUAGAUACAAACACCUUAGGAAAAUAUAAACUUGAACUGGGGUAUUUUUGUUGGGAUUAUGUGCUCUUUAAAACAUAUUGAUUUAUUUAUUUUCUAAUUAAUAAAAUAUUUGAGAUAUUUUUCAAAAAUCUUAAUUGCAUAAAUAUUUUGAAUAAGGUCCAUUUAAUCAUAUUAUAUAUAUUUAUGUGAUCAUCAUAUGGAUUCACAGAAGAGAUAAAUACAAGUUAUCUUAUGAUUAAAUAAAUUAAGUUCACAAUUGAUAAAUAGAGUUGGACGCUCUAUUUAUGUUUAAACUAUAGUAAAUUCAUUGAAUGAUUUAUCUUAAUCAUGUAUGAAUUUACUGAUUUAAUUUGACUAUAUUGAACUGGAUCACAUAUGAGAAUUUUUUUUUGAGUUCUGCUAUUUGAACUUCGCGAAGACAAAAGAACAACAGAAAAAAUUGGCACGUGAAUCAACUGCACUAACAGCUUUUGUCUCUCUCUUUGUCCAUUACUUUUUGAGUUUAAAAAAUAAAAUAAUGAAAAGAAAGAAAGAAAAGUAACAAAAGAAAAGAAAGAGAUUAUUUUUUUAUUCUCGUGAAUCACCCCUCUUGUCUCUCUCUCCAUUUACUCUUUCUCACGUGAAUCACCCCUCUUGUCUCUCUCUCCAUUUACUCUUUCUCACGUGAAUCACCCCUCUUGUCUCUCUCUCCAUUUACUCUUUCUCACCUCUCAUUUACGUGAGCUCUCUGCGUUCAGGAAGGAAAAACUCAAACAAGUUAUGUCUCUGCAUCUCAUAAAUUUCGUCUCUGCAUCUCAGUUAUCACAAGGAAGAAAUUAGAUCUAGAUCUACAAACAGAGGUGAGAAAUGUUUAAAUGGUUAGAAUAUUUAAUUUAAAUUGUAAAAAUUCAUAGAUUUUAACUUUUUAUAUAUUUAAAUUGUUAUGAAUUGUUAUGAUUUUUUUAAUUUAAAUGGCUGGAAAUAAUGGAAUAAAUUAUAACAAUUUCUGAAUGUGUUUUAUAUAUGUUAGGAUUUUUUCUUAAUUUAAAUGGCUGGAAAUAAUAGAGUAAAUUAUAACAAUUUCUAAAUGUGUUUUAUACAUGUUAGGAUUUUUUUUAAUUUAAAUUGCUGAAAAUAAUGAAAUAAAUUAUAACAAUUUCCGGAUGUGUUUUAUAUAUUUAAGUUGUUAGGAUUUGAUAAUUUAAAUUGUUGGAGAUAAUGGAAUAAAUUAUAACAAUUUCCGGAUGUGUUUUAUAUAUUUAAGUUGUUAGGAUUUUAUAAUUUAAAUUGUUGGAGAUAAUGGAAUAAAUUAUAAAAAUUUAUGGAUGUGUUUUAUAUAUUUAAAUUGUUAGGAAUUUUCGUAACCGGAAAAAAUGUUAUAUAAGUUUCUUAAUACAAAUGUUAAUUAUUUUGUAGAAAUGGAGUAUUUGGAAAAUGAGCAUGCAUUUGAAGAGUUGCAAGAAACAAGAGCUAACGAUGUGGAUGAAAUUGUGGAACCGAACAAAUGUGAGCCAGCUCUUGGAAUGUUAUUUGAUAAUCAUGAAGAAAUGUUUGCAUUUUACAAAGCUUAUGGUAAACAAGAGGGGUUUCCUGUGAAGGUUCAAAGUACUAAGAAGGGGACCGAUGGAAUUGUAAAAUAUGCGACAUUUGCAUGUGGGCGUAGCGGCAAGUCAGAAAGUAAAUAUGCUAAUGCAUUGAAGUCGAAACCGAUUGUGAAAAAUGGUUGUGAUGCAAAAAUUGGAGGUUGUCUAAAUGAAGAUGGAAAAUGGGUUCUUCGAACUUUAAAUCUUCAACACAACCAUGGAUUGAGUCCAGACAAAGCUAGGUAUUUCCUAUGCAAUCGCAGAAUUAGUGCAAGCGCUAAAAAGCGAAUUGAAAUGAAUGAUUGUGCAGGAAUUAGAAUUGCCCAAAAUUUCAAUUCUAUUGUUGUUGGAGCUGGUGGGUAUGAAAAUGUGCCAUUCUUAGAAAAAGAUUGUAGAAAUUUUGUUGACAAAACAAGGCGAUUACAGCUUGAGGAAGGAGAUGCUAUGGCGCUUUUAAAGUACUUCCAGAAAAAGCAAGCAGAAUGUAAUGGAUUUUUUUUUAGCAUUGAUUUGGAUGAAGAGGAUCGAUUAAAGAAUGUGUUUUGGGCAGAUUCGCGGAGUAGGGCAGCUUACAAAUAUUUUGGAGAUGUCAUCACAUUUGACACUACAUAUCUAAUCAACAAGUAUGACAUGCCAUUUGCGCCCUUUGCUGGAGUUAAUCACCAUGGACAAUCUAUUUUGUUGGGUUGCGGAUUGAUUUCAUGCGAGGAUACAGAGACAUUUACGUGGUUAUUUGAGACGUGGCUAUCAUGCAUGUCUGAUUCUCCUCCCCUUAGUAUCAUUACAGAUCAAGACAGGGCAAUGCAAAAGGCAAUUGAAAACAUUUUUCCUACUACUAGGCAUCGAUGGUGUUUAUGGCACAUAAUGAAGAAGGUGCCUGAGAAGUUAGGGGCUUUUAAAGAACGUGAAGGUAUUAUAUCUUCCCUACUUUCUGCUGUUUAUGAUUCACUGAGUUUUGAUGCGUUUGAGGAAGCUUGACAUUGCAUGAUUACAGAAUAUGAUUUAUGGGAUAAUGAUUGGUUAAAUGGUUUGUACGAGGAGAGGCAUCGUUGGGUCCCAUGCUAUUUAAAAGGCUAUUUUUGGGCAGGAAUGUCAACAACUCAGCGAAGUGAAAGUAUGAAUGCAUUUUUUGAUGGAUUUGUUAACUCAAAAACAAAUCUGAAAUAGUUUGUAAAGCAAUAUGAAAAUGCAUUGAGGAGGAAAGCUGAAUUAGAAUGGCAAGCAGAUGCCAAGUGUUUCAGUAAAAGGACAUCAUGCGUAUCAAGAUAUGAGAUGGAGAGGCAAGUUGAAGAAGUGUACACCAUUUCCAAGUUUAAAGAAUUUCAAGAAGAAUUGACUGCUCUGAUGUAUUGUGAUAUCUCGGAUUCUGUGGGAUCAAUAUAUCAAAUAAUUGAAUCAUUUGGGCAAGGUCGGAGAGGCUUCUUUGAGGUUGUUUUUGAAGAAGCUGAGUGUGAAGUUACUUGUAUAUGUUCAAAAUUCCAGUUUAGGGGUAUUCUUUGCAGGCAUGCCCUUGCAGUGCUGAUACGUAACUCAGUUGAAUUACUUCCAGAAAGAUACAUUUUAUCAAGGUGGAGGAAAGAUGUGAGGAGAUGUUAUAGUAAGCUGAAAGUUUGUUAUGGUGUGCAGAAUUUGACCAUCCAGCAAGAAAGAUAUGAAAAAAAUGUGUAACGCUUUCAGUGAGGUUGCAGACAUAACCUCUGAUGAUGAAAAUAGCUAUAAAACGGUGUUGGAUUGGAUUGAGAAAGCAAUGAAGGAUCUGCCCAAGCAAAUUUGCUGUGAAAGUGUGGGAAAAACUAAUACUGGUGGAACAAGUUGUAGCAGCAACAAACAAAUUAACAGUGAGAGUGUGGAAAGAACUGUUAUUGGUGAAGUAAGUUAUGGCAGCAACAAUGUUCAACUUGCACUAAAUGAUCCAGUAGUGACACGUCAUAAAGGCCGUCCACCUUGCCUGAGGAAAGAAUCUUCGAUUCGUAAGAAAUCCGUUCAAAAGAACAAGUCCGCACAAAAAAAUAAGUUAUGAUUAAAAACAAAGAUUUAUUUUCUAAUUAAUUUGGUCUUAGUUUAAUUGUCUUUAAUAAUCUUGUAGGAUUUACAACAAACUGCCCCAUCAUCUUAUCAUGUGCCUAAUGAAAUCUCCACACAAGGGAGCAACAUAGCCACAGUAAAUUUUGUGAAUUUUUUCUUUUAAAAUUUUCUUUUAUUUCGAGGAUAUGUAAUUAAGUAUAAGAUUGCGCAUAUGUAGACGCUACAAGAAGGAAGUACUAUUUACGAAAAUCUCAACCAAUGCGGCACUAUGGGCUAUUAUAAUGUAAGAAUUAAAUUAUUUAAAUUUUAGUUUUAAGAUUUUUAUAUGAAUUUUACAUAUAUUUUAUUAUUUGAUUAGGUACCUAUGUACCAAUCCCAAUUCGGUGGAAGCAACAUUUAUCAGCCAUUUCCUUAUAAUUGGCACCCAGUAAGUUGUUGUUUACAAGUCGUUAAUGAAUACAUAUAUUUUAAUAUUUCUGUAAUGUAAUAUGAUGUUUAUUUUUAUGUAUUAUAGCAACUAGUCCACCGUAUACUUCGCAGUUGCAUUAUUCUUCUCCUUCGAUGACUUAUCAAGGAUCUCAAAGUGAGAAUUUCCAACAGUUACUACAGCAGCAGCAGUGUUAUGAAGAUAACAAUGAUGAUACUUGACUUGUAUUUUGGCUUUAAAUUGUAGUGAUGAAAUAAUGUUGUGUUAAAUUGAACUUUAAAAUUUUAAAAUUAUGUUAGAUUUGACUUUAAAUAUUUGAAAUUGUAGUGAUGGAAUAAUGUUUUGUGUUAAAUUGAACUUUUAAUUUUUGAAAUUAUGUUAGAUUUGUUUAAUGUUCUUUAAUUGAACUGUUCUUUUUGCUUUUAUACUUAUGUCCAUGCAUUUCUUCAGGUUCUCAAUUAUGUUAGAUUAGUUUUGAAAUAUGUUAUUCUGAAUUAAAAUUUAUUAUAAUGUAUAAUAAUUUUCUUGUAUGCCUUCUGUAAUAUCAAGUCAAUGGGAAUGAAACGGUGAUGCUGUGAUAUUCUGUAUAAUACUAUAGUUGCAUGUGAUUGUGACGGUGAAAUUUUACCUACUGAUAAUUGAUUCAUGUGCUUAUGUAAUUAUACAUGAAGACAAUUAUUAAUAGCCACAUACUGUCCUCAACCGAAAUUGGUGUGAAUUAAUUUUAUGUGCAAUUUCUUUAUGACCAAUGAAACUUCAAUAAAUUACAAUUAUUGAACACAAAACGAGUAAUUAUAAACAAUUCAUACACAACAAUCAUUUUAUUUAAAUUAUUUAAAUUUAUACAUAACACGGGGUACAAUUUCAUUUAUGUAAAAUACAUAUAGCAACGAUUAUCCCUAAAAUACAACAUAUAAUGGAUAAUAUAGGCAGAAUAAUACAAUCAUUUCUGCCUUUAUCAGUUUGCACAGCUUUGUCACAUGUAGGCACUUCAGUUUGCACCCCCUUUUCGAGUGUUUCCACAAUAAAUUUUGUAGUUUCUAACAUAUUGGAUGUCUCUGGCAAUUUUUCAUGCCUUUUUAUGUAAUCAUUGUAGGCUAUUUCGGCAUCCAACAAAAAUUUAUAAGAUUUAUAAGAAUUCCCUUUGAAUCCAUUUACUUGCAUCUGACAUUCAGGCCAAGAAUUGUAUAUGCCUGGCUUUCGUCCUUUGAAAACAACAUAACAGCUUUGAGUAGGCAUUUGAAUUCUACAUUGGAAAAAUUUAGAUCAAUAUUCUAGACUUUUAUGCUAAGAAUUUCAACUGCUAACAAUAAGAGAGAAUUUCAAAACCAGGAGGGAAAAAAAGAGUAACAUUUUAACCUUCUGAAAAAGAAUGGGAGCCUCACAGCAAAGCACAAAGGCCAACAUCAACCAAGAAACUAAUUUCUGCAACUGUAGGUGAGACAAAUCACAGCAACUGUUCCUGAUGAACAAUGGUAAAUAAAGAGAAAAGAGGUCAGGAGUCUAAUACCAUUACCACACACAUGCCAUGAAUAAUAAGUUGACUAGCUAAUUACUACUUACAAAAAGAGGUCAUAACUCUCCACACUCAUUCAACCUCAAAAUGUGUCUCAGACUUACAACAUUCAGGACAGGAGAGCAAAUACUUUCUCAUCCACCUCUCUCCCAUAGAUCUGAUAUCUCUACAUAUCUCCUCAAUUACUCCCUCUCUCUUAUCUUGCCAACCUCAGAAGACAUGAAUAUGCUAAAUAAUAGCUUUUGUAAUUUUUUUCUUGCACCAAAAGAAAACGAGAAAAUGAAACCCUCACUUUAAAAUCUCUUAAUCCACUGGCAGCUACAGCAUCUUGGUUGUCAGACUAAACCAUCAGUAUCCAGCAAACAAAUUCAUCUCCUCAACCAUUACCAAUUUAUCAAAAGGCUAAAACGUUGUUGGAAGUCUCUAAUCAAUUUAGACCUGAAACAACUCAAUACACAAAAGGAAAGAACAACAUCACCAUAAGUAAGUUAAAAAGACAGCAAUGCCAGCAAAUCCCAUUGACAAAACCUAAAAAAGGACACGACCCAUGUGAUUUUUUUGGCUAAAAAAUAGACAAAUUUGGAUCUAGGUCAAACAUUUUCCGAACAAUUAAUAUUUCCCAACAUAGUACCAAGUCAAAAGAAGGGCAAAAAGAAAAUCAAAUUUUGAUCUAAAGCAAUGCGGAGCGGGAUCCGAUCUGAGUUAAAAACAAAAAAAAUGAAAUAACUUAAAAGAAAAUCUGGUUACCCUUUUGAAAACCCAAGUGCAUAGAUCCAAAGUCGGAACUCAAUGAUCAAUAAUAACUAAAUAAAUGAAUUUUCACAGAGUCGAGACUAAAAAACAGAGCAGUGAGCAGUAAUAAAUGCCCUGUUAGUAUCUAUAAAGACGAGUGAGAAAAUGAAAACCAGAGGCUGAGGCUCUGACGUUUAGUGUCUCUGAAGAAGAAGAAGAAGAAGGAGAAGCACUGAAGCAACGAAUUAAAUGAACACGAGGCCGUACCAUGUGAGCUAUGGUACACAUUCGCACACGUAAACAAAAUCAAAUCCAACACCACCAACAACAACUCACCCAUGUUUCCAAUUUUUUAAUACAAUAUUUUCAAUUAUUUCUCUUUUUCUUAUCAUCUUUGUCCGAUGGUGCAAGAAAAAAAGUUAUAAUUAUAAAAUUAAAAAGAAAUGCUUACGGAAGAAAUGCUAACACUGUCAAUCUCAAAAUUUCAUCAUCCACAACAUAAAAAAAUAAAAAAAAUAAAAAGAAAUGCUUACGGAUGGGUCACUACAACUGUAGCAGCAAGCAAUAACUACAAGUCUCCAAAGCAGCGACGUCGUAGUAGAUCUGGGCUGGGCGAUCAUGUCCGUUCUAAAUCUGGGCUAGGCGAGAACAAGAAGCGGUCGUCGUCCGGUAACAAGAAGCAGACGUCGUCCGGUAACGAAGCAAGUGGGGCUGGGCGAGAAAAAAGAAAAAAAGGGGGAGUCUGGUAACGAACGAAGCAAAUGGAGGGGAGUCUGGUAACGAACGAAGCAAACUCAAUGGAGGGGAGUCUGGUAACGAAGCAAACUCAAUGGAGGGGGAGUGAAAUGAGUGGUUGGGGAGGGGGCAGAAAUGACCAUCGUUUUCUCAUUUUUUUUAAUUUCUUGUGGGUCCACGCAAUAUUAAAAGAAGCAGAAAUCAACGCUUGAAACGAGUGAAACGGCAAUUCAAAGUUGCGUUUCUGUCGUCCCUUUGUCUUCAUUGAGUUCCUUUAUCAUUUUCCUUUUUUUUUUAUACAAAUGGAACCUAGCCAGUGCUUAGGUUAAACAAAGACAAGGGAAAGCAGUCCCCAAACCAUCACUGAACAGCCAAUGGGGAGGUUGAUGAAAUAAAUGGAAACCAAGUGGGAGGGUGAGCGCCAUGCCUGCAAGGAAGUCAGCAGCAAAAUUCGCUUCCCUAUACACAUGAUGCACUGAAAUCAACCAAUCUCGGCUUAGCAAAACCUUUAUUCCCUAAAUCAAUGAAGAAUUAGCAUUACUGUGAUAGUUACGAUCAGCUAAAAUUUGAGUAAUGCUCAAGUUGUCAACUUCUACCCUUAGGAAACGGAUGCCAUGAUCCCAAGCCAUUUGUAACCCUUUAAAAAGGCUCCACAAUUCAGCCCCCAUUAUAGAGCAAGUUCCCAAGUUCAUAUUGAAACCACAUACCCACUCAGCACAUCAAUUCCUCACUAAACCACCAGCACUAGCCAAACCAGACCGUUUCAAAGCCCCAUCAGUAUUGAGUUUGAAAUAUGGCCACGUUGGGGGUUGCCAAUGAAUCAAUUUCUCAAUUUUAUUGGAUUGCUGCUUCUUCAAAAAAUCAUGGGUCAAAGUAAUUUCCUCAGUGCGGCUAUGAACAUCCAUUAGCACAUUACCAAUACUACAUGAUAUGUUAGUAUGAGUAAACUGAUUACACCAAAACCAUAACCUCCACACACUGACUCCAAAAAGCACUGACCAAUCCCCGAAGUUCGCAAUUUGAAAGCCAUUCUUCAUAUUACAGAUUCCUCAUGACCGAAGAUCCAACAUGAAAAAGGUAAAAUGUAAGUGAUUAGGAAUUAAAGCGAGCCAAACACGUUUGGAAUCAAUGUAAUCCCUUACUACAUAUAAGGUGUCCUCCACGUGAAACCCGCAUCCCAUGCAAGCACAAUCAUCUAUCGAGUGUUUGCGAAAGAGCUCAACCCUCGUUUUCAACCUGUUAUGCAUUAACAGCCAAAGGAAACAACGAACACUUUGGGGACCAUUCCAUCGCCAAAUCGAACUCCAAAGAGAAUUAUUCCACUUGGCACCGGCUUAAACAAGUAGAAGUAAGCAGAUUUUAUAGUGAAACAACUAGACUUUGAUGUACCCCAAAAACAACAGUCCUCAACUCCACGCUCACAAGGUCGCAUUGUACCCGCAAUCUUGAAAAGAAUAUGAUUUGGUAAAAGGGAAGCAAACAGACCCCAAUUCCAAGCACCCUCUUGAUCCACAAACCUGGCUACAUAUUGUUUAACCAAGCUGUCAGGGAUUGGGCCAAUAGCAUACUUCUGAAGGUAGUGGUCGUCCAUCAUCCAACAAUCUUUCCAGAACCUCGCAGUCUUGUCGUUGCCUAGAGCCCAACGAACCCCUUAGAGGACUUCCUUCCAUAUGUUUCCCACUGCCUUCCAUAGAGGUGACCCGUGUUUAGUUGGGAGCGAAGAAGGAAGAUCAUUGUUGUUAACACCAUACUUAGAUAUCAAGACUUUAAUCCAGAGACUGUUUGGUGAGUCAAGAAUGCCCCAGCCAAUUUUCAUAAGUAAUGCCUUGUUCAUAAAGUUAAGAUCCUAUAAACCAAGGCCUCCACGGGAUUUGGGAAGUUGAAUCGUCUCCCACCUAAUAAGGCUUAUACGGUAGUUUUCUUCCUUCCCACUUUAUAUAAAGUGUAUGCAUAUCUAGUCGAUCUUAUUUCGAAUACUCGCAGGGAGCAUUGUGGUUUGCAUAGAGUAGAUGGAAGUGACUGGAUAACUGGUUGUGUGAGAGUAAUCCGACCUGCUAAGGAAAGAUGCUUUGCUGACCACCCGGAAAGUCUUUGUUGAACCCAAUCGAUGAUGGUCUGGUAAGUAUGCUUGGUUAUCCGCUUGUGAGUAGAGGCGUGCCUAGAUAAGUGCUAAGGUCCUUUGUAGUGGUGAACCCAAGUUAGCUCCAAUUCGUUGGGCAUCGCUAGUGUGCACAUUAUGGGAGAAAAUGUGAGUGUUUUAUUUUUGCUCACUUUUUCUCCUGAACUCCCACAGAAGUAUCGAGCAUCUCCAUGAUAACUUCUGCUUGGUCUAGUGAAGCUUCUGCCAAAAGUAAAAGAUCAUCAACAAAAAAGAUAUGAGAAAUAGGAAUACCUUGUCUUGAAAGUAGUUGCAUGGUGGCAGACGAAAUGCAUUCCAUAAUAACUCGAAUGAAGCCCUAGGGUAACCCAACUAUGCACAAAGUUUCAAAGAUGAAAUCCCAGUUUAAUCUAUCAUAGGCUUUUUCAAGAUCAACCUUGAUAACCAUUUAACCAGAUUUCCCCUUCUUCUUUCGCAUAAAAUGAAUUACUUCUUAUGCAAUAACAAUAUUUUCUGUAAUAUGUCUCCCUGGAAUAAAGCUUGUCUGGUUGGGGCCAAUAAACCUCGGCAACACCUCCUUGAGUCUAUUAGUCACUAUUUUGGUGAUUGUUUUAUACACCACGGAGGAUAGACGAAUAGGCCGAAACAUUUUCAAGCUAGUAGGAUUGUUGGUUUUAGGUAUGAGCACAAGCAAAGUCCCGUUGAGCUCUUUAGGAAUUGGCGUGCCACCAAAGACCUCUUUUACCACUUUACAAACCGAGGGCCCCAUAACCUGCCAUUGAGAUUGAUAGAAGAUAGCAUGAAAGCCAUCCACACCAGGGGCCUUCAAGGGGGGCAUACUAAAAAUCGUCUACUGAAUUUCCUCAUCAUGCACUGGUUUAAACAAGUUGCCCAUGGUAUUGCUAUCCAUCCUUAGAAAGUGAUUUGGAACCGGGUACAUAUGAUAUUUGCUCUCCUCGUUGAAGUAAAGUUUGACAAAAAAAGAAAUAGCAUGUGCCUUAAUCUCUUCACUAUCGUAUAGCCAGACACCAGAAUCAUCCUGUAUGGCCACCACUUUAUUCGCUCUUUGUUGUUGGAUGGUUUUUUGGUGGAAAAAUCUUGUAUUUCGAUCUCCACUUUUAAUCCAUUCUCUUCUAGAUUUUUAGUACCAAAUAAUCUCUUCUCAGGUCAGAACCUCUUUUAAUUCCUGCCUUAAAUCUGCUUCCAACCAAAUAAGAUGGUUAGAUUGACGAACUUCUAAAGCUUUUUGAAUACCACCGAUUCUCGCCAAGAUUCUUCUUUUCCGUUUAAAAAUAUUCCCAAACACUUCUCUGUUCCAAGUCCAGAGAUUGGUCUUAAACUCUUCAAUCAUCUGCAUAUAGUUUUUAGAGCCAUCCUAAGCACUUUUUACAAAAUUAGCAAAUCUAUGGUCUCUAAGCCAAGAAGCAAGGAAACGAAAAGGUCUAUGCCCCAGCUGAUGAGCACCAAUACGAUAAUGAAGGGCUAAAAGAGGGCGGUGAUUUGAAUGGAUUCUAGGAAAAUGGUAAACAACAGUUUCAGGGGCUAAACGUAGCCAAUCCUCAUUACACAAGCAUUUGUCUAGCUGUUUAUGAAGGGAUCCUCUAGACCAAGUAAAAGAAGGACCGGUAAAACCAAGAUCACAUAACUGAUUCCUGUGAAACCAAUCUCUGAACAAAUUGCACAUCAAUCUCCUCCUCUUCUUUCCGUAGAAUUCAUAAUUGUAUUAAAAUCUCCCCCAAUAAUCCAGGGGCCUUGAGUAUUUAUUGCAAUAUUGUCUAAUAAUGGCCAAAGGUGUUGUCUCACUAUACGCACUGGACUUGCAUAUACCAUCGUUACCCAACAGGAAAACAACCCGAGUCUGGAAACCCGGCAAUGAAUAAAUUGUCUAUUAUUCACAACCACGUCCACUUGGAUACCAUCAUUCCAUAGAAGCCAAAUACCAUCAGCAAAGCCAGUUGCCUAAACCCUGUGCGAAUUAGAAAAGCCACAUUCCUUAAUGAAGACAUCAGCCCUAUUGCCAUUGAUGUGAGACUAAAAAAGAGCCACCAGGUUUGGCUUAUAACACAUUACAAGUGUUUUGAAAUACUGAAGGAAGCCUUUUGAUGUUGUCCCUUGACAGCUCCAGAACAUAUGAGUACACAUCAGGAAAUAAAAAAGGAGUAGAAAGGUAUAAACCUUACCCAUCAGGGGUAUCAAUCAUCAGCAUAAGAUCUAGGCUAUCCUAAAAUUCAAGAGAGCCAGCAGAUUCUGACUCUUCUUCAUUUUCCUGACUAUUUCCUGUAUAGUCACUAUCAUUAGAAUCAUCAUCCGAAACUCUCAUAUUUACUUCUUUCCCACUAGGUGGGUCACUAGAGUAAACUACUACUUUUUCUAACUUGUCCUCAAUUCCAGUAGCUUUGGAAUAAAAAUGCAACUUAUGCAUCCCAUCAGAACUCUCCCCUUUCAAACUCGUAAAGGCAACAACAGUAUGGUUCUGUGGGUUCAGGCUAGUUGUCACAGGUACAAGGGAGUCCUGGGGCGUGACCAAUUGGCUAAGGUUUUGUUGUGUACGUGGUGAAGGCGUUUGCAUGGCUUACGGGUUACGUGUGUAUAGGCAUGCAAAAGGGCAUUUUUUGUUCUGGUGGUGGGGCCUUUUAAUGACAGUGUAUGUUUCUUAUUCCCAGAGGGUAAAAUCGUAAGGGACUUGGCCUUUUGGGUUUGAAAAGUGUUAUUUUUAGGAAUUGGUGCUUGUGUAUCGGGAAAACGGGUAGGUUGACUUUCAGGCAUGGGCAUGGUAUUAUUGGAAGUAAAGUUAUCUUCAAGGUUGUCAGCAUUCAUAUGGGGACCAAAUUUUGAACCGUUAUCAAUCAUUCCAUUUUCAGUGAGAUUCUGUCUAGAAACCUUGGCAUUUUCCUUUCGAAAACGAUUGUUGCCUUUUUUGGUCACCGCCAUCCAAGGGCCAAACCUAGGGUUUGCUGGUUGCAGUGGAGGUUCCACCUCUACAGAUUGAUCAGUAGGCACAUUUAUGCCCCUCUCCGUUGCUUCAUUUCCUCUUUAAUCAAAGCAGGAAGCACUAAGAUGACCAUAUUUGCCACAUACAAAUCAUAUAGUGGGUAAGCUUUCAUACUCGACUUUUUGGAUCUUGCUGUCAAGAAGGAACUAGGAGCACAAUGGUUUAUCCAAUGCAACUUCAACAGCAAUUCGAGCAAGCUUACUCCGAGUAGUUGACUCAGUGUUGUAGUCAAUGCGAACAACGUUUCUGAUUACCUGUCCCAGCAGGCGUAGCACCUUCUUAUGGUAAUAAUGUAGUGGCAUUCUAGGGAGACGAAUCCAGGCUACGAUGGAAGAAAUCUUCUCAUUUGCGCUAUCAAAAUGAGGUGACCAUGCUUGAAUCGUUAAAUAGUGGCCAAGCAUAAUCCAUGGUCCUUACGUUAACACAUGCUGAGCAUCUGAAACUGUUUUAAACCGGACUAGGAAAUAGUUAUUCUCCAGGUCUAUCACAGAAAAACCAUUAGACAUACCCCAUAAGGCCUCCAGGCAGCUACACAGAACUUUAUAAACAAUAUUCCUUCCCAGUAAUUUCACAACCACCGUUGAUUGCCAGGGUUUCACUAAUUGUGAGUGGAUCUUCCAAGAAAAGAUAUGGAUGGCAGAACCCCUUCCUUUUCGACGACGACGACGUCUCCUAUGUCAAAUUCCAUAUCCUCGUCCUUGCCCAUUAGUUCCUCCUUCAUAGCCCGCUGCUCCAUUAAUUUGCCUUUGAACGAAACGGGAGGUGGGUUAUCCCCAUCCACACCAUUCUCCUUAAACUUGGCCCUUUUCAUAGAUCGGUUGGCUUCAAGCGGUGGUGAAGAACUUUUCUUCAUACUAGAGUCCAUUCUUGAGACGUUUAUUAUACUAAUAUUCUUCUUAUUAAUGGAUCACAUAGGUAUUGAUUUUAUUGCAAUAUGAAUCUUGAGUUAAUUAUAGUUUCAUAUUUUUUUAUUGUCAUUUCAUUUGAGUUACCAAUGGGCGGGACAUACAUUUGUAGUCAAGAUUACCCAAUAUCUUAGUGGAAACAAUUAUGAGCAAUGAGAUUAUAGAUUAACAAUAUAAAAUUUAUACAACACAUUUCUUAAUGGGUUUUCAGUACUUGAUCAUAGAAUUAUCUGGCCAGAGUGUGUCAACAUAAUUAAUAUGUUGAAAAUGGUCAUUAGAAAAAAUCAAUAAAUGUCAAGGAACAAGAUGUAAUUAAAUUGAUUGAACAGUUGAGAUAUCAAUUUAAUUUGCGAUGUGGUACAAAUGAUUAUUUAGUAAGGAAAUCAAUGUGGCAUGGGUGAAAUUAUUAUUUGAGAACACUAUCCUAGAUAGCAUACAAUUAUGGAAGUCAAUUCCAAAUUUUUAGUAGAGUAAAUUUGGAAUUAAAUAAUUGGGCUAGUUUAAUUACAGGCUUAAUUAUUGUAGCUACUAUUGUAUGUACCCAUAUGAUCCCCGAGUUAGCUCAUUUAAUUGACUGCACCACUAUUGAAUUAAUAAACAAGAUAACUAGCUAUUUGGGUUAAAAGCCUAAAUAUAUUAUUUAGUGGGAGGCUCCAUUUAAUACGCUUGUGUGUAAAAGGCCUUGUGUUAUUUUAUAAGGUGGGCUCCUAUAACAAGAACAGGUAACGCGACUUUUGGUUUUAUUAUUUUUUAAUUUAAAUCAAAUUUGAUUUAAUAGAAUUUAAAAAAUAUAUAUAAAUAUGGAGCCUAGGGUUUCCACCAAAUAGAGAUAUAAAAAGACUUGUUUUCUCUAAAAGGAGACAGUAGCCACAAUAUACAAAUUAGAGAAAAAAAGAUUUUUUCUCUCUAUCUUUGAGAGAAAAAAAUUUUCUCUUGCUAGUUGUUUUUAGUAGUGAUAAAGGCGCCCGCACGUCAAGUGCAUAUCAAACUUAAGUCAUAACCUAGAAGAUCAUUGGUGACGAAUCAAAAUCUAACAAGAUUGAUGGAGACAAAUCGUGAUCUGAAAGCCUAGAUUACUUCAGCAAAAAAAGCAAAGGUACAAUUUUUAGAUUAUGGUAAUUUUAUAUAUUGUAUGAGAAUUGUGAUCCAAAUAUUUCUAUUGAAAAAUAUUUUUCAAACCAACAAUUUUGACCUAGAAAAAAUGCAUAUGAUCUCAUAAAACAUAGACAAGAAUUUGCCAGUUUUCUCUAUUUUCCCCUAGUCUUCUUCAGAAGACAACUCUUGUAAUUAGAAUCACUCAAUUGUAAAUGACAACGAGCAUUUUUGUUAUACCUAAAACUAUCAAGCAUAAGAAAAGUUGUCAUAAUUUUUUCUUGUCAUCUAGAGAUACUUAACACACUUGAAGAAUUUUUUUUUUCUCUCAUUUUUGACCCCUUGACAUAUUUUAUACUCUCAUGGGCUUUUUCUAUUUCUUACUCAACUUAUUUUAAUUAAUUUUGAACAAUCAAUAUAAUAAUAUGAGCACAACUUCGAAUAUAAAAGUAAAUCUCCAUCACACAUCAAAGCAUUUUUUAAUUGCAGUUGACUUUUUAACAUUGCAACACAAAUAUCAUUACUUGUUUAGAGUUAUUGAGAAAAAAAGAAAAAAUCUUUUUUUCUCAAUAUCCCAUUCACACAAUAAUGAUAAUAUUUUCUUAGCCAAGGCAACCACAGUGUGUGUGGAGUUAGCAUUUCACAAAAAUUAAACAUUCUUUUUUAUAAAUUCUAUCAUUUAUCAACGAAAGUGUUAUUAAUUCAGUCAAUUUUUGUCAAUCCGAACUUGACAAAUUCAUAUAGGAUAUUACCACACUAGUUUUGCUCGAAUUCUAGACCCAAUGUGAUUGAGAGGUGUAUGAAAUUGGCUGAAAAUUCUUUCUUUCUUUUAAUAAUUUUGAAUAGUUGUCAUAUUCUACACUUCUUGACCACUAGUUUAACAAAAUUAACCAAAAAAUUGCCAAAUCACUUUAGAUGACCUAUAUUUAUCCAUGCACUAAUCUAUCAUGAUUCAUGGAUAGCAUGUGAUGUGCUCAUAAUUUAUCUAUUAUUUUAAUGCUUCCAUAACUUAAUUUUAUGUUAAAUUAUAUUUUAUUAUAUUAAUUUUUAUAUUUUGUCAUUGUAGGAAUAUUGGGAAUAUUUAAGUGAAAGAAAGCAAAAAGGGGAAACAAAUUGGAGCUUAAUGGAAAGAAUUGCGGAUUGUGGAAGAAAAAAGGGAAAGAAAUAAAAAUUAUAAAUUAAUGAAGAUUUAAUUAACCAAUUUUAAGCAUGCAUGCACGUGGGGAGCAUUAUAGAACUAAUUGGCAAUUCAAAUGGUAAGUUAAACGUGCAUGGGCUUAAAAGUGGGCUGGAUUUGUUUUGUUUUGAAAUCCUUUUCAUUUAAGGAUUUGGAAGUGGCGCAACAAUAUAAAAAGAAAAGUGAAGAGGGCAGCCGCACAAUUGGCACAAAUAUAGAAAAACUGAGAGCAAGAAAAGAACAAGAGAAGCCGUUGUAAAUCCGAGAGCAACAAUUUGGAGGAGUCAAUUGCAGAAAUUGAAGUGAGAUAACUUCUUGAGUUUUUCUUUCCCUUUUCUCUAUUAUCUUACUUGAAUGUUUCCAAUUAAAUUAAUGGAUUCUCUUUAUAUUCCUAUGAACUAAUUUAUUUACUAGGGCUACGAUGUAGCCUAACUAUGAAGAUUUAAUUCUAUAAAUUUAUGUUAUUUUUAAUUUAUUAUUUCAUGGUUGAGUGUUCAUUAUUGUGCUUAAUGCUUUUAAAUAUCUAGCCAAUAUUUGAAUGAUUUGAGGAUACAUAAUGAGACGGAGAGGAGAUUUAUGUAUUUUUGCUAUGUGUAAUGGAUGCCAUGAAUUGAACGAAAGACAGAGAUGUGCCAAAGUGAUUCGUGCAGUUUUUCUAAGAAUUUCCAUGGAGCUUAAUGAAUAUUUGCAUAUUUAUAUUCACAUAGAGAUAUAGUGGGUCAAUGUGUGAAGAUAUUUUUAAUAUUACUCGAGAGAGGAUAUUUAAUGGAUUAGGGAAAUUCACUGUCAACAUGGGUAGUAAAUUUUAAUAGCAUAGAUGGAGGAUUAAAUUGGAUUGGUUAUGGUGAAAUUUGAUGUCCUAGUGUCUUAAUCUCUUGGUGAUUUCUAUUACUGCAUGUGUCUUUAUUUAAUUUUUAAUUAUUUUAUUUUUUUUAAUUUUAAUCUAAAUUCGCUUAUUCGAUUGUUCAAAUAAAUUGGGGUUAGAAUAAUUUCGCUAACUAAUAGGAUAUAAUCCCCCCCAAAAAAUCCCCCUCUUUCACAAUAGAUUCCUCCUUAAAUACUCUCUCUCUCUUCUCUUUUAGAGUUCUAUUUAAAAUAAAAUACUAAUAUCUUAAAUAUUAAAUUCGUAAUUACAAAAAUAGCCAAAAAUACAAAACACGUUAAACUAAAAACUGCAGGUCCGCAGUUGACAGCACGCGCCCACGCCUUAUCAAUAAAGUUCUUCUAACUCUCUAAAUUUCUCCAAGAGAACAAUCAUCUUUAAACAUCAUCUUAUAACUCAAUUUUAUCACGAAUCAAUAGAAUUGCACCUACAAAAGUAAAACACAAGUAAAUCAUUAUUAUUAAGUGCAAAACAUCGAUAUUAAGGGAAGUAAACAAUGCAAAACUAGUGCAUAAAUUGCACUCUAACAAAUUCCCCCACACCAAGAUGAUGCUUGUCCUCAAGCAUAUAACUCAAGAUUAAUCCCAAAUCUCCACUAAAUUCUCAUCUCAACUCAUCCAAAAACAAUUUUAAGCAAGCAUAACUCAAGAAAUUAAGUCGUUCAACGUUCGAGAGACAAGGAUUUUAAAGCAUAGAAUCUCAUAAGCUAGAAGAAAAACAUUUAACCACCAAGAAGAUCUAUUCAAAAUUCAAGUGCAACAAGAUUUAAUAGCCCUCUCAUUGACUUCACUCCAUGCACUCAAAGUGUUUAGGGUGUCAUUUAUUCACUCAAAUCAAAUCAAAGAAUGCUAUUACCAUAAGCUUGCUCAUAUAUCACAUCUCAAUCCACAAAACAUGAAUAAAAUGCAAAAAUCUAAGGGUCUUAAAAGGGUUGUAAUGGGGUUAAAUGGGUUAAAUGAAAAAGAAAGGUUUACGAAAAAAAAAAAGAGAUCAAAAUGAGAAGAAUGAACUCAUUGAAUGAACUUAUGAUAUCAAAAUGCUUAUUUCUACUCAAGUCACCAAGAAUGUAAACAUUUUUUUUUUCGAAUCAAACAAAAGAAACGAACCUUGCACAAUUUAAUUCAAGCAUAAUGCUUGUUGAUCUAAUUGAAAAAGCAACAAAAUAUAUCCACACAAUGAGUCCAAAAAUCUCCUUAAAUUGAGGCUCAAAAAGAAGAAAAAUGGUUAAGUAGACGGAGAGAAUUAGAUGGGUAAUGGUUAAGGCUCAAACAAAGGUAGCAAAUAAAGGUCUUCGGGUAGAGAAAAAGGAAAAUGCCAGAAUAGAAAAAUGGUAAAUGGUUUGCCCUUAUCAUUUUAAUGCCUAAAAUCCCGUAAUGUGGCUUCAACAUGCAUAACAAAGCAAGUUCUAGAAUAAACAAACUAGGAUUGAUAUUCACAUAACAAAAAUAAUUAGAGCAAAGUGGUUGCUCAUAGGCUCAAAUCCUCACAAAGUUGGUAAAUUUGCCAUCAAAUCAUGUACACUCUUCAAAUGAAUCAACCAUCAAUAGUGGUGUAGAAUGAGAAGAAUGUAUGAGUGAUAUAUAAAAGGAAAGGUAAAAAUGAUAAGAAGUGAGAAAGAUGAAAAGUGAAAGAUAAAAUGUGAGUGAUGAAAGAGUAUGAUAGAAUAAAAAUAGAUGUAAAUAAUUUGAGAUAGAUGGGAAAAAAAAAAGUAGUGAGAAAUAAAAGAAAAGAAAAAAUAAUAAUAUAUAAAGCAUACUAACUCCAAAAUCAUUUAAGGACGAGUAGAGUGAAAAAAAAAGAUAAGUAGAGUGAAAACAAUAAUUCUAGACAUCAAUAAUGCAAAAAUCCCUCCCCCACACCAAGAACUUACAUUGUCCCCAAUGUAAGAUAAUCAAAGCUCACAUAAAAAUUAAAGCAUAAGGAUAAAAGAUUAAAGGCAAAAACUUCCCUGAAUUGUGAGCUUUGAUCCUCAUAACGUCUAUGGGCUUGGCGGGAAUGGUGGGAUAAAUCCCACACUCUUGAAGUAUGCGGCCAAAUUCUUCUCCAUCUUGUCACGGAUUUCGAUUCACGCGGCUGGAAUGCAGGUCGUAGGCUGGUUGCGGACUAUUGCUGCUCGACUAGAGCUUGCGGGUACACGGCUGUUGGUUCAGUUGCGCGCUGAUGGUUGUGCUGCGCAGGUUGGUGCUGGUUGUGCUGCGCGUGCGGGCUGGGACUGAUGCUGCGAACUGGUGACGCUGGAUCUGCGUGCUGCGGCUGUUGCUGUGCGCUGGGGGAUUGCUGGUGCUGCGCUGGUGACGCUUGUUGGGUUGCGUGCUCGGGCUGGAGCUGGUUCGCGCUGCGCGCUGGUUCUGUGUUGCUGCGUUGCGCGCGGCUGGAGCUGAGAAUCUGCGUUGCUGGGGCUUGCGUUGCGGGUCUGUUGCGUGCUGCUCGUCUGUGUUCCGCGUGCGGAACGGUGGUCGAUGCUGGUGCUGCGCGCGCGAGGCUUGCUUUGCGCGCUGCUAGGCUGCGAGACGCGGGAUAGUGCUCGAUGCUUGCUAGUUCAGGCAGGCUGGUUUGCGUUGCAGGUGGGACUGAUGCGGCUGCAGCUGGUUCUGCGCGCUGGAGCUAAUGGGUUGGGUUGCUGCGGGAAAACGAAAAUCAACACUGAAUUUUUUUGAAUUAGGGAUUUGUGAACAGUGAUUUUUUAUUUUUUUUUUAUUUUUUUAUUUUUAGUGAUGAAUCACUUUGAGACACUAAAAAUUUCAGAAGUAUUUUUCUAAUAAGUACGUGGGCACGUCUUAUAAAAAAUUUUCUUCUGACCAAAAUAAGCAAACACAUUAAAAAAAAUUUUUUUUUUUUUAAUCACUUUGAGACACUAAAAACUUCAGAAGUACUUUUCUAAUAAGUACGUGGGCAUGCCUUAAAACUAUUUUACUUUAAAAAUUUCAGAAGUACUUAUUAGUUAAAACGUGGGCACGCCUUAUCAAAAAUUUUCUUCUGACCAAAAUAAGCAAACACAUUAUUUAAAAAAAAAAUCUGAAUCAAAAUUAAAAGAAGAUAUGACAAAAACCAAAAUAAAUAAAUCAUUUGGGUUGCCUCCCAAAAAGCGCCUUUGUUUUAUGUCUUUGGCUAGACACAUUUAUGCAUCAAUCUCCAUAAUUGGGACUCUCGAGAGCCACAUCCUCCACAAUAUUCACCGAAAAACCUUCAUAAAAAGGUUUUAAGCGAUGACCAUUAACCUUAAAAACUUUGUCAGAGGUCGGACUCCGAAUCUCAACUGCACCAUGAGGAAAAACAUUAGUAACAAUAAAAGGUCCAACCCAGCAAGAACGUAAUUUACCCGGAAAAAGUUUAAGCUUAGAAUGAAAAAGAAGAACUUUUUGACCAACAGAGAACUCCUUUCUCAAAAUCAUUCUAUCAUGAAAUGUAUUCGUCUUUUCCUUGUAAAAAAUUUCCUGCGCUAUAGGGUUAAUAACAUCCACAGAAAAUACCGAAUGUUCCUCACUAGGAUAUUUCAUGGUAGCAUUCAUAUUGAAUUCUAUAACCUCUUCAUCAAACUCCAUAGUGAGAGUCCCUUUAUGUACAUCCAUUUUAGUCCUAGCAAUCUUAAGAAAAGGUCUUCCUAGCAAAAUUGGGACAGAAUUAGAGGAGUUAUCAUCUUCCAUAUCAAGUACAUAAAAAUCAGCAGGAAAACUAACUCAUUAACUUGUACUAAGACAUCUUCUAAUACCCCAUCAGGAUAUGCAUUAGACCUAUCGGCUAGUUGAAUUAUCACGCCAGUUUCUUUUAAUGGACCAAUAUUCAAAGAUGAAUAAAUAGAACGAGGCAUGACAUUAAUAGAAGCUCCUAGAUCUAACAAAGCCUUUUCAAUUCUAACACUACCAAUUUUACAAGGAAUAGUAAACAUACCUGGAUCCUUGCACUUAGGAGGUAGUUUCUUUUGAAGAACUGCUGAAAUAUUCUCCCCCAUGUUAACUUUUUCAUCUCCUCUUAAUUUUCUCUUAGAGGUGCAUAGUUCCUUAAGGACUUUAGCAUAUCGAGGUAUCUGUUUUUAUAGCAUCUAAUAAAGGAAUAUUUACCUCAACCUUGCGAAAUGUCUCAAGGAUGUCUUUCUCUUGUUCCUCCUUCUUGGAUUUUGCAAACCGGCUUGGAAAAGGAGGAGGUAUCACAAUAGGUAGGGGUUUCGUUCUGGUGGGUUCCGCAUCAUGAGAUUGAGGCAUCAAUUCAUUCUUCUCAAGCUCAUCUUCUACAUGCUUUGUCGCUUUCUUAUUAGGCUCUUGCAACUCCGUCCCACUUCUAAGGAUGACAACACUAACGUUUUGCUUUGGAUUCACCUCAGAUUGUGAAGGCAAUCUCCCUAAUACUUGAGACUCCAGACGGCUCACUGUAGUCGCCAAUUGACUCAUUUGGUUCUCCAAGUUCUGAAUGCUUGUUGUAGUUGCCUGCUGAAAUUGUUGAGUGUUAGUCGCAAGUGAUUUAACAAUUUCUUCGAGAGAUAUACCUGACUUGGAGUUUGACUGUGGAGGUGCUGGUUGUCUUGGUGGAUACUGUUGUGGGAAUCCUGACGGCCUAACUCCAUAGCUGAAGUUGGGAUGAUCCUUCCAUCCCGGAUUGUAUGUUUGUGCAUAAGGAUCAUACCUCCUCUGAGGCAUGCCUGGAAAUCCUCCAACUGUAUUGGCUUGUUCAACGGGUUCUUCUUGAAGUGUAGGACACAUAUCAGUUGAAUGACCCAUAUUGUAACAAAUGUCACAAGUCUUCACCUGUUGCACAUUACCUACAACAAACUUUUCCACAAGAGAAGUAAGUUUAUCUAAACGUUGUUCAACAGAAGAAAUAUUUACCUCAUUCACCGUUCUUGAAGUGGCAUCUUGUCUGCUGCCAAAUUGUUGUGCAUUGGCAGCCAUAUUUGAGAUCAACUCCCUUGCUUGAGUAGGGGUCUUGUUCACCAACACGCCUCCACUAGCAGCAUCUAUCAUACUCUUAUCCAUUAAUGAUAGUCCUUCGUAAAAAUAUUGAAUAAGAAGUUGAUCAGAAAUCUGAUGCUGAGGACAACUGGCACACAAUUGUUUGAAUCGCUCCCAAUACUCAUACAAAGUCUCCCCAGGAAGUUGUCUGAUCCCACAAAUAUCUUUUCUGAUGUUGGCAGCUCUUGAAGCAGGAAAGUACUUCUCGAGGAACUGCUUCUUCAAACCAUUCCACGUUGUAAUCGAUCCAGGAGGCAAGUAGUACAACCAAUCUUUAGCUAGCCCAUCUACAGAGAACGGAAAAGCACGCAGCUUAAUCUGCUCUUCAGUCACGCCUUGUGGUCUCAUACUUGAACACACAACAUGAAACUCCUUAAGAUGUUUAUGAGGAUCUUCACCUGCAAAACCAUGAAACUUGGGUAAUAAAUGAAUAAGACCAGACUUUAAUUCAAAAUUUACCUCCAAGUCUACAUAUUGAAUGCAGAGUGGUUGUUGAUUCAAGUCUGGUUCAGCUAACUCUCUAAGAGUUCUUUCUACAGGUGCAGGUCUAUCCAUCACUUGUUCUUCCGAAUCGCUAGAUGAUUCAACUAAAUCAGGCACUGUAUCUGUUUCAGAAAGCAAAGGCGACGAGGAUCGUUGCUUAGCUCGCUUUGUCUGCUGUCUCAGCUGGCGAGCUGUCUUCUCAAUUUCAGGAUCAAACGAAAGUGUACCUGUACGAGAAGAACGAACCAUACACCGAGUAAAACGUAAAAAGGAUUAAAUAAAUGACACCAAUCCCCGGCAACGGCGCCAAAAUUAGAUGGGUGUCGAAGCCAACAAAAAUAAAUUCCUACUCUAAAUAAAUUGUGUAUAGUGAUUGAGCAGGGUCGUGUCCACAGAGAUCGGUAAUUAUUUAAAUCCUUUUGAAACGUAAAACGUAAAAUGGGGGAAUUGUUGACAAUAAUAAAAAUCAAAUUGAAAUAAACAAGAAUGCAAAUUAAAGUUGUAAUUCAAAUUGGAGAAAGCUCUGGUUGAAGGAAUUAACUCAGCUUGAUUCGACUACUGAUCAUUGAUUCAAAUAUAUAUUAUUAUUACUUAUGAAUAGACCGGUUAUAGCUAUUGAGACCCUCUAAUAGCCAAUCUCUCCUUAACUAGUCGAUAACCAAGGUACGACCGUUGGAUAUUUCCCUAAUCAAUAGACAACCCUAGAUACGAUCAUAGGAUUUAAUCAAUUGACAGCCUGAAAAACUAGAGAGACCCAAAUCCUAAUCAACACAUAUGAUGAUUCAUUUAAAUUAGAUUAUUUAUUCUCACAACACAACUCUCUGCUAUGUUAUUUGUCACAAACAUUAAAUUCUUCAUACGAUGAAUCCUUUAAUUGACAAUAGAUUAAGUUGAUAAUUAAAUAGUGGCCAAUUACCUAAUUAACAAACAUAAUCAUGAAACUAAUUCAGAGAAUAAACAAAUAUCCAAAAAGUAAUAAAACAAUUAAAGCAUAAGAAAGAUCUCACAGUAGUGAUGAAUCAAAGCUUCAUUAACCUUCAACCAGAAAAAUAAGUUUAGUUCUUCAUAGAGAGAAGAGAAAAAUUAGAUCUAGGGUUUCUUCUUUUUCUCCAAUCUAAAAUCCCCCCCAAAAAAUCCCCCUCUUUCACAAUAGAUUCCUCCUUAAAUACUCUCUCUCUCUUCUCUUUUAGAGUUCUAUUUAAAAUAAAAUACUAUUAUCUUAAAUAUUAAAUUCGUAAUUACAAAAAUAGCCAAAAAUACAAAACACGUUAAACUAAAAACUGCAGGUCCGCAGUUGACAGCACGCGCCCACGCCUUAUCAAUAAAGUUCUUCUGACUCUCUAAAUUUCUCCAAGAGAACAAUCAUCUUUAAACAUCAUCUUAUAACUCAAUUUUAUCACGAAUCAAUAGAAUUGCACCUACAAAAGUAAAACACAAGUAAAUCAUUAUUAUUAAGUGCAAAACAUCGAUAUUAAGGGAAGUAAACAAUGCAAAACUAGUGCAUAAAUUGCACUCUAACAGAUAUACAAUCUCUGUGGGACGAUACUCUACUCUUCAUUAUAUUACUUGUGCUGACUAGUACACUUGCUAAUUUACGCAUCAAAUUUUUGCCGCCGUUGCCGGAGAUUAUUUGGAUUAGUAUCGAUACCAAAACCUUAGUUUAAUUUGAAUUUUAUUUUUAUUAUUUUUAUUUUUAUUUUCAUUUUCUUGUCUAAUUUUAUGAGACGUUCAAGAAGUUUUGAUUUAUUGCCUUUUGAUUCAGAGAUUGAACGCACUUGUAGAAGGCUCAAUAGAGAAAGGAGAGAAGCUUUACAGGAGCAACAACUAAUCAUGGCUGACGAAGCAUUGCACAGAAAUGAGGAUGCGAGACCUUUAAGAGAUUAUGUUGUGCCUACAGUUAAUGGAGCUCGUUCAAGCAUUGCACGCCCUGUCGUUCAAGCCAAUAAUUUUGAAAUUAAGCCAGCCAUAAUCCAGAUGAUUCAGGCGUCAGUACAGUUUGCUAGGAUGCCAAAUGAUGAUCCAAAUGCUCAUAUUGCAAUUUUUUUGGAAAUUUGUGACAUAUUUAAGCAAAAUGGUGUUUCAGACAAUGCUAUCAGGCUAAGGCUUUUUCCGUUCUCACUGAGGGAUAAAGCAAAAGAGUGGUUGAACUCACUCCCUGCUUGAACAAUCACUACAUGGGAUGGUUUAGCAUAGAAGUUUUUAGCAAAAUACUUUCCUCCAGCAAAAACAGCCAAGUUGAGAAAUGACAUCACAACCUUUGCUCAGUUCGAGAUGGAAUCAUUAUAUGAAGCGUGGGAAAGAUACAAAGAACUACUAAGAAAAUGCCCACAUCUUGGUCUACCAGUUUGGCUUCAAGUACAAACAUUUUAUAAUGGUUUGGGAUCCAAUACCAGAACAAUGAUUGAUGCUGCAGCAAGAGGAACGUUAAUUGGAAAAACACCAGAACCAGCUUAUGAAUUAUUGGAGGAGAUGGCAUCCAACAAUUACCAGUGGACUUCAGAGCGAUCAAUGCCAAGGAAAAUUGUAGGAGCCCAUAAUAUUGAUGUUGUCACUGCUUUAUCUGCACAGAUGACUGCUUUAUCUAAUAAGUUAGAGCACCUAAAUGUCAGUGCUAUUCAAACUCAUGUGUGUGAAUUAUGCGGAGGGAACUACACCAGUGUCAACUGCCAAGUUGGAAGUCCUUUUGUGUCGUCAUCUGCUGAACAAGCUCAUUAUGUGUCAAACUUCCAGAGACAACAACAUAACCCAUAUUCUAAUACCUACAAUCCUGGCUGGAGAAACCACCCGAAUUUGUCAUGGAACAACACUCAAAAUACAUUGGCACCACCUCCAGGGUUCCAACCACAAGAAAAGAAGUCAAACUUAGAAGAUGCUCUUAUCCAGGUUACAACAAACAUGUCUCAAUUCAUGACCAAAACAUAGACAACUUUUCAAAAUCAAGUUGCAUCAAUUUGGAACCUCGAGGUACAAGUGGGUCAGAUUGCAAACUUGCUAUCCAGUAGACAACAUGGCUCUCUGCCAAGCAGCACCGAGACAAAUCCAAAGGAGCAAGUUAAUGCAAUUAUACUUCGGAGUGGUAAACAACUUGAUGAGCCGCGAAAAGAAGCAAAGAAAAUUGAUGAAGAACAAACUGAAGACACCACUAAGGUUUCAAAGGCAGCAAGUUCAGAAAUACCACAACCUAAACUAGCAACACCAGUCAAGGCUUAUGUUCCUCCAAUCCCUUUUCCUCAGCGUCUCCGGAAAAAUAACAUAGAUAAGCAAUUUUUAAAAUUUCUUGAUGUGUUUAAGAAAUUGCAUAUUAACAUUCCUUUUGCAGAUGCUUUGGAACAAAUGCUGCUUUAUGCCAAAUUUAUGAAAGAAAUGUUGUCCAACAAGAGGAAACUUGAGGAGCAUGAAACUGUAAUGCUGACUGAGGACUGCACCGCCAUCUUACAAAAUAAAUUGCCACCAAAGUUGAAAGAUCCAGGGAGUUUUAAUAUUCCAUGCACUAUUGGAAAAUGUUAUUUUGAUAAAGCUUUGUGUGAUUUAGGUGCAAGCAUUAAUUUGAUGCCUUUUUCUAUUUUCAAGAAAUUAAGUUUGGGUGAACCUAAGGCAACAACUGUUACCCUACAAUUGGCAGAUAGAUCUAUAAAGUACCCAAGAGGCAUAGUUGAGGAUGUGCUUGUGAAAGUUGACAAGUUUAUAUUCCCUGCAUAUUUCAUUGUCUUAGAUAUGGCCAAAAAUAUAGAGUUACCUCUCAUUCUAGGCCGACCAUUCUUAACUACAGGAAGAGCUUUGAUUGAUGUUCAGGAAGGGAAAUUGAUUUUAAGAGUUCAAAAUGGGCAAGUCAUUUUUAAUGUGUACACACCUAUCAAGUAUCCAACUGAACUCAAAAAUUUUUUUCAAGAAGACACCAUGGAUAGAAAAAUGGCCAAAUCAUUAAAGGAUAAAGAUCUAUCUGACCCUCCUGACAUUUAUACAAUACAUAAGCAGUUUAUUAAUGAAGAUCCAUCUCCUCAUUUUUGUGGGAAGAGGCCUAAUUGCAAGAAAUUUGUGCAAGGUCCAUCCAUAUUAUCUCCUUGCAUCCACGAGCCUCCUUGAAUAAUCUUUUCAAAGACAGUCAAGCUAAUGACUAUAAAUUAAGCGCUUCUUGGGAGGCAACCCAAGCUUUCUAAACUUUAUUGUUGUCAUUUUUAUCUUUUCUUAUUUCUUUUAUCUUUUCUUUUACUUAUUUUAUUUUGUUUUAUCUAGGUUUUUGCACAAGUUUGGGAGUUGGUGAACAUUGACUUUUCACAUGCCUUUCAAUGACUCAACUGCAAGGUCACAUCUUCAAGUGCAAAACUGGGGGAGUUUUUCUUUUCCUUUUCUUUUUCUUUACAUUGAGGACAAUGUUUAUUUUAAGUUUGGGGGUGGGAAUAUUUUCUUUAAUUUUUUUUCAAAAAAAAGUUUUAAAAAGAAAAAAAGAAAAUUUAAUGCCUAUGAUGAGUUUAUGGUUGAAAAUGAAUAUGGUUCUGAGAAAGGGAUGAAUAUUGUCUUAGUUUAUACUUGAUCCUUAUGUUAGUUUCGUCUUGAUUGUGAUUCUUUAAAUAUCUUGCGCACUUAUAUCGAUUCUUUUAGAAUUUUGACUUGAGAUUUGAGAUUGAUACAGCCUGAGUUGAGAAUUUUAGAUUGAGUAAAUGACCGUUUGCCUCGAUUCUACAUUACUUAAGUUUACCCAGGCACCAUAGUCAGAAAUAGCUACCUACAACCCUUAAGAGUGAAGCUAUCCUUGAGUAAUUUGGGCCUAUAUACCACCAGUAUGUAGAUAAUAAUCUACCAUGAGAAGAAGGCUACCUUAAGGGGUAGAGUGAAAGCUCCUGACUAUGAAAAAAAAAUGAAAAGAAAAGAAAGCAUGUGCUUCAAGAAAAAUAAAAAGAAAAUGCAAAUUUAUGCCUGCGAAAAAAAAAAAAAAAGAUCAAGAUGAUGAGGUUAGUUUGACCUACUCUGUUUAUUAUUCGAGACAAUGGCUGUUGAUAUUAAGGAAUAAGUCACUCAUACUUCCGUGAUUUAGUAGAUACAGACUAUAUGAAUAAAUCUUAAGGAUUUAUUUAAGUCUGUGAUUAUCUUUUACUUUUAACACGAAAAAAAAAAUUGUGUCAAAAAAGGAGUAUGUGUAUCUUGAAAAUGAAUUUGUGUGACUAUUUAUUAAAACAAAGAGAUCUCUCUCGCCAUUUCCUUAAACUGAGGAGUAAGAAAGUAUUGUUAUUCUUUUUCCUAUAUAUUAUUUUAUUAUUUUUACUAAAAAAUUAUAGUGCUUAGAGUUGUUCCUUUUAAACUGGGAAGCCAUACUUAGUGAAUUGCUGGGGAAGAUUAAUUUACUCAAAAGAAUUUUUUCUUUAAUUAGGAAUAUAAUUGCAUUUAAUCUUGUAUAUAAUCUACUUAUUUAAAGUAAUUUAUGUGAUGAAAAUAUAGUUAUCGUAUUUUAUUUAAAGCUCAUCAUGGGUGCAAAUCAAAAGCUUUAUUGAGGGGGCAAAUAAAAAAUUUGCUUGAAAUUUAAAAUUAAUAUUCUAGAAAAAUAAGAUUUAUUAGGACAGCUGCCGCCCUGGUUAGUCCCUAUCUAUGUCUCAAAUAUUUCAUUGCGCGAGCAUAAAACAAUGGAAAGUAAUUUAAGGCACAGGUUGUAUAUAUAUUAAUCUCAAGAAAAUGAGUAAUUAAUAUGUGAAUAGAUAUUUAAUGAUAACCAUUUAAGGACCUGUAUUUGAUUUAUUUUGGUUCUUUUUUAUUUAUUAAUUAAUAUAGGAAACUGAUUGUGUCAUACAGUAUCUGUAAUGCCUUUUUAAGUUUAUUUCUAAAUCAAAAUAAAUCGUGAUUAUUCAUGUAUCAUUGAAAUUUUUAUAAUUUAUUCUGUGUUAGUUCAAAAAGAGUGUGUUGGGUGGUAAUUCAUAUCAAGACCUAGUAUGUAUGGUUUAGCUUUUUCACUAGCUACAGCAGCUCUGAAAACACUUGUAAUUAUAAUUUGGGAAAUUAUCAGUCAUAUACCCUUAAAUGACACCCGUAUCAAACAUGUGUGAACACUUUUCAAGUGUAUCACUCGUAUAUCCUAAGUUGACAAAACACCUCUGCCGUCCACCAAUUCGUUAACUUCCGUUUGCAAGCGCUAACAUCGUAAGGGUAAUCUAGUCUUUUAAGAUUGACGAAACUUUGAUUUAAAAAACCGACAUGUCAUCCCAUUUACCUAGUAACAAAUGACAUGCCAUAUGAUAUAUAUUGAUAAAAAUGACAUAUCAUCCCAUUUAUCGGAUAAUUGUUAAUAAUUGCUAAAAAAACUACUUUACAACCGAAUCUACUCCUCCAAAAUUUAACCUAAAUUUUUGGAGAUCUACUCCUCCAAGCUUCAAUUGGAAAUUUUUAUGGUAUAAUAUGUAUAAUUGUAAAUAAUAUGUUGUUAAUAAUUUUUAUGGUAUAAUAUAGAUAUUUUUUUAUGAAUAAUUGUUAAUAAUAUAUACCAUUAAUAAUUUAUUUUUUUAAUCAAAAAAAUGUAUUGUUAAUAACAAAAUAAAAAAAAUUGUGUAUUGAAAAUUUACAUUAAUUUUUGGGGCAAAUUUAUAUUUUUACCUCAUUUUGAGUUUCAAGGGCAAAAUAGUCAAUUUGUCAUAAUUAUGUUAACUUUCUAACGGAAGUUAACGGAUUGGUGGAUGGCAGAGGUGUUUUGUCAACUUAGGGUAUACGAGUGAUACACUUAAAAAGUGUUCACACGUUUGAUACGGGUGUCAUUUAAGGGUGUAUGACUGAUAAUUUCCUUUAUAAUUUUGAAGUUGGGUUGAUUUUACUCAACAUGUGUUUUAAUUCAAAAUUCAUAUUAUUUUUAUUAUUUUUAUCAAAAUUGUUACUUAAAAGUUACAUUUACAAAAUACCACCAGCUCUUAUUUCGUGCCUAACUAGAGCUUCCUUUUCAUAAUAAUUAUGACUUUGAAGCCACAGCACCACACACUACCAAAAUUUCCAUUUUGUUCUAAGAAUUUGUAUUUUGCAAAGUUCAUUGGCUUUCUUAUGUUACCAGCUUCCAGUGUCCGCCAAUGCUGCUCUUCUUUAAUUUUCUCAAAAAAUCAACACAAGAUGCACAACUUUUAAAAUCAUAUAUUUGAGCUAAACUUACUUUCGAUCUUCAAAGUCAGGCAUUAAUUCUCAGUUGGUUUCGUAUAUUUAAAACUAAUAAAAAAAAAAUUUAGAUUAAUGAAAAAAUUAACUUUUUAACCUAAAAAAUAGAUUUUUAAACACUAACAAAAGUAACGAUAGAAAUAUUACGAACUAUAUUUAGAAAUGCAAGUACUGAUCUAAGAAUUGAUGUCCAACCCUAAAGACUAAAUGGUAAUUUACCCAAACAGUAAAGAUUUAUAUUACGUUAAUGAUGUUUCCUUGCUAUUCAGAUGCUUCUCAAUUUUACCUUCAUUUCUUUUCUAUUGGAUGGUUAUGAUUAGAAUACCAACUUUUGAGAAAUGGGCCAUCAAGGGGAUUAAAAAAAAUAUGUUUGAUGUUUGGAACUGGAGAUGAUAGUUAAUUAAUUGGUAAAAUUUAUUAUGAUUAGUACAAAAAGUGUGAAGUUUGAAAAUCUUUUAAGGUGUGAAGUUUGAACUUAAUCUUUUAAGGAAUCAGAUAAAUGCAAGCAAAUUCUAUUGUAGCUUUCUGAUUACUUUCAGAAAUUACAGGUUACAUUUUUCAAAUUAUUAAAAAGAAAUGAAACUCAAAAGUUAAAAAGUUUUUCAUAAAUAGUUUUCAAGUAAUUUUAUUUAAAGGUCAUCCAAAUUUCAAUUCCGAGAAGGUAUGAGGUUAAAAAUUCAAUCUAAAUUUUAUCCACCACCUCCCUAGUUAUUCGAAGAUAUAUAUAUAUAUAUAAAUUACAAACUUAAAUAAAGAGGUGGAGAAAUAUAUUACUCUUGUUAUGGUUUGUAUCACGAGUAUUGGCCGCAUAGUACUUAAACCCAUCUCUUACUAUGGUUUAUAUCACAAGUAGUGGCCGUAUGGUACUUAAACCCAUCAUAUUGUUUCUUCAAACACAAACUGUAAAACUGAAAAAACACAACCCAGAUUGGCAAAUAUAUACUUCAGAAAUGCAACUAUAACUCAUUCAGGAUGAAUUGCAUAAUUACUUGUGGACUAAGGUGCUUAUAUCUGCAAUCUCAGCAUAUGUUCCACGUCCACGAAUGUGUCGCAUAUGAUCUGUAUCAGACGGAGUAGGAUUGCUGAAUUGGGUCGAUAUCCAGUCCUUUAAGCCUAAUCAGUGAUUCGACGUGCCCUUUCAGUGUAUGCAGUUCUCUCAAUCUGAAAAAAAUCAAAAUAUUGAAUGCAUAAGAGUGUACACUCCAAGAAUUAAAUUUCAGCUUUUAAGAGUAGAAAUUAAGUAAUGUAGUUUGUUAGCGUUAUAUUUAUAUGUUUUACCUAGCAAUCUCAGCUCUUCUUCUUGCUUCUUCAGCCAUCCGGCUAAGUUCUCCGUAACUGCUUCGUACACUGAACAUAUUGGAGUCACGUGGGUGCAACCCAUGGAGGGUUCUCUGCGCCUGUGCCCAUAGACGCUCACGUUCUUCUUUUCCGAAAUCUCUUUUAGUUGUGAAGGCAAUCUGCAAAAUAGCAAUUACACUAUGGAGAGUGAGCAAGAAAUUAAGCUCCAGUUCAUGAAUAAAAUAUGUUGAACUCAAGCCAUCAAUACCCUUUGUUCAAAGACAAGAUCCCAAAAAUUCCUGCUAAGCACACAUCGGAUGAAGAACUUUAUAAAAUCAAGCGGAAUGUAGAAGAUGAUAUUAUAAAGCCAAAUCACACCAGCCCAACCCCAUCCUAUUCCUUCAAUUGUAGCAAAGCUCCAGGUUGCAUAGACGGCAAUCAGUGUAGCAGUCUGCUCACAGAAUUAAAAAGGAUCAACUCGUCCCCUAUAUGUCAGAAAGGCCAAAAGGAAACAGCAUUUAUCACUCACCAGCUGAGCAACAAAGAAAGCCAGAGCAAGAAACAGGACAGGACACUCGACGUAAGACCAACUCCUUGCACGUGUCACGAAUAGGUGGGCCUGACUAAUGGAACUCACUUGCAGGUAUACUGCCGAGGCAAGUUUUCUCCAGUCGUCCACAUCCUUUUUGUUAAGACUUGAAAUGCCAAAUGUACGCUGAAUGUUGCACACUGAGUUUCAGUCCAAAUUAUUGAAGACAAUGUAAAGGCAUAUAUUAUUCUCUAUAUUAUUAAAUCAAGGAAAACGGGCAUACAUAACACCCAAAUUGGGUGACAUGAUAACACAAAAGAUAAAUCACAUUACUGGAAAGAAGUCUGUUUGGUAUGCUGUCCAAAAGAAAAUCACAGUCAUCAUUGCCAAGUAACCACCAAGAAUGCUUCCAGUUACAAAGAUCUCGGUCAAAUUCCACCUUUCUGGAUGAGGAGAUGGUCUGACUCUAUCUUUUGAUAUUGUAAUAAUAAUAGCACCUGGCAAUCAAUGUACCGGAUAAAUAUCAAUAGACAAGAAUAUUUCUUAUUUGAAAUCGAUGCACCUGGAUGAAAAAGAAUACAAACAGUUACGAUAUACAUGCUGAGUCAAGGAAAUACAAACCAUCAUUAAGAAUAGCAAUUAUCAGCACCAUGAAGGGUGGAAAGUUAAACUGCCAGAUAAGAGCUAGCAGCCUGAAACCAAACUGUCACCAAGAGAAACAGUUAAGACAUCAAGCUGAGAUAUUCAAGCUACUUUUGUGAAGACUCUUUCAUAUUCAUCAGUAGGGCAAUAAUUACUAUAGAAGAUCAAAGUUGCAAAUACCAAAUAAAUUACACCAUACUCUCCUACAUAGUAUUUGAAACAAGCAGCAAACAACUUACUCCAAUAUGGAUGGUAAUGGAGACUGCAUAUAUCUGCGACAAGAAAGAAAUUAAUUAAGCAUCAAAAAGUGAGGACAGAGCAAGAAGGAAUCAACUAAUUCAAGUAAACAAUGCUCGUGUUCUUGUUUCAAUUUUGCAAAAGUCUGAGACAGUGUAAAGAAGUUACCAGUGCCCACAAAAAUCAAGUUUUCAUGAACAGCACCACCGCCAAAGUCUUGGUUUAUUAUAUUAUUUAUUAUUAUUUUACCACAGGCUCUAAAAGUAGUUUACAGAACAGUGACAUGUUAUUUCAGUCUCAGUGCUUUCUUGACCACUAGGCACUCAAGCAGGGUAAAAUGCAAGCUUUAAAUUAUUAGUUUGUUUGUAGGUUAAGGAAUGUGGAAUAGAUAGAAUUAGAUGGGUUGUGAAUUCCCUCACACAAAUCCCAUCCAUCUCUACACUAUCGACUAUAGAACACCUUUUCCUUAGAAUCGAAACAAACCCUCACCGUGUAAUUUCUCAUCCUCUGGAAUAUUGCGCGACUAUUUAGAACAGCAGUAAUGAUAACAUUAAGGCCAGGUUCUGUCAGGACAAUGUCGGCAGCACUACGAGCUGCAUCAGUUGCAUCAGCAACAGCUAUGCCAAUGUCUGCUUUCUUUAGAGCGGGAGCAUCAUUGACACCGUUACCGAUCAUUCCACAGAUAUGGUUCCUAGUUUGCAAAUGCUUCACAAUCUCAUAUUUGUGCUCUAUAAAGAAAAUAAGGACAGCCGUGUAAACAAGGGUAAAAAAUAGAAAUAUGCUAUGAUUAAAAUAUAAUGAAAAGGUUGUAGGAUGUAGUCAUCCGUACAUCAAGUUCAAUAAAAGCUAUACAACACUAACUUCAGUAUGUGAUCGACUACUUAAUGCAAAUUAGGAGAUCAAGCUUCGUACCAGGGAAAACACCAGCAAACCCAUCAGCUUUCUCAAUCAACUCGUCCACCGGUAAAGCAACUAUCGACUCAUCCCUUUCCUGCCCUAAUAAGGCUGAUGAAGGAUACAUGUUGGUUCCCAUUCCAAGACGACAUCCUGUUUCUUUUGCUAUUGCAAGUUGAUCACCUGACAAAGAGGAAAAGUCAAACAGAUUGAAUAUCCUUCUUAAUGUGAUGAAAACGCCAAUUAAAACAUUCUAAAAAGGUAAAACCAUAAGAGUAUUUAAAUUCCACCAGCAAUGCAAAAGAAAACUGACAUAUAAGCAUUUUUUCAGAUAGAAGGAUUAAACAAAACCAGAAACAACAAAAUUUCUCUAGAUACAAAUGGUGCCUAAACAAAGACUAAAUAUUAAGAUUACAAAUUAGGAAGACAUAAUACAGUAAAUGGGAGAAGCACCUGUAGUCAUUUUCACGCUCAACUAGGAACACAUAAUACAAUAAAUGGGAGAAGCACCUGUGAUCAUUUUCACACUCAACCCAAGACUCAGUGCCCUUCUUAUUGUUUCUGCACUAUCAUGCCUAGGAGGAUUAAACAAAGGAAUGAGUCCAAUAAAUUGCCAUGGGCUUCCUGAGCUCUCUUUUGAUCCAUCAGGAACUUCCUGAAACCAAAUUAAUAAAUAUAGACUUUGUUAAUACAAAUUGCAAUUGAAGUAAUGCACCGCUAUAGUAAUGUGAAGAUACGACCUAGAACAAUGACAUAGGUAACUCAUAUACCUGAUAUGCCACUGCAAGAGACCGUAAUCCUCGUUCUGCGAACUUAUCAAUCACAGCAUUGAUUCUGCAUCCUAUCUCUGAUUUGUUGCGUACAAGAUUUAAAAUCUGAAAGUCAAAACAAAAGCAUAAAUUAUAUCAAAUGGCAUUUCAGAAUCCUAGAACAUACUAUUAGUUGUUGACAAUCAUACCUGCUCUGGAGCACCUUUGGUGACCCUAUGCAUUUUACCUUCACUGUCGAUAUAUGUCAGAGCUGUUCGCUUACCUGUGGGGUCAAAUGGAAGGAAGUGAACUUCUUGGAUAUCAGCCCUUGCCUUGUUUAAGGUCAAAAGCAAAGAAAUCAGUGCCAACAAAAUGAUAAGACGAAAAAUUAAGAAAAUCUUCUACAUGUUGCCUUUGAGAAUACAAAAUUUCAACAACAGUUAAGCUUAGCUAGAGUAAAAUACAUACAUAAAAUUCUAGAAUUCAUAAAUAUACCUUCUUUGGAUCAGCCAACAUUCCUACUAUAGCAGCAUCUAUUACAUCUAGGUUUUCCACUUGGGAGGCUCGAGCUGCCAUCAGAACAACAGUGUCUGCAUCCACUCCUUUAGCAAAGAUCUGAACAAUGAUCCAGGCCAAAUGUUGAAAUACAAAUUGCAAUUCUAAAAGUGAGCAAAAUUUACACCAACCUCAAUUAGAUUCUUGUCAACUGUUAAUUUGUUCAAAGUUAGAGUUCCGGUUUUGUCACAGCAAAGCACAUCCAUGCCUGCCAUAUCGACUAUUGCACUGAUUCUCUUUGUGAUAACACCCUGCAGUAAUUAGCCCAUAUAUGCUUGCAACCAUCAACUAAUGACCACUAAAAGUAACAUCAUUAUAAAUAACAACUAGGACCAACCUGCCGAGACAAUCGUUUGGAACCAAUCGCCAUUGUCACUGAUAAAACAGUAGGCAUGGCGAUAGGAAUUCCUCCAAUAAGAAGCACAAGUAAAUUAUCAAGUCCUGUGCGGUAUUCCCUGUGUUGAACCGCGUACAUGACAAUGAUCUCUAAUAUUAACCCCAGUGCAAUUGAACAUAUGCAGUAUUUUCCAACUGCAGUCAAGAUCUGUAAACAAGCCCGAGAGCAAGAGUUUCGGUGAAUGAUAAUGUGAGAUUGAACAUAAAAACAAGUCUUAAGGAAUGUGAAUUUGCAUUUUCUUGCCUUUUGAAAGUGACCCACAUGAUUUGUGGUAUCCACAAGGUGUACAGCCCUGCCAAGGAAGGUGCGAACACCAGUGGCAAUGACCACAGCUUGAAUCUCCCCUUGUUUGCACGUAGAGCCUGAAUGUACACAGUCACCAGGGCCCUUACUUACGGGAAUAGACUCGCCUGUGAGAGCAGACUGCAACGUACAAAUUGAAAGGAUUUAAAUUAAAUAGACCAACUUUACCAAAUCAAUUCAAGCAUACAAAGAUUGCAAAAGCUCACCUGAUCAAUUGUCAAUGGAUCACCUUCGAGGAGACGAGCAUCAGCAGGAACAAUGUCACCAAGCUUAACACUAAUGACAUCACCAGGAACAAGAAUGGCUGCAUCUUCCUCCCUCCACUUUCCAUCUCGAAGGACCUGAAAUAAUAUCUCCAAUUACAGAAAUAAUAGAGCCUAGAGCCACAAACUCUUCUUACAAAGUAUUAUUUUACAAAUUAAUAUGACAUAACAGUUUCUGAUUCCAAUUCUCAUUGAGUUAAGUUGACAUGAAGUUCGUAAUAAACUUAUUAGAUAUGCAUAUGCACUAAUCUUAACCUGACAACUAUUCAAGUGCAGUCAGUACCUUAGCUUGAGGAGCAAGAUGAGCCAUGAGAGCCGCGCUGGCAGCACCUGCAUUGUUUUCUAAAACGUAACAGACUGUUGAAUUGGUAAGAAGCAGGGUUGUUAUCCCAAUAAAAUCUUGCCAUUCAGGAGGUUUACCCUGCAACAAUGAAAUUCCCAACAGUAAGAUUAAAUUUAAUGAAGCCUAAAUUCCUUGUUGAAAUAUAUUUCCAUUUUGCUAUUUAUGCUUCUUUAAAUUCCUUAUUUAGAAUAUGGGUCGGGAUUCGUUUAUUUAUAUUUGGAAAAAUUUAUUCAUUUCAUAACCGGUCGAAUUCGAUUUGUUUGGGUAAGGUGGCGUUUGUUUUUUUGUCUGAAAUCUGAAUAGACCUUAAUUAGUCUGAAUUCUGAAUAGGUCUAAAUGUCUGAAUCUGAAUAAUAUGUUUGUUUUUUCGUCUGAAUCUCGAAAAAUAAGUAUUAAGUUGUUUAUUUUUUUCAACUUAAAAAGCUGAAAAUAUGUACUUUUACAUUUGUAUCCUUAUUAAAUUUGAAUGUCAAAUAAAUAAUAUAUUAAAUACCACAAUAUUUUAACAUUUAUAAGUAAAAUUAUAUUCAAGUGAAUACAUAAUUAUUUUAGAAUUUUAAUAUAUAAAAUACCAUAAAUUUCAAAUUUUAUCAUAUAUAAUAUAAGAAAGAAAAUACAGGGAUAUUUUUAUGUGGGGUAAAUAUCUAUAGGUGAGUUUUGGGAUAGACAUGAAAAAAAAUUAUAAAACAGGGAUAUUUUUGACAUUAGCAAGCAAUUGACUUAAUUCAGAUUUCUCUAUUAAGUAAAAAGCUAAAAAAAUUAGCUUAUUUUAUUAAGUCAAAAUUAUCUAAAAAGUCUCAUUAAAUUAUAAAAACAAACACCUCUAAUUAACUUAAUUAAUUAAGUUAAGUCACUUUAAGUCAUUAAGUUAAAAAACAAACGCCACCUGGUAAAUAAGCUAUUUCCAUCUAAUCUAAAUUUUAUAUCUCUAACUCAUUUAUUCAUUUAAGAUUUAUUUAAUUAAAUUACUUAGCUACAUUUAUUAAAUUUUUUAAAAAUAAAACUAUUAAGUUGAAAGGUUUGUUUCGUAACGAACUGGGAAUACGACAAAAAGAAAAGUAUGAGAUGAAUCAAAUGAAAUUUUUGAUAAUUUUUUUCGCUUAAUUUUUUUGUUUAUUAAUUUUUAUUUGAGGAUCAAUUGUAGGUAAAUAAGUUUAAAAGAGUUCAACUUGACUGCUAAUUAUAUUAAAUCAAUAUUUAUUUAUUAAAUGAAUCUAACUCCAAAUCUAUUUAUCUAAUAAAUGGUCUAAUUUAAAUCCAUCAAAUUUUAAUGAAAUUUGCUUAGAAAUAGAGCAAAAUUCGUUUUGAUACCCCUAAAUGAAUAUGCUUUGAAACUUGUUAGUCGCCGCUAGGGGUGGUUUUGGGCCCGGGUAUCGCAAUGUCCAGAUCUGGUCUGGAUGAAUUUUUAGACAUCCAGGCCACCUAGUCUAGAUUUUUAAUAUGGAUUUUGUAUUUUUUUAAUAUUAUAUAUUAUAUAUUUUAUUUUUUUAUAAUUUUAUAAGUUUAAAUUUAUUUUAAUAAAAUUUGACAUGAAAAUAUAAACUUUAAGUGUUUAAAACUUUACAUAUGCGUAAUAGAUGAGUAAAAUAAAUAUAAAUAUUUAUAUAUUUUAUAAUAUUUUAUUAAUAAAAUUCAGGUUUUGACCCGAGUCAUGGGUUUAUCAAGUGAUGUCUAUAAUCGGCUCAUCUUCAUGAAUACCCAACCACAUCGCCUAGGUGCGGUUCGUGUUUAGACCGAACGGAUAUUUUUACCACCCCUAAUCGCAGCAAGGCAAGGCAAGGACAUCCUAUAUCCUAUAAGAAGGUGAAUUUGACAUGAGGUAAUUUCAAAAGAAAAAAAAAAAUUCUGCGAAGCAAUUUCGAAAAUUCUUAAGACCCCCAAGUCUGUUUCAAAAAUUUAUAUUGAAAAAUUUCGUAAAAACCCAAUUUAGCCACGUGACCCACUUCACCCCAGUGUUAUCUGGUCAAAAUUUCAUUUUUGAUGUUGCUUACAAAUUGAGUUAAUAAAUAUAUUUUCAUUUCCAAAAACAUCAAAUAGAAAACACCAUUUUUUUUUCUAAAACAAAUUUUAAAAAUAUAAUUUGAAAACCAGUACUCAAUACUCACUCCUCCAUUUGCCAGAACAAUUGCCAUGAUAGCUGCAGCUUCCAUGACCCAUGAGAGAGGGUUCCACAUAAAUCCCAAAAACUUCAAAAUUUUACUUUCCUGGAAAACCCACCAAAAAUAAAAAAUUAAAAAUUAAAAAUUACAAUCUACAAAAAAAUAAUAUCUUACAAUCAUUAAAAAAAGUAUCUUUUUUCAUUAAUAGAACUUUCCAAUAGGAAAGCUAACAAGGAAAAGAAUGAUAAAAGUAAAAAUUACCCGUUUCUCCUCAAGCUUGUUGUAGCCGAAUAUGGAAAGUCUCUGCUCAGCAGCCUCCGUCGAAAGGCCCCCUUGACGGCACUUCAAAGACUCAAAAACCUCUUCCAUCGGCACCUUUUCCUGCAGACCAAAAACCUGAACUUCCUCACAAAACAAAAACACUUUAUAACACUGAAGAAAACGACGACACCCUCAUGAUUUGAUGAAAUAGUCAUAGACAUACUCUUAUUUUUGGAAAUUGUCAUAUAGAUAACUUUUUAGACAACUUUUUUCAGAUAAAAUUUAGUCUGGUUAUUAUAAUCAAAAAAAUAUAAUUGUCAUAAAAGAGAUCCAUGAGUCUGUGUGACGAUUUUUCAAAAUAAAAAGAUCACUGCGGCUAUAUAUUGCCAGGCCACAGGAGCGUCGGUGUCUUUUUCUUAAUGGUAAACUAAAAACAAAAACGCAAAAAACAGUAAUAAAGCAAUCAAGAACUGAGAUUACAAACUCUGUUUCAAUACCAAAUCCACAGCUUCAUUCAUUAUGCUCUCCAUUUCUUCUCAAUGAACUCACUUUCGUUACCUUUCCUUCAAACCCCUUAAAAACCAAGUAAUUAAACAAAUCAUGUUAAAACAAAAUCACAGGAAAAAAAAAAAAAAACGAUGGAAAGACAGAGAGAGAGAGACUCAAAAACAGAGUAAUGUGUUUUGCUUUUCACCUUUUAAUUUGAGAAAAUUCUUUGUCUGUAGAGAGAGAAGGAGAGAAUAGUUUUAACCUCUCUCUCUCUAGAAUCUAUAAGCGGCAGCUUCUUCAAGUGCAAGAUUUCUUUUUAUGUGUCUGUACAUUCUCUCUUUCCUACAUUUUUUUAAUUUUUUUUUUCAUUUGGGCAGUUCAGUACGUAAGUAGCUUGAUGUUGAUAAAUUGUUCGCAUGUUCUGUCUUUUCCUUUUAUUUUCUUCCUUGUAAACUAAUCUAGAAUUUCAGUGAAAACAACCCUAUUGUAAAUAAUUGUAUCUACACUACUGCAUUAACUGAAGUAUCUCUGCAUGGCAAGGCCGGCUCUUUUGCCCUGAAGCCAAUGCAAUGAGGAAUUGUUUGGGGCUCCAUUUUGUAUUAAAGAAGAUGAUUUUUCUUACGUGUGAAACAAAAUAUUCAGGACGAGUGUGAGGAAAACAUAAAUCACAACAUUCUAAUUCAAUUUAUGCAGCGGGUGCACUGUGGAUUCAGUUCUGAUAUUUGUGAUGACUUUUUAUAUGUAUUAUUGUGAUGGGUGGUUAUUAGAUAAAAAAAUAAUAUUUAAAUACGCACGGAAUGGUAUAAACUUGGAUCCAAAUUACUAAUAAGCUUAAUCGGUAUAAUCUUUUGGGAUGACAUAAAAAGCCUAAAGUUCAAACUCUAUUCAUGUAGGUGAGGAAGAAACUAAAUUAUUGCCGAACCAAUUAAACAUACAAUCUACUAGAAAAUAUGUACUUGAACUUACUACCCACUCGAAGAGUUAAAAGGCUUUACGUGAGAUUGUAGUUAGAAAUUCAGCAACUCAUAAGGUUAUUAGAGGUUACAUAAAGUUAUGUGAAGAUGCUAAUUUGGUUAGGUGUGCAGGGAUGGCAAAACGAACAACUGAAUCCAAUUCAAAUCAAAUUGUAAAUGAAUUGGAUCAACAUUCUAUUGAUUCAUAUUUGAUUUUCUUAUUAAACGAAUUGAAAUUUUAGAAUUGAAAUUUGAUUUGUUUAUUAAAUAAAUAUUUGGUUUGAUUUGUUUAAUUUAUUUAGUAAAAUUAAUAAAUGAAUUGAAUCAAAUCUGGAUCCGUUUACUAUUGUUUACAAAAAUAUAAUUAAUGAAUAAAAAUUAGGUAAAAUAAAAUAAAAAAGAUCACAAAUUUAACAUUCGACAAAAAUAUAAAUAAUCCAAACCAUAUUCUAAGAUUAAAUAUAUAGUCAUCCAAACACCAAAUUACAAAUUCUUAAUAAUACAAAUAAUAUUAAUUAAAAUUCAAAAUAUAAACCUAGGUGAUUUCUUUAAUUCUGUUCGUUUUGUCUUUGUCACCUGAAAACAAGUCCUACAAGAAAAAAUUAAAUAGAAUGAUAUUAACAUGUUGCAACACUAAUAAGAGUCAUUGUAACAUUUCAAAGUAUCAAUCAUAUACCAAAUUUUGUAGUAUUGAUAAGAAAAUAAUAAUUAAAUCUACAAAGGCAAGAAAAUCCAGCAAGAUAAAACUUUCCCUAUCACACUCCCACAUUGUCACGAGCAUCAUUGGCACUCUCUUGAGAUCGAGCACUAUUAGUGCUCAUGUUCAUAAUGUUUUCAGUAAGUUAGGCCAAAAUGACAUCAAAAUUUUCUACAGUAAGGGUGUGUUUGGCGUAUUGUAUUGUAUUAUAUUAUAUUGUAUUAUUUUAAUACAUAAUUAUUUAUUAUACUGUAUUACAUUAGAAUUAUAUUAUAAUAAUAUCGUACAGCGUUUGAUACUCCAUUGUGCUUAUUAAUUUUUAAUUAUAUUAUGUUUGGUGUUGCACUGUAUUGUAUUAAUCUUUUUUGGUGAUUAUUUUAAAUUAUAUAUUUAGAAAAUAAUAUUUAUUAGUACAAUACUUAGGAAAAUACUAAAUAUAAAAAAUUUGGAUUUUGGAAUUUUUACAUUUUAAAAAAUUUCGAUUUUUAUGGUCUCGAGUUUCUUGGAGGCUUUGUCUGCGGAGGAUCUGAGGAAUUUGAAAGAGUUGGUUUGGUAAAGGAGUGGCUUAGCAAGUUCAUCGAGAGCCUCUUGAAAUAUAAGUGUGCAACCCAAGAGGGGGGGUGAAUUGGAAAUUUAAAAAUUAUCCUAGCAAAUCCACACAACAAGCAAUCUAAUGUCUUAAUAAAAAUUGAAAGCAAUAAGUUCAAUAAAGGCACAAUAAUUAAAAGAGUAAGGGAAGAGAAAAACGAACACAAUGAUUUUUACGUGGUUCGGCUAUCCCCGCCUACGUCCACGCCUCCAAGCACACCGGGCUUGAGGAUUUCACUAUCCAAGCCUUUCCAAGGCUUCAACAAUUACAAUUGACUUCGAGGUGUCAAUAAACCUUUACAACAAAGAGAUUAUCUCCCAAUCUCUUCACUUAAGUGUCUCACACACUCAAACUCUUACAAAUGAAAUGAAGAAAUGAAAGUUACAAUCAAACUCACUCAAUGAGUAGAUAUUCAAAGAUGAAGAACAAUGAAUGAUUCAAUGUUUUGUGUUUUGCAAGUUGUAAGCUCAAGAUAUCAUGUGUGCCUUUUGUUUUUGCUUGUUGGAGAGCUUCAAAAUGAGUUGGAUUUGAGUUCUUAUAGCUUGAGCUCGAAAACUAGCCGUUACUCACAUUCUGGGCUAUCCGGUUUGCCGUUUUACGGAAUCCGGUAAGCCGGAUUUAUGUUACCGUUAAGGCAAAAUUUUGAAUUUUGCCUAACCGGCUUGCCGGAUUCGGAAUCCGGUAAGCCGUUUUCGUUCUGGGUGCUUGCUGCCCGAAUUCGGUUUACCGUUUAUCAGUAUCCGGUAAGCCGCUUGCUACAGUAACAUGCUACAGUAAAAUAUUUCCCGAAAUUUAUAGUUUGACCUCAAAACUUUAUAAAACUGUAGUAUGACCCAAAACGUUAUAAAAAUUUGCAAAUAGGUCCAAUUUCAGAAUUUUAAAUAAUGCUUUCUCAAUCCCACAAUUUUUUGAAAUUAUGACUUCGCCCAAACUUUAUGAAAUUAUAGAAUGGCCCAAAAACAUUUAAAUAGUUUCAAAUACGUCCAAAUCCGAAAUUGAAAAUACUAUUAAAGAUUUUGAAAUUACUUUCAUUUUAGUCCAAAAUGCUUUAAUUCCAUAACAUCAUUUUCUUAUAAUAAAAGCACAAUUCAUAAAUCUUUACUUAAUAAAUACAUGUGGUUUGUUAUCAUCAAAAUCAAUAUUUAUAGCCAUAUAGGCUAACACCUCUGUCUUACCUUCUUCCUCUUGCCCUGCCAUGCCUCUGCAAUAGUGAUUGUUUCAUAUGAGACACAAAUGAUAGGGAUAACUUUGCCUCAAAAUAAUUACAAUUUACAAAUCCGCAUAAACCCGACUCCCCCGUGGGUUUAGUCUAUGCGGGUUUGACCGCAUAAAUUAGAUAUUUGACUACAUUACAAUACUAUGCAUUAAGGGCGUGUUUGGUAGCCUGCAUUAUAUGGGAUAAAAACACUAUUUGUAUUCAAUUUAAACAAGCUCACGUUUGGUGCUAAAAGUAGCUACAUCUACACUGUAUUAAUGGGCUGUGCUAAUGCAGCAGUUGUAGCAUUAGCUUGCCUCUUAUUAUUUUUUUUUUCAAUUUUCUUAAUAAUAAUAAAAAUAUAUAUAAUAAAUAAAUAAAACAUUUGAAUUUUAGUAUUAUAUUAUAUAAUAUUAAUUUUUAUUUUUAUUUUUACAUUAUAAUUUAUUAGUAAAUUUAUAAUUUAAUAUAAUUAAUAUUAUUAUUACUUUGAAUAAUAAUAUAAAAUAUUAUUACAUAUACUACAGAACUUUUACUUGGAUUAUUUAUCACAAUUCAUUUUGUUAGUGAAUAUGUUAUAACAAUUAUAUCACUUUAUUAUUUUGUUAUCAUCUUGUGGUGUGUAUAAAUUUUUAUUUCGUUAUCCUAAGAUGACUUUUGAACUAAUCUUCUAGGUUUUAACUAUUUAUUUAUGUUGUUAUAUUACUAGAGAUUAUUUGAUUAAAUUAUUUGCUUCAAUCUUUAUCUCACAGGUCAUAUAUUUAGAAAAUACUGAAAAAUAAAUGUAAUGCUUUCGAAAAUUUAAGGUUAUAAGCUUUGAUCUUUAUGAAGAAUUAUGAUAUUUUUUAACAUUUACACUAAAAAAAUUGUUAAAUUUAAAAAAUUUAAGAUUUCUGUAUUUAGUAUUUUUCCAAAUACUAAUAAAUAUUAUUUUCUAAAUAUAUAAUUUAAAUUACUCAAAAACAAUUAUUACAGUACAAUAUAACACAAAAUAUAGUCUAAUUGAAAAUUAAUACAAUACAUGUAGCACCAAACAUUGUACAACAUUAUGGUAAUAUAGUACUACUGCAAUAUAACAUUAUAUAAUACACCAACAUUAAAAUAAUAUAAUAUAACAUAAUACAAUACAGUGUGCCAAACGCACCCUAAAAUUACAAAAUAUGGCAUAAUAAUCCUUUAAUACUUUGAGGGGUUUUAAUACCAUAUAAUGAAGAGUACCAAACAUGCCCGAAUUUAAAAAAAAUAAAUCUUAAUUAGAAACAAGUGAAUAUAAUAUUAUAAAAAAAAUUAAUUAAUUUCAUUAGCAACUCUUACCAAUCUCUCCUAACAUCUCAAUCUCUGAUAGUAAUAAUUGCUUGGACAAUCUUUGAUUUCAAUAAACUUUAAAAUUGAUCAAGAACUUGACUGCCAGCACUAAAAACCGAUUAAGAUGCAACAUGGAUAUACGAAUGCUUAAGAUAUCACGAGCCAUGGAAGAAAGGUUAGGAUAACAAAAUUUGUUUCCUUUAAAAAGAUUUAGAAUGUUUAAAUCAAUCUUUCUAUAUAUUCUUGGUUCAUCCAAAUAAAACUCUAAUUCAGAUUUUCUAACAUAGGCAUUACAAUCCAUGCUAUUAAGAUCAUCAAACUCCUACAAAAUAAUUAAGAGAUAAGAAUUGUCAAAAUCCAAAACAAGUACAAAUAAGGAAAUAAUAAUUUUUACAAUGAACAGAAAAGAAAAUUGUAAAUGUACCUUGAAUAGUUCCAUGGUCCAUUGGUUAAGUGUAUUCUGACUAUUAUCAUUAUGUCCCACACUUGAACCAAUAUCACUCAUUUGAAUGAGUAUGGAUGUGGUGGAGAAAGAUAGUGUGAUAAAAUUUUACUCACUAAAAACUGAAAACAACUUAUCAUGAACAUGUUCUAACUGCUUUGAAUUUUGAUCAUAAGCAUUGUCGUAGGCAAACUUAAUGAAUGCCAUCCUGUAUCGAGGAUGCAAGAUGACCACAAUUGCCAAAAUGGUACAAAAAUCAAACCAAUACUUCUCAAACUUUUCGAUAAUUUUGAUUGCCAUAAUUUUCAUAUAUACAUCCUAACUAUGCAAUAAUUUAUCCAAAACAACAUUACAUGCAAACACCUUAGGAAAAUACAAACUUGAACUGGGGUAUUUUGACUUGGAAAAAAUGCAUAUGAUCUCAUAAAACAUAGACAAGAAUUUGCCAGUUUUCAUUUUUCUCUAGUCUUCUUCGGAAGAUAACUCUUAUAAUUAGAAUCACUCAAUUGUCAAUGACAGCAAACAUUUUUGUUAUGCAUAACACUAUCAAUUAUAAGAAAAGUUGAAUUCCUUCUUAUAGGAACAUCUUGUCUUAAUCUUUUCUUGUCAUCUAGAGAUACUUAACACACUCGAAGAAUUUUUUUUCUCAUAUUUGACCCUUUGACAUAUUUUAUACUCUCAUGGGCAUUUUCUAUUUCUUCCUCAACUUAUUUCAAUCCUUUUUGAACAAUCAAUAUAAUAAUAUGAGGACAACUUCGAAUAUAAAAGUAAAUCCCCAUCACACAUUAAAGGAUUCUUUAAUCUCAGUUGACUUUUUAACAUUACAACACUAAUAUCGUUACUUGUUUAGAGUCAUUGAAAAAAAAAAUCUUUUUUUCUCAAUAUCCCAUUCACACAAUAAUGAUAAUAUUUUCGCAGCCAAGGCAACCACAGUGUGUGGAGUUAGCAUUUUAGAAAAAUUAAACAUUAUUUUUUGUAAAUUCUAUCCUUUAUCAACGAAAGUGUUAUUAAUUCGGUCAAUUUUUGUCAAUCCAAACUUGACAAAUUCAUCUAGGAUAUUACGACCUCUAGCUUUGCUCAAAUUCUAGACCCAAUGUGAUUGAGAAGUCUAUGAAAUUGGCUGAAAAUUCUUUCCUUCUUUUUUUUAAAAUAAUUUUGAAUAGUUGUCAUAUUCUACACUUCUUGACCACGAGUUUAACAAAAUUAACUAAAAAACUGCCAAAUCACUUUAGAUUAUCUAUAUUUAUCCAUGCACUAAUCUAUCAUGAUUCAUGGAUAGCAUGUGCAAAUAAAUAUUAGGGAGUUAGUCACUCUACUUCCGUGAUAUAGUAAAUACAGACUAUAUGAAUAAAUCUUAAGGAUUUAUGCAAGUCUGUGAUUAUUUUUUAACACGAAAAAAAGUUUGUGUCAAAAAAGGAGCAUGUGUAUCUUGAAAAUGGAUUGGUAUGACCAUUUAUUAAAACAAAGAGAUAUCUCUCGCCAUUUCCUUAACCUGAGGAGUAAGGAGGUAUUGUUAUUCUUUUUCUUAUAUAUUAUUUUAUUAUUUUUACUAAAAAUUUAUAGUGCUUAGAGUUUUUCUUUUUGAACUGUGAAGCCAUACUUAGUGAAUUGUUGGGGAAGAUUAAUUUACUCAAAAGAAUUUUUUUCUUUAUUUAGGCAUAUAAUUGCAUUUAAUCUAGUAUAUAAUCUACUUAUUUAAAGUAAUUUAUGUGAUGAAAAUAUAAUUAUUGUAUUUCAUUUAACGCUCAUCAUGGGUGCAAAUCAAAAGCAUUAUUGAGGGGGCAAAUAAAACAUUUGCUUGAAAUUUAAAAUUAAUAUUCUAGAAAAAUAAUAUUUAUUAGGACAGCUGCCGCCCUUGCUGGUCCCUAUCUAUGUCUCAAAAUUUUCAUUGCGCGAGCAGAAAACAUUGGAAAGUAAUUUAAGGCAUAGGUUUGUUGUAUAUAUAUUAAUCUCAAGAAAAUGAGUAAUUAAUAUGUGAACAAAUGUUUAAUGAUGACCACUUAAGGAUCUAUAUUUGACUUAUUUUGGUUCUUUUUUUUAUUAAUUAAUUUAUAAUUUCUGGGAUAUUAUAUGAUAUAAGAACUGACUGUAUCAUACAAUAUCUGUAAUGCCUUUUUAAUCAGAUAAAUGCAAGCAAAUUCUAUUAUAGCUUUCUGAUUACUUUCGGAAAUUGCAGGUUACAUUUUCCAAAUUAUUAAAAACAAAAUCAAACACAGAAAUUGAAAAGCUUUCAUAAGUAGUUUUCAAGUAAUUUUAUUUAAUGGUCAUUCAAAUUUCGUAAGUAGUUUGCAAGUAGUUUAUUUAAAGGUCAUCCAAAUUCCAAUUCUGAGAAGAUAUGAGGCUAAAAUUUCAAUCUGAAUUUUAUCCACCACCUCCCUAGUUCUUAGAAGAUAUAUUAGAAAAAAAAAAGGUUAAAAACUUUAAUAAACAGGUGGAGAAAUAUAUUACUCUUAUUAUGGUUUGUAUCAGGACCGUUGGCCCCAUAGUACUUAAACCCAUCUCUUACUAUGGUCUGUAUCACAAGUAGUGGCCGUAUAGUACUUAAGCCCAUCAUAUUGUUUUUUGAAACACAAAAUGUAAAACUGAAAAACAGAACCCAGAUGGGCAAAUAUGUACAUCAGAUAUGCAAUCAUAACUCUUUCAGGAUGAAUUGCAUAAUUACUUGUGGACUAAGGGCUUAUAUCUGCAAUCUCAGCAUAUGUUCCAUGUCUACGAAUGUGUCAUGUAUGACCUGCAUCAGACGGAGUAGGAUUGCUGAAUUGCGUCGAUAUCCAGUCCUUUAAGCCUAAUCAGUGAUUCGACGUGCCCUUUCAGUGUACGCAGUUCUCUCAAUCUGCAAAAAAUCAAAAU
This 105637-nucleotide long non-coding RNA is filed under the name Citrus maxima (pomelo). RNAcentral describes it as "long non-coding RNA (CMAX_LNC002668)". The stretch from base 81036 to 81142 matches the Rfam family "Plant small nucleolar RNA R71". Lineage: Eukaryota; Viridiplantae; Streptophyta; Magnoliopsida; Sapindales; Rutaceae. The record is from RNAcentral.